UUAAGCAUGGUUUCUUUUACUUCUUUUUUUGUUGGGUUGGGGUGAUCGUAUGAAACCCAUUUUCCUGGCCUAAAGAAACUAACUUUAAAUAGCACAGUCAGAGUAACUUGGACAUUAAAAUUAGAGAACUUGACAUUGGUUCAGUUUUCUGUACAAGUAGUGGUAUAUUGAGCAGUGAAUUAUGAGAAGCAACUACCUCCCCUAAGCUUCAGGUUUCCAUUUUGAUAACAAUUGUUGGAUAAUGGGAAUUUUUCUGGCUUACUCAAUAUGAAUUUUCUUGAAGAGCAAACAAAAUUUCGAGGAGUAAUUGAGAAGGACAAGAAUCAGUUUUUCAUGGUAUUGAAGAACCUUCAAGAAGAAAGUAUAGAUUAAAGUACUUGGAUAAGCAUUCAACUAAGUGCUUUGAUGGAGUACACUGAAUAAGGAACAAAUAUGAGUCAAUUGAGUUCAGCUAACUGAAACCGUAGUUGGUUUUAAAAAAAAUUAAUGGAAUGCCAUAAGAGAUGGAGAGUCCAACAUUAAUAUCAACCAAACUCCAGACAUGAAAAAAGUUUUAAGCAUUCAUCAUACAUGGAUGUAUUCAUAUGUCAAUUAAGUAAUAUAUAGCCUCGUUUAUCGUGAUCCCAUUCACUAAAAACCCAUUAUAUAGUAUCAGCAAAACCUAGAUAAAGUGCCAAAAACAUGAAAACUAAUGCAGGCGUAGCAAGUCAAGAAAGCCGCCCAACUUACAGAACAAUAUUAAUGUAUUUGGAAUAAAAAUCAUAAAUAAUUCAAAAAUGAAAACCUAAAAAACUCUAAAACUAAUACCUCAACCUAACCUAUUCUUAUUAAUUUGUUUUACCGAUCGCAGAAGCUACUCUCAUUGGCAUUAGAGUGCUCCUUGAAGGAUCUGCCAAAAGAGCAGAAGAUUUAAAAAUCAAUAUUGCAUAUGAAAAAUAGCGUUUAGCAAUGGGAAAUUACAUAUUAAAUAAAUGUAUCAUCAUUGUAUCAUAUUUUUUCAUGAGAUAAUAAUCUAUAAAUGACAUGGACUAAAAUAAAUUAGACUGCCUAAAUAAAUUUUUCUGUCGUUGAUUUCUAUCAAUAGCAACAUCUAAUGCAUUUUCUUUAUUCCUCUUUUUAAUAAAGGAAGAUACUAUGAUAAGGCUCAUGAUAUUUCCUCUCACAAGUCCCAUUAAAGUUUAACUUGGGUUCUUUUUUUGGUCACAUGUAAGAUCCAUCUCUUAGCUACAUUAGAUGACGGCAGAGUGGUCCAAGCUUAGCUUUGAAAAUUAAACUAGCUGUUUACAUUCUAGGAUUCUUUGAGUUCUCAAAGUAUUAACAAGAUCAUAUCUCAAGUGUAAAGCAUCCAUAUAUUCUACCUCAUGCAUCCAUCAAGUAAUGUUAGUAGAGACAUAUAUUAUUAUAUGUCAGAUUAAUUAAUUGCAUUGGUGUAAAUUAAUGUGGCAAAUUGAGGAGCUAUUUGAUCGAAUCUACUUUAUAAUGCUUGAGCAAUUCAUGUUUUGGCAUGACCUGAAUGCUUUACUCCUUGAGUCUUCUCUAUGAUUUUGAAUUGUUUGUUCUGAUGUCUUUGUUUGACGUACUAAAACUAGAGUUCAGCAAAUUAGAAUUCCACCGCCAGUAGUUAUUCAAAUAUAAAGUCAUUAAAUUUAAAAAUAAAAAAAGAGAUAAACUUUCAUGGACUUUUUGAAAAUCAACCAAAUAACUUGGUGGUCAUUACAACAUUCAUAGCAUAUUGCCACGCAGAGCAAAUCAUGUAAUUAGCUCCUCUUUCUCCUUUGCAAAUUGCAAGCUAGAAUCACUUUUUCAACAUAGUAUAAAAUAAUAAUAUUCAUGGAACAUCAUGAAUAUCUAUAUGCCGGACACCCAAUUAUCAAUCAUUCCUCUCUACAAACAUGCACCAUUAAUAUAUUUUAUAUAUAUAUAUAUANNNNNNNNNNNAUAGAUCGCAAUUUACCACAUCUUUCACCAGUAAAUGUUCUCUUCGCCAACCACGUUCUGUUUCCAAGUGCCGGAAUCUCCUCCCCACUUACCAAACUCCUCCUCGAACUUCUGCUUCCAAAGCUGGUCACUUGACGUCUACUUCCAAAGCUGGUCGCUGCUUCCAUUCAACACAAACACAUUGAAUCCUCGCAAGAUCGACCCCAGUAAGAAAGUCCAAGAUCCGAUUUUUAAGCUCGGUGAGAAGGCACAUCAAGCUAUAAGGUACAGCCAACCCAUUCUUGAAGCAAAUUUCGAUGAGGAGAGUCCGGGAAAGCUCAUCUCUCACGGUCCUCCACAGUUCGAGGAUCUCCUUCUCUUCCUUCUUGCUCAUUCCGUGCAUAGAUUUAAUCAACGGACCGGCGCGCUUCGAGAUGUCGAAAGAAACCCGAUAGAUCCUGGAAUCCGUCUGAUCCAACAACCCAUUGAUGGAAACAUUGAACGCGGUGGCGGAGAACGACAGGACGACAGCACUCCCGUUGCUAGGGUUUCCUCCAUUGGGGCUAGGAUUUCCGCCAUUGGAGAUGGGUGUUUUUGAGCUAGGGUUAGGGUUUCGGUGGAAAAGAGCAGAGGGUUUCGGAACGCGGAGCUCCGAGGGAUGAGGAGGGGAUUUCGUUUCCUGAAAGAGCGGGAGAAAGGAUACGACGGCGUGAGGGGCUCCGUCUCUUUGACUGAAGAAUUCAUUUUGCGGUUGAUUAAACCAUAGCCGUUGGAUUGAUAUCUUCUGGAUGCUCUCAUUUAAAAGGUUCGAUCUGAUUAAUGAGGCCUAAUUCUCGUUAUUUUAGAAAAAAAGAAUACAAUUUCAUCUAUAAUUGUAUUAAAAAAACAGAAUUCUGAAUUUUGAAUAUUUUCUAAAACAUCAUGUCUAUCGGCUUUUUCUAUUCAAUUUUUAAAAAUAAAAAACUUUUAAAUUUUUUUAAAAAGUUAUCAAGUCUCUGCCCAUUUGGAGUUCAGCAAUAAUGGAGACAUGGCCAAUGAAGAAAUCCUUUGGAAUUUAGGGUGGAAUUAAGGGGAUGACAUAUUUACCCUUCUUUUCUUAUUUAAUGAUUUCUUAUUUUGAUCCUCUAAUUACAGACUAUUGAGAGGGGUUCUUUUAUCAUGUGGUAAGAGAGAAGGUGUACAUGGAGAGUUAGCUGAUUUGAUUUAUAGCGUUGCUAAUUGGCAAAAGAGGACAUGAGGGUAAUUAAAUGUUAGUAGUUAGUUUCGUUUAGUAGAGCUGUUGGCAGUAGAACUUUCGGAAGUAGAAUUUUUUGAAAUAGAGCUUUUGAAAGUAGAGCUUUUAUUAAAAAACUAUUUGCUCUUUGAUAACUACAUUUCUAAAGUCCUAUUGAACUUUAAUAUUUGUUUGGUAAACAAACUGAGAAAGUACUUUUGGUAUGACAAAAUGACCAUAAAAAUAUUACAUAAUAUUAUACAGCAGAGCAUAAUAAAAUAUAAUAUAUAUUAAUACAUAAAUAUAUGAUAUAGUAUAAUAUUACUAUAAUGUAAUAUAAUAUUAUUAUAAUAUAGUAAUAUAAUAUUGUAUGCUAUAGCAUAAUAAUAUAACAUAAUUUGAUAUUAUAUAGCAUAACAUAUCAAUGUAUUAUGAUAUAAUGUAAGAUAAUAUUAUAUUUUUUAAGUAUAAUACAAUAAUAAAGCUAUAAAAUAUUAUAAUUAUUAUCAUUAUAUAUUAAUAAAUAUAAAAUAAUAUUUUUCUACAAUUAUAAUAUUUUAUUAUGGGUAUUUUGAUCCAAAAAGAAAAAAAUUAUAAAUCAAAACAGCUUUUAGACACAUGCUAAAAGUGCUUUUUCGAAAAGGCUUUAUUUUCAAGCUUCUUCUAAGAAGUUGUUUUAGCUUUCUGACAAAGCUAAAAUAGCUUUCCGAUUUUUUUACUAAAUACUCCUAUUUUAUCCAAAAGUACUUUUGGAGGGUCAGAAAGUGCUUUAUGGCCUACCAAAAGUUCCGCCAAACAGGGUCUUAGUCUUAGCCGGCGCAUGUAACUUGCACCCCAAAAUAUUUUUCUUCAAAAUACAAAUAUAAUUGAGUAUUAAAAGUUUCAAGGUUACUUAAUCUUAAAUUUUCUAAUCUUCCAUGGUCGCAUCAAAUAUUUGUUAGUGAAUGCUACUUAGAACACGAGUCCAUUUCAAUGGGGAAUUCUCUAGGAAUAGUCUUGAAGUGAGAAAUAUUCACAUCAACCAACCAUGUAAAACUGAAAAUUAUAUGAAUGCUAGGGGAAGACAAGGCAUCACCAAAUAUUCAAGAUUGGAGGGGGCACCUGGGAACAUUGAUAACAGCUCCUUUUUAAGAAAAUGAAGACUAGAUAAAUUUGGGCCUUGUUUUGAUGCCAAACAAUUGACGGGCCGGACCUAAGAUUGAGAGUCUUUUGGAUAGACUGCACAAAAGGCCCGGUACAAGAAACCACCUGAUGACUGGUAAUCGGAUUUUAGUUUGGAACCAAACAUUAAUCCAACCUUUUCACCAAGAAGGAAAAAUUAAUCAGAACUAAAUACUAGGUUAGGCUUUGUGAUGAUUUAUUCAGAUCGAAUCCACUUAGGAUGAAUGAUGGACUACUCAUGUGCUGCCUAAAGAGAUGGUGGAAGAGUCAAUGCAGAGGCAGCCAAGAAAGGUUAUCAACAUGCAGGAUGAUGAGAAGACAAUGUCAAAAAUUCUUCUUAAUGGGAAUGUUAAGAUAACCUUGCUAAGAGGAUAAAAACAUUAAGAUUUGCAUGGAGAUGAGUUGAAUAUAAGAUGUACCAACAAGAAAAUUCUAUAUCGGUUGUACAAAUAUAUAUGAUUGGCAACCUAAACAAGGCGUGCAUGAUAUACGGUAACCUGCGACUCUUGACACCUUCACUUUAACUAUUCAAUUGGUCUUUGGCUCUACCUCCAACCCCGUUGUAUUCUGCUGCUUUUUGCUUGCUUUUCUCGAUCAAGCAUUCCUGUGCUUGGCAAAGAGGUGCUGCUGUUAGUAAAGCAAGUUAGUUUUGCUCAGUACUAGGUUGAUCAAAAUAAAUUCCAAAAGCCUUAAUUAGAUUGUAAAAGUUAAAGAGCAUCAUGCAAGGAGGUGGAGUAAGCUAAUCUACAUAUAGCCAUUCCACAAAAUGGUGGUAAUGAAUCGGGUUAGGUUAGGUUAUUUAUGCUUGUUUUUAUUAUACUGUAUUAUGAAAUCUUUAUUUUGGAAUAUCUGUUAUUUUUCCUAAAUGAUGUAUUGGUAUGAAAAACUUAUGCUUGAUCCAAUAAGAUAGGAAAAGAUUUACUUAUUGAGCUGUGUCACUCAUAUACCUCUUUUUAUUUUUUUCUCUCCAGGUAAAUAGAAUCAGUAGGGACGAAGAAUAGUACAGGCUUGGAGUUCGCGCUAGCAAGCUUGGCAAUUUUGUAGUAGAAUUUUAGUAUUGACUAUAAAUUUGUAGCUAAUGAUUUUCUGAAUGUUAAGGAUGAUGGAUUUGGUAUUAAUGUUGGAUUUAGACGCUCUAAGCCAAUAUUGGUUUUAUUUAAUGGAUGAUAAAAUAGAUAUUUAACUGUUAUAUUUUAUUGUAAUGGAUUUGAAAGUUAAAAGUAAUGUUGGCUUCGUGUUCUCGUGGGCUAUACCCCUCAGUAGCACAGCCAUGUCAUGUUCCGGAUCUGGGGCGUAAUAGUAGAGAUCUGUUGAUGCUUAUGGCUUGGUCGGUUGCCGGGUUAGGUGAUGGUAUGUUUGUAUUUUCUUGUUGUUGGAUUUGCUGCUUGUUUAAUGAGCUGAAUGAAAUCAGCCGGGUAAGGAGCAAACAGCUAUUAUUGAAAUCUGAAAGUAAUCCUCAAUUAGUAGCUGAAAGUACACCUCCUUGCUCCCUAGUUUGGUAUGGCUGUUUUUCUCAAUUGUGGUUUGCUCCAAAGAAUGGUUGAGAGGCUGCAGCUGGGCUGGGUCAAGUGGGUAUGGGGCUCUUUAGAUUGGGUUGGGAUGUAUGCUGGCUGGGUGACCACCCCAACUGGGUGUAAAUUUGAUUCAUGAUUGUUGUCUCUUGGAGCGUGAGGGGGUCUGGUGCAGCUGAGAGACGGGGAGUUAUUAGGGAGUGUCUCUCCUCAUCGGCUUAUGAUAUCAUUCUCCUACAGAUAUUUAAGGUGGCGGACGGCAGUGCUGGUGGUAUUCUUAUAUUGGGACACUACUUGUGAGGACUCAUGCGAGUGUAUAUUUAGUUCGACAUCGGUUAUUCGCGGAAUAAAUCUUGGAUACUUUUACAGAGUUAAAGAAUCCAAAUAAUACCUUCCGGCUAGCCAUUUUGGAUGAGAUCCUGGAUUGUUACAAAUAGUAUUAGAGCGGACCCGGCACACGGAGAGUAUGCGAGGACCCACCAAAUACGUGGAGGAUCGAAAGAUAGCACUAGAUUCUUGGACUUUAUUUCCGCCCUUGACUUAUUAGAUCUUGAUCCCAAAGGUCGAUGUUUCACUUGGGACUUGGGAGUGACACGAGCGAGCACCCCCUUCCAUUGCUAGAUUUGGUCGGUUUCUUCUCUUUGCUGAUUGGGAAGACUUAUCCCCUGCUAAAAUCCAAUCUGCCCUUAUCAGUGCAGCCUCUGACCAUGCUCCGACCGCCCUGGAUUGCAAAGUCAAAGUUCGAGCUUCCAAAGAUUGCAGAUUUGAAUCUUGGUGGAUCGAAGUGCACAAUCUUGAAGGAUAUGUGGUCAGUAAUUGGAGUAGCAGGGUGCCCCAACUCAGCAACAGACUGGGUAGACAAUUUGAGAAGACUCAGAACUGCUCCUAGAAAGUGGUCCGUUUCAUAAGAGAUGCAAGUAGAGACUUGAAAAGAAAAAUUGCUGCAUGACAUCGACAGACAUUCUUGUUAGGAAGGAGGAACAGAUUGAUCGUUCACCGUCUACAUUUGAUCCUUCAUCGAUAUUUGGAGGAAAUUUAUCUCAAAGAUGAGAUUUCCAGGAGGCAGAGAGCAAAAAUACUUCCCUUUUUUUCAUAAAGUGGCUUCUGAAAGGAAAAGGAGGAAUCCUAAUUGUUUCACUCAUGAAUGAUCUGGAAUGGAAAUCUUUUAGGACAAGCGGUUUAUAAUGUUGGAAGUCUUUAAAUAAAGCUGACAAAAUUAUUAUAGAUAUGAAUCGAGUUGAUCAUGUCAAAGUGAUAUUGUGGUCAAAAGAUCAUAGUGCUAUACUAGGCAAGAAGAAAAGCAGGUUAAACAUUAGAAUGGACCACCCAAAUUACCAACAUCAUUCCAUUACAGAUACAGUGAAAUCAUUGCCCUUAAACCUCCAGGCGCCCCCCCAUGUCAAAACCCUUCCCCCCAUGGCCCAAAAGACGAGUUGCAAACAGUUACAACCACUGGAAAAGGACAGAGACCUGCUCCAUUUUAAAGAUCUCAUGCACCACUAAUCUCAACUACAAACAGCUAAUAAAACCACCUACCUCCUUCAUCUUCCAGUCCUACUUGCUUUCACUCCCUGUUUCUUCAUCAACAACUCUUAAACAUGCUGCUACCAUGAUAGCAGAGGUUUAAGAAUCGGUCCAAGCAGCAAACACCGGCAUGUGAGACAUCGGCAUUGUCGUCCUUAGCCCGGUCGAUGGAAUCCAUGAAUUAACUGGUGUGGAAUUAACGAGCCUUGGUGAGGGCUUGGCAAAGAGCAUGCAGAGACCACCUCGAUCAGGACUCCCUUCCCUGGAGUUGCUCGAGCUAGUCACCAAUGAUGAUGCAUUUGAUAGAUGAGCAUUCCCCAAAUUCCCAGAAUUAUCGAUCCCCUGCGCCGAACCCACUGUGUCCAUGCCAACCAGACCAUGAAGACUGGUUGAGUAGGAUGGGCUUCGAAAUGCAUCACCACCUGGUAUCAGUUGCCCACCAUGUUCUUCUGAGAUCGGUGAUGUUUGAUGAGGGGAUUGAUAGAGUGACAUCUUCCAAUCAGAACCACCACUGCUGUUGUCUUCAGUCAAAUUAAGCUCUCUGCUGCUGUUUUGGACCGAAGGAGCAUCGUCGCGAGCUUCUGCAUCUUUGUUUUUCCUGGCAAGUUCGCCGGAAAGCAGAGUGCUGCUCGCCAUGAUCUUUUCGACAUCGUAUCUUGUUAUGUCGAAGUUGGUGACGGCAUUCACUCCUCGGAAUUUAAUUGCAGCAAUGUCAUAAGCCUCAGCUGCUUCCUCUUGAGUACCUGAGAGUUGAUCUCGCUUUAUGUGAACGAAGGGCGCUAAAUAAACAAGACUCAUCUAAACAAAUACGCUAUAACAUGGCCAUCAUUUUGAAAGGUGAACUUUAAAAAGUUGAAUUCACACAGGUCGUCGGAGAUACGAGUGCGUUUCUUUUUGCGUUCACUGUUCCAGGCCUAUAAGACGGUCAAACGAGAGCUUUGCAGCUACUGAGAUAUCAGCCUUAUGAAAAGAAUGACUAGGGUUUUAAAAACAAAAGUCUAGCUUGGAAAAAAAAAGCAUGCAUUGCCAGUAACCACAUUCUUCGACAGGACCUCUGAAAUUUCAGUAUCUUAGAUUGGGUGCAGCAUAGCGGUUGGACUUCUAACCUCAUAACAAACUCGGAAGGAUGUGAGUGGUCACACUUUGAUGAUAGAAGCAUGCAUGCAAAACAAAGCAUCAAGUGGUUAAGUGAACCUCAAAAACUUACUGAAGGUUCCAAGAUAAAGAUCUUUGUUUCCUGAAACCCUCCCAAUUCGAGCUUGCCAUCUUCCAUGCUGGUGGUGCCUGGAGAUGAAUAGAAGCAGCAAGUGUAUAAAAAAUUCUUGAACAAAUAAGAAAAUGAUGUCGUUUAAUCAUGAAUAGCAGCAAGACUAACCUCGUCACGCCUCGGUACAUAGAAGCUCCUCGUGAGAACCCACUACUUUUCUUCUCAAAUGAGCAACAUAUUCUUGUCGACUCAUGUUCUUCAUUUCCUCGAGUUCUUGUUGAUAAUCUUCCAACGGGAAGUUGAUAUGUGUGGAAGGUCCCCAGUAUUUGAGGGCAGCCAAGUCAUAGGCUCUUGCAGCUUUCUCUUCCAUGUCAUAAGUAAACUUGUCUUCCUUUCCUUGUUUGGCCUUCCUUCUUGCAACUAUUGUCCCACAGAUGGGCUUCAUACCUACCAGUCCACCUAUGCCUUGUGACACCUCUAUACUGAGAUGUUCUCUGGCCAAAUGUAUCGAUGGAUUUCCUAUGAACUGGCUGCUUUUGGCCCCCCUUCCCAGUCCCUCUCUUCUUACUUCCAUCUAAAGCCAUGUAGUCGUUUGCAGGAGGAGGGAUAUGCUGGGGAGCUGUGACACAACUGGACUGUGAACCAGGGCUCAUGGACAAGCUCAAAGACUGCAAGUCCCCAUACCCCAUUGCACCAAGAGGACCACCAGAUCCCACACCCCCUUCCUCACCCAGCCCGUUGUUGCCAGCGCUGAAGCUCCUGGUGACCCAGUUCUUCAAUCCCGGAAUCCCACCACCUCCCAUUUGUUCCUCUUCCAGUGGUGGUUGAUACAUCUCAUGGCCUGUGAGCACAGAGCACAUCCCUUCCUGCAAUGGCUGGAAGUAAGGAGGAGGGGGCUGCUGCUGCUGCUGUUGGACUUGAAGGUGCUGCCUAUAGGGUUGUUGGAGGAGGUCUAGAGGAUGACCUCUGUUGCCCUCAGACUCUGGGUUUUGAUGGUAGUACAUGCUGUCUAAGCUUAAAGCCAUUGCUCCCCUGUCACUGUUCCCAUACUGAUGGGUCCCCAUGUUUGGACCACAGCCUAAGAAGUCUUCCAGUUUUGGGAAUGGAGAUGGCACCAUUCCUUCACCACAUUGAAUGAAAAUGGAAAAGAAUAUGGCAAAGUGUUUUAGAGACAGCUGCUUGUUUGAAAGCUGGGAGCAGAAGCUAAACAAAGAAAGGAAGCAAUGAGACAAACCUUCUUGCUGUGAUCUGCUGAGUGCUUCCAUGAUGCAAAGAGAGCCAUCAGACUUGAGUGGCAUGGAAGAUAGCUGAGAAUAGAAUCCUCCGUUCUCUCCAACGCCAUAACAAAUGCCGGAGCUGCUCAAGUGAGGAGGAGAGAGGAAGAAGUUGCCAGAAGAGACGGCAGCAGGUGCGGGCUGAGAUUGGUGAUGAUGGCUCUGACUAUUUGGCUGCUGGUGUGGGUCAGCAGACACCUCCAUGCUCAUGUGGGGGGAGAGAGAAAAUCCCAACCAGUUAUUAUUGUUCAUGGACUUCAUCUUCCUCCCUCACACUACAAAGAAGAUUGUAGCAAGACCCAAGGCGAGGCAGCUCAAUCAUUGGAGAGUACACACUCUAAUCAUACCCAUCCCUUCUUGAUUUCCACCAUUUGAGGCUUGGGGUUUUGUGUUCAAACCCCAGUGAGCUCCAUGGUGGAAAUCUGUAUGAAUAUCUGUGUAUUUUUCCUAUGCCUCACAACUCACUGUGGAGGAGCAUGGCAAAACCAUUGUGGAGAACACUAGUAGUCCCUUUAAACCAAGCAAAAGGAAUGAGUUCCCACCAAACAAAUGCUGGUUAAAUUCCCCACCCCCCUGCACUCCAUAGGGAUCUGUGUUCUGAGAAAGACGAUGUCUUUAGCUUUUCUUUCUCUUCGGCACUCCCUGCCCUUUUCUUAAGCCCCUUAAACCCAACAAAAACCCUCCGUUGAGAAGGCUCAUAGGCCGGACAAGGUUGAACCCACAAUGGGGUCUUGGCGUGCCUUAUGCCCAGAUGGAAAACCUUGGAAAACACAUAUAUAAUGAAUGGAGCCUUUUCCUUCUCCGCCUUUGCUGACUAGGGGUUCGUUGCCUCUCCUUCUCUGCCUCCUCAUGCCUGCCAUCAAGAGGUGGCUGGUGGCCUGUUGGCCAAAACAGGGUGGCUUUUUUUUCAGUCUCAUGGCCAUGAGAUAGAUUCGAGAAACACUGUCCAACUAGUCACUUCGCAACAGUUCUAGCUGUGUACUAGCCUGUGCUGCCACUGAAGGAUCUAAUGAAAAAAAAAAACGUUUUCCGAUUCAACUUAUGCCAAUUUAAAAUCUUUCCUUCAUAAAAAAUUCUAAAGCAAACACAAAAGAGAGGAAAAAAAGAUAAAGAUAGAAGAAGAAAGAGAAGGAAGGAGACUGUAUUAAUGACUUUGAUAUUGAUAUUUCAUAAUAAAGCAAUACGGAUAUAAUAGGUACAAUGGCGAAAAGGAGCAGAGAAGCUGUUUUUGCUAAAUAUCACAUGUGUACAGGUGACAACUGCAUGCUUCCCUUCAAGGUUCUGAAAGUAGUCAACAACUGCUUCCAGACAAAAAGUGCAAUGUGGGUCAAUAGGAUGUGCUUCAUAUAUUCCAUGAAUGAUGUGGGAGGAGGGCUAAAGAAUAUUGGAAACGCUCUUGCUAUUUCAGAGUCUCAGUAUAAUUAUAUUGUCGUGCUGUCUUGUGUUAUGUAAAAGAUACAACUUCCACUAAAUGAUUGGUAAAACAGUAUCAUUCGAAGCCCAUGAGCAAAUCAUAAUUAUGAAUAUCAAGUUUCUUAACAAGAUCUGGCACAGCACCACUGUUUUGUUUUAAAACAAAAAAAAAAAAUCUUUUGGAUAUAAUGGUACAGAAGUGGAAUCCAUGCAGUGCGAUAGCAAGGAGCCCCUUUCAGCCUCUUUUAGACCUUGGGUCCUCGAACUAUUUUAUGGUGUCAAUAUUAUAACGGCUAGUGGUCCAUAUAAAAUGUCUUCUAAAGUCAUAUGUGGUGCAUGGGAAUGUGCAUGGUCAUCCCAAGACAAAGUCUCUUGAAGAAAAUGAUUUGGUUUCAGAAAGUAUAGGUGGGAAUGAAGGGGACUCAGGUACAGCAUCAAAAACAACUACUACGUAUCUUCCCAAUCCUCUCUCCCUUUUUUUUUUUCUUUUCGAUUACUGUAAUGAUGAUUGAAUCCAACAACUACACACCAGUCCAACACUUUUGCUUGGAGUGAUGCCUCCUGAGCUAGGAGCUAUGCCUCAUCACAUUCUACUCCUACCUAUCCCUUCUUUCGCUUUCACAGCUCCUCAGAAGUCCCUUUCAAAGAGGCAGAAAUGGUGGCAUAGGUUUGAUGCUUGCUGUCACCCUUCUCCAUCUUCAUUGAAUCUUGAUUUUCUCUUGCAUCAUUAGCCAUGUCGCGGAAGUACAAAACAACGCAGUUGGUGAGAGAAAAGAGGACGCAUGCCAUACAAUUGAGCCCUUUGGACUGUAGCUCUAUGGACCAGGUAAUUAAUCUUGCCAAAUACUUGCUGGAGUCCAACUUGGAAGAUGGACUACCCCACAAAUACAAUUAAAGCACCCAAAUCCGACAGCAGGCCGGAGCUCAUGCAGUCCGAGUCGAGCUCAUGCAAACCGAGCUUAGAAAGCCGAGCUGAGCUCAUGCAGGCCGAGCUGACCUCAAAAGGCCGAGCUCGUCGUCCACGUGCUGCGGCCACACCUUGUAACAGUCUCACCGCACCAUGCUUUGCUUGCCGGUCAUGCCACGACAUAUCAAUCAGGGACCAUACCCUGCUGCGACUGUCAACCAUUAAAUGAGCAUGGUCUCUGCAGUCCUCCAGCCAGCCCAAAAUCUCAAGCCAUCCACGGCAACUCACUGACUCACUCAACUACGUCUGGUCGCCCACAACAACUCAUUGAUUCAUUCAACCCAGUCCAGCCCUCCACGGCAACGCAUUAAUUCACACGAUCACACCCAAUUAUGACGGUAACUCAUUAAUUCGCCCAGUCACAUCACAAGUAACUCUGUAUCCCUCCUAUAAAAGAGAACUUCUUUCUCUGGAGAGGGAGACUUCUCUUAACUCUGAUUUUCUGGCUUGGACUGCUACAUACGAACUAUCUCUCCUUCUCUACAAAAGCCUCCUCUGACUUAAACAUUGGAGGGCCGGUGCCGGAAAGCCCGGCCACCAACGUUUUGCAGGUCCCCCAAAGGACGCAGCCUGCCGACGUACCAUCCGCACCGGAGCUCCUCCUUCUUAGCUAAUGGUCACCCCUGGGUCCAAUUUCCAAUAACACAACUAAAUAUAUGCAAAGCAAUAUAUGAAACAUGUCACAUAUUGUGACAAAGUGAUAAGGAUGAAAAUCGGCAAAGUUCAAAAGGCCAUAUUUCUACACAUCCUCACUUCUUUGAAAAAAAAACAAACAAAUGGUCUAAGUUGGGGCACACUAGCAACGAAGAUGUUCAGGCAAUGUGUUUAAGCUAUCAUGUCUUAAUAUAUCCAACACUUAAUAAUCAAAGAACCCAUUUCUUCUAAGCAUAUGGGACUGGUAUAUUAGAUACUUCAUGGUAAUGGGAGGAGUCUAACUAGGAACACUAAGUAUGCCUCUUUUUAUUUUUACUUCAUUAUUAUUAUUAUAAUAUUAUCCAUCUUUUAGAAAGAUUGGAUGUAUAAUUUAGGUGUAAAGAUUUCACACUUGCAAGUCAAAUGCUGUGCAACGCACAGUGCCCUCUCUGUCGUACAAUUCUUGGGGGGGGCCCGUGGGGUGCGCCGGUCGGUGGGUGGAAGAUCUUGAAGCGGUGGAACUAGACCUCUGCUUGGGCAAAAAAAAAAAAAAAAACUAAGGCCUCUCCCUUGGAGUGAUCAGGAAAAAGAAGACACAAUUCAUUUAUGAACUGUUGAUGGUAUUUGGUACCAUCGAUCUCUUUUUUUUUUAUUGAAGUACCGUCUGUCUCUUUAAAUGUCCCAGCCAGCUCUCGCAAAAACUUGCAGUAUUAUCGAUUGGAUCCAAAAAUAAUAUAUAUGACAACUAAUGUGUCACAUCCUAAAUUUGAUAUAUGGUACGAUUGUGCUAUUAUAGAAUAUCAGUAUAAGAAAAAAAUAUUACGCACUUUGACCUCGGACAAGACCGACCUCGAUGAUCUUAGAUCAGACCAAUGUCGACAACCUCGGUAUAAACUGAAGCAGUUACUACGGCCCCAGCCGAGGAGCCAACCGACCGAGAUGAAUAGCUCCGUCUUCAACCAAGGAACCAAUCAACACGUGCCAACAAAAUAGUCUUGACAAUCAAAUCGUUAUGAUAGCGACUGGUCGUUGUAACAGCUCUGCAUCUGGAGCAUAGUCAGUACCGUACGCCACCCAUGUCGAGAUCGUACUACUAGCUGCCACCUGAUUAUUGGUGCACGCGACUCAGGAAACAACAAAAUCAACUCCCCUAUAAAGGUCAGUCUGGGGGAUCUCAAGUACGCAAAAACACACACACCCUCGAAAGUAUCAUGAUCCUCUCAUGCAUGUAGCCGACCUCGAGGGCAUGCUGAAAAGAAGAAUGGUUAGUUUCCGAGGUAAGCGACUUAAUGAAGAUUUAUAAGUCAUAAGCUUAUCCAGAUAACCGAGGCGAAGGCCUUGCUGAAAAACUCGACGAAGUUAAGGGAACGUACGACCUCCUUGUCGGCCCGAAGCUGCAAGGCUCGGACCAACUCCCUCGCCACCUCAGGAGACUCCAGAGCCGAGUCGGACUCUUGGUCGACCAUUCUAUGAAGUAAGUCCCAAAGACGUGGGCCGGAACUGAGGGGCCCUCUUCGGCUGGAGCGGACGGGCUUGGACCAGACUGAGCCGACACAUGGGCCUUAGGGGAUGAUCAGCGUGGAGGCGUGGUGGCGGUGAAGGGUUAUAUGAAGACAAGCCCCUCAAGAGGGGCUGACUUAAUCAGCUUUACAAACUUGACCUUGGGGUUGAGCUCCAUAGUCUCUCCCCGAGGUACGAGCACCUUGAGGGAGACUUCAAAAAUCGAAGCCUCGGUGGCAGCCUCGGUGGCAACCUCGGUGGUAGCUUCGGUUUCAAGGGCGAGAAGGACUCCCCCCUCAACCUUUUCCUCUGGAGGGUCUUGUCCUCGGCAACCACAGCCAACCUCUUCUUCAUUUUUCUCCUCGGACGGAUCAAUGUGAGAUCGGUCUUCAUGGCAGCGAGAGCUGCAAAAUCGAAGACAAGGUUAGAAGAGAAUGUAAUGAGAUAGAAAGAUAGAAAAAGUUCAAAAGAAGCUUACCUUGAGGGUCAGCUGGGCUCAGACUAGCGUUGAUCUGCACCUCCUCAGACAACAACUCCUGCAGGGUAGGAAUCUUAGAUCAAGAUUGUAGAAGCUCAUCCAAGGUCCCUCGAUUAUCACCAGACAACCUCGGGGCCGAUUCAAGUCUCUCCGAAGUGUCUUACAUAUGGUCUUAAACCCCCAUGGUUGCUCAGAGGAAAUAAAGAAAAGUCUCCCUUUUUCCAUCCGUGGAUGGAUCGAGUACCUUAGAGUCUUUCCAAGGAGAAAAAUACCACUAGUUGUUGUCCUGAGGAUGCCUCUUCAAAGUGAAGCAUCCUUGAAAGAUAGAAAUCGAGGAUCGAAUGUUCCAAAAAAAGCAAAGAGAAAGAAAGCCAACUAGAACCCGCCAGGAGUUCAGGACCAAUUGGGUCGGGAUGAGGCUGUAAUACCUCAUCAGCUAGACAAAAAAGGGGUAGAGAGAGAGUUUCAACAUGGCCCUCAGAGUCUCCUCAUAUAGGCCGAGCCAAGAAGGAUGAGGGUUGGUCACCCGAUCAUUGGGACCGGCGAGCUCAAAGGUGAACUCGGAGAGGGGGGGGGUAUGAAAUGCUGAGCUCGAAUGAGGUUCAUUUUUUCUUUGGUAAGAAUGGAUAUCUCAUAAUUCGGACUUGACCGGACCUCGGGCUCAGCCUCACCCAGAGGCGAUGGCUGCUGAACCCGAGAAGAGUAGUCGGACGACCAACUCUCCUUCGGGGCGUUAACCUUGGAUCCACUCAUGGUAGAAAUCAUAGAGAAACAAAGAAACAAAAGAGGAAAGCAAAGAAAGGGACAAAGACAAGGGGGAACAAGAAAAGGGGGCCGAGUAGCAAGGGAACAGGUACCCACCGAAAAUGGAGGAGCAUAGAGGAUGUCGGUGCUGGAGAAAUGGAGAUUAGUUGAAGCACCACCCAAAAGCCUAGACACUUGAGCACUUCGGCAAAGGAGCAAAUGAAGCAAGAAGUAUAAAUUGUAAGAGGGGACCACCUUUAUAUAGAGGGGUACGGUGCGGGCGAUUUACCGGGAUCAUUGCAUUAAUGAUGCCUCAAAAUAGCCCUGCAUUAAUGGUGCACAGGACAGUCCGUAUUUGGGGACACUUCAAGAAUACCAAGCGAUACAUUUAUUACUCCCUAACAAGAGCCGUAUCCUCAAUUGAGGUGACGACUUGACUUCCAUCGCCGAAACUAGAAUAUAACUCAGCCUCAAAAGUAGGGGGCAAGUGAAAGGAAAAAAAUUAGACACUUCGAUCUUGGACCACACCAACCUCGGUAUAAACCGAGACAGACAACUUCGACCCCAAUCGAGGAGCAAACCGACUGAGGUGAGCAGCUUCGCCUCCAACCAAGGAAUCGAUCAACACGUGCCGACAAGGACUGACACUCCUGGCAAUCGGCCGUCGUGACAACGACUGGCGAUUUCAAAAGCUCUACAUCCAAUGCGCGGUCAGUACCGUACGCCGCCCAUGCGAAGGUCGUACUACUGGCCUCUACCUGACCAUUGGUGCACGCCAACCCAAGUAACGACAAAACUAAUUUUCCUAUAUAAAGGGGCAGUUUGAGGGGCCUCAAAUACGCAAGAGCACGCAUUAUGCGAUAUCAUAACCACACUUUACUGAAAUUUUCUCCCUUCUAUAUUGUUGUCUCCGUAUUCUUAGGCAUUGGAGAAUCUCCCGCCGAAAACUCUCUUGCAAGAGAACUUGCUGCAGGCCGACCUCAGAGGAAACCAGUGCCUGAUACCUCAACCAACCUGCUCAACUCAUCUCUAGCCAAUCUCAAGGUCAUCCAAGCUACACUCCGACCUCGGUCUAGAUUUUACGGCAACACCGCCCAUGAUAUCAUGAAAUCAAAAUUUUGUAUAAAAAUCCAUAUCAUAUAAAAUAAACAAAAAAUCAAAAAUUGUCAUCCAUUAAAUAAUUAAAUAAAUACUGAUCUAGACUUAAGUUUGUACUGGCAAGUUUAGAGAUUUACUGUAUUUCUUUUUACAUAAACAUGAUAUGGGGCUCACAAUAGAUGAAAUUUCAUAAGAGCAAUGAAAAAUAUAGUUAUAUAAAAAAAGUCAAAUAUUGCAUGAACGGGUUUGAUUAGCAUUUAAUUUCCACCAGCUUUUAGCUUUGUUGAUUAUUGCUAGAGCAGGGGGAUCAUGCAAAAGUUGGUCAUAGAAUAGCAUGAGAUGUUUUUAGCUUCCUUUCAUUCUUGUAAAUUUUUAAGUUAACUAUUGUUUUAUAAAAAUUAUUUGUUUGUCUCAACUCUUUUAACAAAUCCUUCUACCUAGAAAACAUUGAUUGAUGCAAAAUUAGAUCUACAACAAAUUAUUUCUUUGAUACAUAUACUAAAAUAUCCCUUCAAAAUGUGUGACUUAUCAUGAAGGAGAGAAACGAAAGAUCUACGUCAACAAAGGGUGAAAAAUCGUUGAUUAGUUUAUAAAAAUUUAAACAUUGAAAAAAAAUUAACAAAAUAUAUAUUUCCAAAUAUCCAACAUGUAUCACUUUCGAAUUUGCAUAUAUGCAUCAAGCAUACUAAGUGCUAUCAUAAAUUAAUUCUACGACACGUCGCAAGCUCAACAUCAAAUCUAAUUAUCGUAACUUCAAUCCAACUGAACCCUAUUUCAUAUCGAGCCAACCAUACCAACAAAUUGCAUUUAACCUAUUUCUUAAGUAAUAUAGUGAUACAUGCAUCAUCACCAAGAUUUAAAUCAUAGAUCUUCUCCAAUAAAACUUUGGUGUCAACCGAUUGAGCUAACAUCUGAGCCAAAUUCAUUCAGCAUACUAAGAUGAUCAACCAUUCAGGAUCAGUCAAACGAGUCAAAACUCGUCCCUUCCUAACCAACACCAAUUAGCCGCCCCUCACAACUUCUUAUCCAACCCAAACCUUUUCGCAAAGAACCAGUCUCGGACCCAAGCCGGCGACCAAGCCAGCACCGCAAACAGGCCCGUCAUGUGGCCGAACGCGAUCUCCCUCGGCGGCCUCGGGCUCAGCACUUUCCGCGCCACGUGCCGCGCGAAGAUUCCCGCAUCCGUCGCCUUCGUCCCCUGCGACGCCCUUGCCCUCUCUGCGAUCGCGGCCUCGAAGCCCUUGUAAAGCCUCCACUCCUGCCUCCCGAGCCGCUCCUCGUUCGCCCGGCCCAGGUUGGACCGGACCGAACCGGGACGCACCUUUACGACAUGAACCCCGAACGGUCGGAGCUCAACCCGGAGCGCGUCGGACACCGCGUGGACCGCGGCCUUGGACGCGCAGUACGAACCGGCCCACGGGGUCGGGACCGAACCGACCACGCUCCCCAUGUUAACGAUCCGGCCGGACCGGCGGGAGGACAUGUGAGGGGCCACGGCCUGGACCAUACGUAGCUGGCCUAACGUGUUCACCUCCCAUGCACGUCUAAUGGCGUCCAGGUUGAGCUCGGCCAACGGCCCCGUGCCGCCGACGCCGGCGUUGUUGACGAGGACGUCGAUGCGGCCGCACGCCGAUAGAAUUUUGGAUGUCGCAUGGGCGGCGCUUUGGUCGGAGGUGACGUCGAGCUCGAGGGGUUCGAUGGAGUCGGAUUGGAGGUCGGCGAGCUCGGAGAGGCGGCCGGGGAGGUCAGAGGCGAAGACGUAGCAGCCAUGGUCGGCGAAGGCCUUGCAGUAUUCGUAGCCGAUGCCGCCCUUGGCGCAGCCGGUGAUCAGGACUACCUUCUUGUUGUCAUCCAUCCUUGGUAGGUCGAAGGAGCAUUCAGAGUGUUGGUGAAUUUAUAUGGAAGGGUGAACAUAGAAGUCAGUGGGAGAUCCGCCAAGUUAUAAAUACUAUUGUAAUCUUAGGUUCAUAAUUUACGGGAUGAUGCUGAGAAUAUGCGCGAGGAGAUGCUGAAAUUUCUUGUCACAGAUAUGCUAACCAGCCGGCUAGGGUCUUGUUUGCUUCCUUUGCGUUAGGUAUCAUGGAGUUGGGCAAAAAUAUUUGCUUCGAGUGUGUCACCUAAUCCUACUUGUUGCGACCAUCUGCCAUGUCUUAUGUAGCAUCGGAUCGUCUACUGACCUUGCUUAUAUAAUAUCAACGAAUUUCUCCAAAGUUCACCAUCUUACUGAACCUCAUAUCGGUCCCACUCUAUUAUAAAGUUGGUACGUCUGUUAUACCAUCUAGCUCAGUGUAUCGAGUGUUGAAACACUACACAUACUAUGUAAAUGUUCAGUACUGAUACGACGUAGCAGAUAUUGGAUAUCUCUGUCUCUCUCUCAGCAUACACGCAAGCACAAGCGCCCCAUGAUAAAUUUAUAUAUGAAGGCAUGAUUCUUCUUGUUCUCAGAUCAGUAGAAGCAGCAGUAUAACUUAUGUGGAAUAUUGGACACUCAAAUCACUUGAAUUCCAAUGAGUCAACCAGCAAUUCAACAUGAACACACAUUUUUUCAGCAAAAAGUAAAUGCUAGAAAUCCAAACAUAUAUAAUAUCAACGUACACAGAGAUUACAGACUAAAACUUCUCGGCUAAACAAUUACCUAUAAUCGUCGUUGGCAGAAAUGAAAAGUUACACAAGGCAAAGAUGAUAAAACAAAACAUAAAAGGGGAAGGAGAGAGAACAAACAACACUCCAAAGUCGAAUAAGAAGUACUCAUUAAUCUAUAUCUCUCCUCAAGGUGGGGGACCUCAUGUUGUAUGUGAAGUGAGCAAAUUAUUAGAAUGUGCCCUACCUGCGCCAUUUCUUAAUUGAAUAUUAAUGUUUUGAUAAAUCCAAUAUUAAUGGUACUUAAUGGUAGUUAUUAUCCUUUAAAAAAGUGAAUAAUAGGCAAUAGCAACUUAACAAAAUCGUGGUUGACAUGGUAAUAAUAUUUCUUUGGAUUCGCAAUUAUAAGUAUUUGUAACAGAUAUUAAAUUUUUGAUAUGGUACGUUUGUCAAAUGACAGUCACUACUUUUAUUAUUACAUNNNNNNNNNNNNNNNNNNNNNNNNNNNNNNNNNNNNNNNNNNNNNNNNNNNNNNNNNNNNNNNNNNNNNNNNNNNNNNNNNNNNNNNNNNNNNNNNNNNNNNNNNNNNNNNNNNNNNNNNNNNNNNNNNNNNNNNNNNNNNNNNNNNNNNNNNNNNNNNNNNNNNNNNNNNNNNNNNNNNNNNNNNNNNNNNNNNNNNNNNNNNNNNNNNNNNNNNNNNNNNNNNNNNNNNNNNNNNNNNNNNNNNNNNNNNNNNNNNNNNNNNNNNNNNNNNNNNNNNNNNNNNNNNNNNNNNNNNNNNNNNNNNNNNNNNNNNNNNNNNNNNNNNNNNNNNNNNNNNNNNNNNNNNNNNNNNNNNNNNNNNNNNNNNNNNNNNNNNNNNNNNNNNNNNNNNNNNNNNNNNNNNNNNNNNNNNNNNNNNNNNNNNNNNNNNNNNNNNNNNNNNNNNNNNNNNNNNNNNNNNNNNNNNNNNNNNNNNNNNNNNNNNNNNNNNNNNNNNNNNNNNNNNNNNNNNNNNNNNNNNNNNNNNNNNNNNNNNNNNNNNNNNNNNNNNNNNNNNNNNNNNNNNNNNNNNNNNNNNNNNNNNNNNNNNNNNNNNNNNNNNNNNNNNNNNNNNNNNNNNNNNNNNNNNNNNNNNNNNNNNNNNNNNNNNNNNNNNNNNNNNNNNNNNNNNNNNNNNNNNNNNNNNNNNNNNNNNNNNNNNNNNNNNNNNNNNNNNNNNNNNNNNNNNNNNNNNNNNNNNNNNNNNNNNNNNNNNNNNNNNNNNNNNNNNNNNNNNNNNNNNNNNNNNNNNNNNNNNNNNNNNNNNNNNNNNNNNNNNNNNNNNNNNNNNNNNNNNNNNNNNNNNNNNNNNNNNNNNNNNNNNNNNNNNNNNNNNNNNNNNNNNNNNNNNNNNNNNNNNNNNNNNNNNNNNNNNNNNNNNNNNNNNNNNNNNNNNNNNNNNNNNNNNNNNNNNNNNNNNNNNNNNNNNNNNNNNNNNNNNNNNNNNNNNNNNNNNNNNNNNNNNNNNNNNNNNNNNNNNNNNNNNNNNNNNNNNNNNNNNNNNNNNNNNNNNNNNNNNNNNNNNNCCAUGUUCAGAACCGAAAUAGAGGCAAAGGGAAGGAGGAUGCAGAAAGAUUUUCAAAUAUGUUGACAAAAAAGCACUUCAAGUUCCAAAGUUUGAUCUCAUGCUUUUGUUAGGUCCAAGGGUUAGAUAUGUUUUAUGUGGAUGAAGUCUUAAAGAUCAACAUGACCAUUAUAUAGAGGUAAAGCAGCAUGGAACCUAAAAUUUGUGGUCGCAUGCUCAGCGAGGUAGGAGCACGAGCCAUGGAGCACCAUAAAUAAGAAGUUAAGAACUGCAUGGUUGCUUGAGCAUUAGAGAAACACAUUAGUUGCUGCAUUAAUUCUAAACUGCUAUUGAGACAGAUACAAUCGUUAAGUACUAGAUAUUGGACACAUGCAAUGCACUAUAAAUUAGAGAGAGAACACUGAGAGCAGUGUCUGGACAACUGUUAUAAGACAGACAAUAUUGUUAGAAGAGAGCAAAAGAUCCAUUCAAAAUUCGAAAUCUUUUAGGUGCAAUGUAAAACUUGAAAAGAAAGCAAGUUUCCUUGUUGCGAAAAAAGAAAACAGUCUUAAUCUAAUGAAGAAUCAAGAUGUUAUAUUACAUCUCUUGUUCUCCUUAUAUAACUCAUUAUAAUGGAAUAGCAAUCAUAUAACAAUAUCAUCUAAAUUCUUGUUAUUAAUAUAGAUCAUGCAAUGAGAGGCCUUUGAGUGUUACUGGCGGUCGUUGCAGCCUUAUGAUAGCCAUAAUUUUAUAUCUCGGCCAGCAUGUUUAUGACAUGAUAACCUUCUUGUAAGAAAGUUAUAUGCUGAGGCGUCAAACCCCGCUCUCGAUACUGAUUUGAAAAAAAAGUGAAAUUUUUUUGAAAAAAAAAAUGACAUGAAUGAUCUAAAUUACUUUUUGGAAUGAGACAUAACUCACUCUUAGCCCUUCUGCUUUGACCAACCCUAAUUCCCACAGUGAACCCCUAAGAUAGCCGAGUAACCGUUCUAUAUACGAAGUGACAUGGUACAUGUAAGAGGAAAGGAUUAAAAGAGGAAAAGCAUAAGCCCCCGUUCCAUCCAAACUCCUGCCAAAUGUACAGUCCACAGUAAUAGUAGUGCAUUUAAAUGCUGGUUCCUGUCCUUCGCGGGGGAAUGAAUCACAGGAUCCAAACAAAAUCCAAGCAGGAUACCAAACAAAGAGUGCAAAGUGCCCAAAAGGAAAGGGAGCAAAGGACUUUUUUAGAUAGCAACUUAACAAGAGCUACAACAGCUUUGGUGAAAAUGGAAGCAUAUCAAAAGUCAAUGACGGGGAGAGAUAGAUAGAUAGAUAGAGAGAGAGAGAGAGAGANNNNNNNNNNNNNNNNNNNNAGAGAGAGAGAGAGAGGAGGCCAGAAGCUAGCUCACAUGACACUCCCACCUUCCUCCUACAUCCCAUAUUAAAGUCCCCAUUAAAGCUUCUUCUCCUCCCCUCUGCCUCCCCUGCCAAUUCCCCAUGUCUCUUUGUGCUUUACCUCCUUGGCCCCUCCCUCGAUUUGCCUCUAUUUAUGAGAGGUCAACAUCUAAGAGCAAUGUGCCAUAGUCCAAAUCAGCUUAGAUGCACUCCACGACAGCUUUAUCUUAAAAAAGAAAAAAAAAAAGAAAAUUAGACACUUUUGUUCACCUCAUAAUCCAGGCCUUGGUUCCCCUCUUGGGAGCUUUCCGGUGAUGUGUUAGGAAAAAGGGGGCAAGGUCGGAUCUAGGAAGAAGCGCACUAGAUCUCCAAACCAACAUGUAAGGUGGUGGUUGGGGUUAGAGGAGAAGGGUAGGAGUAGUAGACCCUAGCAAGAAGAGAGGCAUUAAAUAUCAGAUUACAAACAUAGCCAAGCCUAAGAACCUAAUUUUGGAAACCUCUACAUCAAUCUAUGGGUGGUGGGGUUCACCCCAAAGUUCAAUAAUGUGUGAGCUUCCACAUUCCCUCCGUUCCCCCUCUGUCGUUUGUGAUUAAAGAAGCAUGGGAAGAAAGAGACAACCUUCAAUGCAAAAGUUGGCUUUAGGGCACUGCUGCAAGGCUGAAAAGAACUUAUUUGCUUUCCACUUUUACUUUUCUAUUUACCUUGUCUCCAUUUGAAAUCAGAGGAGGGUCAUUUUGCUCGCUGCAAUGUGGCUUGCUUUGGGGGUAGGAGAUUAUUCUGGGUGGGAUGUUGUGUCACUGUUAAGUAGGGCCAUUCAGAUAUAUUUGCAGACUGAUCAUUUUCCACAUGGUUCUAAUGGAGGGAGGCUCUCAUCCUGUUCAUCUAGUUUGUUCUUUUUGACAAAUAUUGAAUAUAAAUAAUAUUUUUUUUUGCCGUAAUUAUUGGAUCAGAACAAAAUAACCAUCAUUUGUUAUAUGAUUGUAAUCGAUAUGAUCACAAUAAUUUUUUUAUCUUAAAAAUGAAAUGAUUUUAUGGAUAUAGCUAUCGAACAGAAAAAUUUUACUAAAGCUUCAUAUAUCCUUAUAAAAAAUAAUAAUAAUAAUAACAGUCGAAUAAUUUAUCUUGACGCUUUCAUAAGGAGAUUUUUUUUUAUUUUUUCGGAGAAAGAGAAAACUAAUAUUUGAAUGAGCUACAAUUCACGUCGCCGAAUGGAAACGUCUAGUCUUGUCACGAGUAAAAAACUACAAGCAGAAAACUUAUGCUCUUGUUUGGCGGGGAGUUCCUUUGCAAACUGCAGGCUUAUAUGUUGAUAUUUGAUUAGAUGUCUAUUAAAUAAUACUUUGUGCAUUGAUUCUAGUUUUUUUAUUAUAUUUUAAUUUUAAUUUUGUAGAAUAUAUCAAUACUAGAACGGGGUGAUCCUUUUGAUUUAUUAUAUGCAUGUAUAUAAAAAUUCAUUCUCAUAGGACCAAAAUUUUUUAAGAAAGUUUUUCAAAUAACAUUUGAAAUUCAGAGAGAGAGAGAGAGAGAGAGAGAGUGCAUGAAAGUCGCAUUAAGGACCUUAAAAAAAAGACCAUAUUAUAGUGGGGGAUGUCCAGGACCCAAGGCAAGAACAGAGAAUUGGAAAAUCUUGGUAGCCUGGCUUGAGAUCCCAAAACAGAAGAUGCCAAAGGGUAUAUUUAUGAAUUGGCUUUGAAGAAUUGGAUUAUGUGAUGACAUUGUAAGGAUUUUAAAAAGGCUUUCCUUCUUAUGGGGGAAAAAAAGUCUUCCUAAGCUUUUGCAACUAGUUGGCUAACGUGAAAGAGAAUAUAAUAUUAGAUAUCAAGAGGUGAAAAUGGAAGGAUAUCGGCAGGAAAAUUGGAAAUUUUUCAAAAAUAAAUGUUUGUGUGUACUAUUAGAGAGAUAUGAAGGGGUGCAGGUUGUAAGAAAAUAUAAAAUAUGUAAAUAAAUCUACUUCAUCCUAUAAGCUUAAGUUUUGGGGACAAAUGGUGAUUUUAAUAUGGUAUCAAAGCAGAGAUCCUGAGUUCGAAUCCUGUCUUCGCACUCUUUAACCCCAUUAUUAAAAAAAAAUUUACAUGUUGGGCUCGCCCAUUAAAGAAAAGUCUGGCCCACAUGUGAGGGGAGUGUAAGAAAAUAUAAAAUAUGUAAAUAAAUCUACCUCAUCCUAUAAGCUUAAGCUUUUAGAAAAAGUGGUGAUUUAAACACAGGUGCCUUGGAAUUUGCCACCUAUUUGUUGGCUCAAGAUUAAUACAAAAGAUAGCUAUGUAGAUAGGAUUUCAUUAAAGCAUGUAUAAAUGGUGUAAUCAGGGACUCUAAUGGAAAGCCAUUACAAUUCUCUGGAUUAAGAUUCUUAAUUAUUUCUCCUGCUGCGGAAGCUCAAGCAACAAUAUUAGGCUGGGAUUAGUGAGUUACUAUGGGAUUCAGGUGGAAGCGGAUCGUUUGGCUUUUAUAAGGAUGAUAAAUGGUGAAUCCAGGGUACCUUAAAGAUUUAGUUGAAUACAUCAAGCAGUUAAAUAGUGAUUUUUUCACUCAGGUUUGGAGAAGCAAACCAAGUUGUUAAUUGGCUAGCAAGACAUGGAAUGGAGGAGAAUUUGACGGAAUGUAUGUUUGAUUUUGGGACUGUACGAGAGGUAUUCCUCUUGAGCUGCGUUCCUAUGUUAAGAGUUGAUGGUAUUCAUGUAGUAUUUGAAAAAAUUCGAUGAGAUAACUAUUUCAGGAGGAAAAAAAAAUCUCGUGUGGUUUUUUUUACUGGACUAAAAUGUUAAUAUAUGAAAAAAUAAUUUUUGCUCGUUCAGUUGACCAUGGCAAGUUAUAAAAUAGCUUAUAUUUGGUUGUGUUUCUAAAAAAAUAAAUAAAAUAUAUAUUAUAUCUUUAAUAAAGCAAAAGAUUUUACUUCAUUUUAUCUGAAAAUUUAAGGCUACUUCAGAAAAAAAAAUUAUCCAAAUUUUCAGCCCGUAAAAACGUAUUUUUUUAUUUCUCUCAUAAUUUUUUUAAUAAUAUAGAAAUCUUAUUCAUAUGAAAAAACUAUUAUUUUAUUUUUUAAAAAAAUUGAGAUAAAUAUAAAAUAUUCUUUUAAUUAAUUUUAUUUUUUUUAUUUUUCUUGCGAACCAGAUGAUACCUAAAUAAUCUAACCAGCAGCCACCGUCACAAAAUGAAGAAGAACUUAAAGCUUACAGCAGCCAUUGCGUCUUGCCACCAGACGCUCGUAAGAGAGAUUUUUUUUUUCACUCAUGAUUUUUUUUGGUAGAUUUUUUUUUUCACUCAUGAUUUUUUGAGAGAUCAAAGAAAUAGUUUCAGCCAAUAUGCAUGUAAGUGAGUGCACGAGUGCAUGUACUUCCAAUAUAAAAAAACGCAAGGAAGUUUGCGGUACGUCUUCAUACUUUCAGAAAUUUAGAUUCUAUCCCAGAAAACUCCACUUCCAAGCAUAGUUUGAAUUGGGUCGCCCCCACCAAACUCAUUAUUAACGGUUAAUAAUUAUUAUUUAUCUUAAAAGGGUAAGUUAGAUUUUUAUUAUUAAAAUAAUCACGAAAAUAACAGAUAUCAUAAUGAAAAAUAAUAGUUAUUUGUAUUAUAACAGCUUACUAUUGUAGAAAAUAAUGGAUAUAAUGUAUUAUUUAACUCAUAAUAGCGUAUCAGGAAGUCUCCCGACUGCUAUUUAAAAUCAUGUUUUUUUUUUAUUUAUAAAAGUGGCAAUUAGAUCAGACUAAAUACAAAAUAGAUCAAAAAUUUUCGAUAUGAAUCUAACUAUUUUAUAAAAUAAGUAUUUUCAUCCAACCUACAAUAAAUUAAAUUACGUUAAAGGGGGCAUUGCCACUUCUACAAAUUUCUAUCAACUUCAGGCUAAUCCAUUUGCCAAAAGAAAUGGAAUGAAGAGUUGCAAAAUACCAUCAUAAUCAAAUAUUUAACAUAUAUAUCGACUCACCGAAUCCAAAUACAGAAGUUGGUGAUCCGCCGAGCGAUAGAUAGUGAUUGAUUGAUACCAAUCCGUACAUCAAUCCCUUAUCAUAUCAAUCUAAUAAGUUAAGUAUUUAUUUGACAGGUGAUCGACAGCAGUACUCUCUUCCCAAGCAGUCCACCAACUUCCUCCCUCUCUCUCUCUCUCUCUCUCUCUCUCNNNNNNNNNNNNNNNNNNNNAACCUACCUCCCUCCUCUCUCUCUCUCUCUCUCUCUCUCAUGCAGUAGAUCUACGUUAUAAUUACUUCUUGCACCAGCCAUUAAAUCCCUGUAAGUUAUCGUUGAAGCCAUUUUAUUUAACGAGGUUACCACCCCAUCUGUGCAUUAAAACUAGUUCCUCAGACCAUUUAAACUUGCUUUCACUUACCAAACAACACAACUUUAACCUGCUUCAUUUCCUUCUCCACAUUAUGGAAAUGUUCCAUCGGAUGCUAUAUUUUUUUCCUUCAGAUACAUGCAGAUCUCCAGCGUUCGGCUGCCACCGCGAAUUCAAGUGUUUUUUAUUUGAAAGAGACAAAAAUGAAUAGAGAGAAUCACGAGAGUUCCCAUCUACUGCUGCUUUCGGCUACAGGUCGAAUCCCUACCACCUAACCCGGCGAUAGCCACCUACCACCGUCUUCUGACCACCGACUACUAUGCCGGCAACCCAUGAUCAACGUGACUCUAUUUUUUAAGUUUUUGCAUACAAAAUGACAGAAAGAGAUGAUAAAAAAAUAGAAAAAAACACAAUUUUUACUGCACUAAUUAACUGCUAGAACUCAGGGUUUUUCUAUUUGUUUUUCAUUCGAAACUAAGUUUAUAAUAGCUAAUUACGUUGCAUUGUUCCGAGUGACCUUGCAUAAGAUGUGCAAAAUCUAAACACCCCGAGGACAGAGGAGCAAGAGAACAUCCUAACCUAAAAUAGACGAGAUAUAUGUCAAACUUGUUAGACGAAACCAAUGCAACGUUCCAGCUAAGAAUUCAUUUAGUUUAUAGAAAAAAAUUCUUUCUCACUAAAAUAUUUUAAAAAAAAUUGAUGCCAGCAUGAAAAAAUAAUUUUUGCAAAUUUAAUUGAUUAUCGAAAAGUAGUACAUUCUAAAAUUGAAAAUUUACUUUCUUACAAAAGUCUUAAUAAGGGUAAAAAAAUAUUCUAAUUCCCAAAUCCCACAUUGAUUUUUUUUUCGAAAAUCUUAUUCUUCAAAAACUUCAACUAAAUAAGAAUGUAUUUCUCCAUUAUUUUUUUAUUGAUCGUACUUUCUUCCUUCUCCCACAAAGCAACCCAACACUAUUAAUGAGACCAUGGGCUUGCACCUGGGUCUAGAAACGUUGAGUUGCAGUACUUUCCACUCCUAAACUACCUUACCGUGAGAUCGUUCUUCACUCAUCCACGCGUACUUAAGUCUCUGCAUCUCAACGCUCAGUAUUAGCUUUCAUCAUUCCAUCUUCACGAAUUCGUCCAUCUGCUAGUGUGAUUUAGAAAGGCUCAUCCGAGGUGAAAAGAUUGAAGUUAUAACUUAUUAGGGCCACCGAGAUAUCUAUCUUUGCUACCAUAAGACAAAUUACUUGAGCCAUUAUCUGUGGUUCUUAUUCAGUCUCUACAUGCACUAUGCUUACCGAGGACUUACUCCUGGACUCAAAAAUCAAUAAUAAAGUAAUGUAAUUCGAAAAUCCAUAUCAUCCAUCCUGAUUUAUACCGCUAAAAAUAAUUAGAAACUAAAAAUCACAUGCUUUGAUUGUCUCAAACAUGCGCAUAAAGUAAAUGUAAAAAUAAAAAGGUUAAAAUAAUGUAAGACCAUAUUUCUUACUAUUAGCCAAAUAUUAAACUUUAAUGUGACACCAUAAUAAGGUAUAAAAAAACAUCUAUGAAGAGGACAGGUAAUGUUUUACUACCAAAUAUUAGGACUGAUACUCAUACUAAAAAUUACGAUCAAAGAUGACUCUAUCAAUCGCCAGCUACUUUGGAGAUACCUUUCAAUUUUCCAUCUACACAUAUUUUGGCAUACGAAGAUUGUAAUCAAUAAGAUUGAUUUUCCAUUUAAAUAUUUAAUCAUGUAUUUUAAUAUACUAGUAUAAUAAAAAUCAUCCAUUUUUAUAUCCCCUUAAUGCAUAAGUUAAAUACUAUCAAAAUAUGUGAUUGUUAUUUCUAAGUAUUUUUAGCAAUAGAAAUCAUGAUUAAUAAUGUAGAUCACCGAUGUGAAUGCAUCAUCAUUGACUUUAAAAUUAGGAGUAGAUACUCUCAUCUUUCGAGAGAAGCAUAGACUCUCAUAUAUAUAUAUAUAUAUAUAUAUGCAUACACUUGUUUAAUAAAAAUAUGUUAGUAUUAUUUGAACUCUAAUUAAAAAAAAUUGUGUUGUUUUAAAAUUUUCACAAAAAUAACUUUUCAAAACAAGAAAUACUGCUUCAAACAAGUAUAUUUUCACAAUUUUCAUUUUCUUUCUAAAAUAAAUGCCCAAUAAUAUUAUUUAAUUUUAGAAAAAUAAAAAAUAUUUAUACGAUGACUUCUGCUUGUUGGCUUCUUUUUUUUUUUAAAAAAAAAAAAAGCAACACCAAACAUGUCAUAAAAAAGAAAAACAAGAGGGCAUCAUAUAGGCAUGACCACCAUCAACAAUCUCCUACCCAAUCACAGAGAUCUAGAUCUAUCGGGACUACUUGAUAUUGCGAACAUGAAUCAUGGCCACCAAAUUAGGGUUUGGGUCCACCGGUGCAAGUGGCGAGCACAACAAACCAGAGUUCUGCUCCUGGUCCAUCAAUGCCAAUAGCAGAUGUCACUAGCUUUACCUGUCAUUGCCUUUAUUGGCAUGGAAAACGCAUAGAAGCAAUGCGUCACAACUCUUUAUCCAACGAGCAAAUGCUUCUAAGCUGUCUUCUCCGGUUCUCUAGUGCGGCGAGCUUGUGGGUCAUCCCUCGGAGGAUUUCCAAUGGCCCCCAUGUCUCUUAACCUCUUAUGGUCCAGGGCCAGGAAACAAGGACUCGGAAUGGAAUGCCACAAGGGGCUAAGUUGGCAGGAUCAGAUGGACUGUGAACGGAAAUGACAAGGCUCGAUUUGAUGGACCUUUGAUGCCAGAAAACGCUACCUCCUUUGGCCCAUCUUGUGAUGUUUUAUGCCGCUUGUCGGCCACGCCGAAGCCAUAUAGGACAAACUGCACCAUGAGCUCAUGGCCCACUCGUAGGCCUCCUUCAAAGUUCAGCAACCGGCUUAAAUAUCAGCUGCUUUUGUGGUCUCGAUUGCCCUUACUACAUUAUAAUAUCUGGUAUUUAGUAACAGGGUUAUAUAGUUAAGACAAAUACAUUAUAAAAAGGAAAGAGCUUAGUGCUUUGUCACUUCUUCUUGUUUGCUGUCCUUCCACUUUUUCCAGAGGCACAUUCAUGCAUACAAGAUACAUGAUUUUCAUUACAAUAAUAAAUAGUAAUUUGGAGACUUCAGCAAUAAGAUUUGUACCCAUAGAAAAGAGAUAGAGGAAGAGAGAAACCGAAGACUUUAAGCGAGCUUGGGGACAAUGAAUGAAUCCUAAUUUUCCGAUGACCAUAUGAAUCACCUCUAACAUAUAUAUAAAAAUUUUUGAAAAUAUUUUUUUGCGAAAAAUGGAUCCUCCAAGACUGAUCACCGUAGUACGAUAACCCUAAUUGUCCAAAUACUGAAUCAAUUGAUCGAGCUUUUCCAUGCCUAGUCCCACACAACCUAUACAUGAAACUGUGAAACUCCAUGUAUACAUGGCUGCACAUCACAAGCAUCACACCAACAUACUAUGAUUAAAUCGAUUAUGAUCCCGAAGAAACAGUUAAAAACACAAAAUAAACAAAUAUGCUCCAUUGGUUGGUCUUUUACGCAUCACCCAAACAGACUUCAGUGUUGUCCACAAGGCACUUUUAAAGGUUCCAACGGUUGGAAUCCUAAAUACCUCUAUCACCUGGAGGAACUUGUUAAGGCUUGAAAAAGGGAGUCCUUUCUUUCAUCAAGGUUCAGCUGGCUCUCACCAUUCCCAUAUUCAUAUUAAGGGCAUUGCCAAAGCUGUGUCUCCCUGAAAGACACUACACUCAGGCCAUCCACAAAGGCCCUCACCGUGCUAAAAUCUAUGCUUGGCAAAUUUUAGGUACAGAGGAAAUUAUUUGGACUCUUCCCAGGAAAAAGAUUUAGGUAAACAUAUUUCAACCUAUCAGAUGAGAAAGCUUCCAGGAGACCGCAGGAAGGUUAUGAUGUCAAACUGAUAUACAAGUUCCUCAAGUAACCUAAUGGUAGUAUGGUACAGAUAUAAUUCGAGAGUAGAAAAUGUGUCAAAGAUGAGAAAGAUAUCAUAUAUUUUCCAAAUUUUGGAAAAAUGAAAAACCCGUAGGAGUUGGACAAAUUGAAAAGAAAGCAGUACAGAAGUACCGCAAGGAUAUAUGCACCAACAUUUUAAGAAGAUCUAGGUCUUCUGGAAAAGUAUAAGACAACAUGCAAGUAGAAAAGACGGGUUGGCAAUGGAAUCAGAUUUAGCCCCCAAACAACAAGGAUCAAAAAUGUUUAGGACCGAAAGACUCAAUGGUUAUGCUUAAGUUAUGAAUUUUAAGAUUUAAUCCAGAACAAUGUAAUCAUUGUUGUUCUAAGCAUCAUUAAUGCCAACUUAGCACUUCAAUUGAAGGCCCUAGCCCCCCUUGUUCACAAGGAUCGAACCAUUUAACUGCAUCUACAUAGUUUCACAGUAAGCAUCUACAAGCAUUCCCAAUCCUAUAGUGGUUAUCCCAUGUUCAUCCCAAGUGUGCAUCCCAGCAACCUUGUUGCUUUGCUCCAUCUCGAAUCACACCAUCCUUAAAUUAACAAGCUCACCACACCUCCCACAUAUAUUAGUCAAGGCUAGAUUCUGAUGGUGCACUUAUUGGGCACAAGAAAUUAAUCUCAAAUGGUGCCAUAUACUAGACAAAAACAUCAACUUGCAAGUUUGGAGAACUCUUCACCAGCCUCCCACAGCAUUUUCCGGAAGCAUCACAGAGAAUAAACCUUCUCCUAAGAACCCAGUUUCCUCAGCUCAAGGCCACUUAUACUACACCAAGGUUUAAUCAUUUGUGACCCUUUCCCCUCAAGUCUUUCUUUGCUCAGGAUCUGUGAUAAUAUCUGACACCUCAACACCAAAUUGGCGUCUAUCGCAUAAGCAGCAUUUUCUGUUGCUAGAGUCAAUUUUGCCCGUGAUUCCAGGUGUUCAAGAGAACUCAGAGAGAUCCAUCCUACUAGUGAAAUUCGGCUGCUAGCUGAAAAUAUAUCAGCUAGAGACAGGCUGCAGAAAAGGUACUCCUAAUGAUUAGGAUGCAGAAGCACCAGGGUGUCAUCCCUAACAUUCAUGCAAAUACCACCUUAUCCAUCCAAACCACAAGGUUGCUGAGACAGCAUUUAAGAAUUAAAAAAUAUAACAUGCGGUCCUGCCAGGCCACCCAUCCAACCACCAAGUUUUCAGUCAAUUAAGUUAAAGCACAAAUGUAUAAAAGAAAGUUGAGUUCAUUCGAAUGGCUAUUUUCAUCAGAGAAUUGAGAUUCAGGCUUCAGAAGAAUUACCAGCUAAAUGCUGAAAAAGCCUGUGUUGGGCGCGCCGCUAGAGAUAACAUCCUGUUCCCAAGUAAAGAUCUUGGUUAGCAGCCAUUCACAUAAGACUUGAAUACUUCAAGCAGCCAACUUAAAUUACUUCAUUUGACAAGCAAACUCUAAUAUCUACUAAUGAGCAAUUGGUUCAACAAGCUGCAUAAAAUUUUAGCUUAAAGUAACAACAGUACAUAUCUAAAGACUUAAAGAAAUUUCCAGCCUAAGCUUUUCUGUGCAAUUUCUGUUCCAGAAGAGUGCAUGAUCCUAGUUAAACAUGGUAAUGUUCAGAGGAAUGUUGUAACUGGUAGUGGUGAUGUUGUGACUGGUAGUGGUUCAGGCAAACAAUAUCCCUGAUCCCAUGACCAAUCCACUAGUUGCAGGCUCGAAAACUUAUUCCAUAGAAUGAAAUCAUCUGUGAUGUGAAGAAAUCUUAAAAAUAUUGUUCACAAGAAAUCUUAACUACUUUGAUGUGAAGUAGAAGAAUUGGACAGUAUCAUAUGCUCUCUCAGUCCUGAGAUCCACCUCAAGUGGGUAGACUUGUCUUCUAGAAUUAGUAAAUAGAAUGAAGUGACAGUAUAACAUCUAAGUCAACAUUAGAAAGAACGAAUCUUAAACAGUGCCAAGCUUCAUCAUGUGAAGAAACCAAACUAGCCGCAUUUGAACAAGUAGAAAAUGUAAUAAGGGGGAAAAGGAUGGUGUACGUCAAUAAAGACAUGCUUGCAUGCACAACUGACAUUGGACAACCCUUGAUAAUGUUUCCCAAGAUGUUGGAAGAUAUAGACAAAUGUAACAACUUAGUAAGCAUAGAAUCUUAUUAGUAGUCCUGAUCCGCUGAACAGUCCAAGCCAAACCUAUACCUAUCACAAGUAAAUGCUGUAAUUCUCUGAGUUCCAAAUCCAUCAAGAUGUUCAUCUGUCAUUUGAUUUUGAGCAUGUUGACAGAUUCUUUUCUUUCUCAUAUUUUGGACACUAAAAAGCUGUAUGCUACAUGGACUUAGGUCCACUGAUCACAGUCAAACAUAGGCAUGAUUGAGUCGCCUCCUAGAUAUUUCUGACAGAUAUUACUAAAGUAAAAAAAUGUAAGCAAGCCAAUUUGCCAUAUAUUUUUUGAGCCCACCUUUUCAAAAUGGAGAAAUCUUCUGAUGAAGCAUCGGAUAUUCCAAUAUCACAGUUUUUCAAUCUGAUAGAUUUUAAUUGAUAAGGUAGAUGUAAAAUGCAAUGAUGCAUAUAAGGCACGAGUUAUUCUAUCAUAUUAAAAGGAACCAUGGACCUCUGAAGUAUGCAGAAAAUCAUAACUGCUUCCUUCUUUUCCAAUCUAUGGGCAGACAUCAACCUUUUUUCACCUUUUUUUUAUCUUAUCUCUUUUCCUUUCUCACUAACUCUUCCCUCUUUAUAGUCCUCUACAUCCAUCCAUAGAGAAUGAACAAACAACGAAUAUGGUGACCCUCUCCUAAUUUAUGAAUAUCCCCAUUUUGGAUUUUCUGAAGCACUCGAUACCUCCAUUGAAGCAAAGCACAUAGAGGCAGCUGCAGAAAAUGUGAUGCUUCCCUUGCUGGGAAGUAUCACAGUCAUGAAAUAUGCGAUAAACUCAUUGCAAAGAAUUAAAAAAGAAGGGAGCUUCUAGCAAUGAUUCUUGUUGUUGAAUGGGGUUUUCGAUGUUGAUUCAGAUUGUUCAUGGAAAAUGAUCCAGAGUCAUCAAAUUAUGAUCACCAUCCAAUAAAUGAUAACAUGAUUGACUUGUCUUGGACAUGAUUACCAGAAUGAUAUGACAAGAAAUAAUACAAGACCAAUUAACCAAACUUCCUGAUUGAUGUGUGUUGGCCCCAACCACACUUCACUGCAAUUCUAGACAACAAUACAGGCUUACAUAAAUUGCAGUAUUUCCAAAUUGCAUAUAAAUAAGUCAAAACUACCUAGAGUCAAAUCUAAUAUUCAGACACUUUUAAAAAGGAGCAGGUGAGCACCUGGGCGUGUAACUAAAGCAGCUCAAACAGCCUAGCCUCCAGCAGGAACAUGGACAGACACCCAUGCCAAAGCAAGGGCUGGAGGCAAUUGGAGUGUGCACUCAAGGUCAGUUCUGACAGUCAUGGACAACACUCAAGGGCUGCAGCUCAGGUAAGUCCCCUCUUUCUCUCUCUCUCCCUCCUAUUCCCUUCCCCCCCUGCCCCCGGCCCCCCAGGCCCCCUUCCUCCCACCCUUUCCCCUGCUAGUAGCAAGGCUGCUGUUUGGUUCAGACAGGUGUUGCUGCUGCCCACAUGCAAAUGGGGGCGCUGCUGCCAAGGAACUAUCUAGACCCUGGAUGGUCCAUCCUACACAUUUGCCACCUAUAGGCUUUUAUAACAACAUAUGCAAGAUUCAAGUUUCUUCUUUUCCACUAUAAAGCUCAAUGUAUUCUAUCUUUUCUUUGUCAUUAGUUGUGUGAUCUGUUAUAUCCAUGAUUUUUUAUAAUUUGCGCAUUAAACCUAUUUAUUAUAGAGUCUAAAUGUUUCAAACCAUGGUUUAAAAUACCGGUCUAAGUACCCCUAGAAGUACCAUGUUGAUACAAUUCAGUAUAGGUAAAUUUGGCAUACCGACACUCGAUACACGCCAUACCAAGUAACGGGUCAGUAUUGUUACAGUACAUCCAGUACGGGAUGUUACAUACCCGUAUGAUGAGCCAUGUUUCAAGCAGUGUUGCAAAUGCAAGGACAUGAACCAAAUUUGGAUAUAUCCAAGUUUCUGAGUCUAAAAUGUUAGAAAAGAAGGCAUAGAGACACAGAAAACAUAGUUCAAACUAGAUUAGACGUUUACAUUUUCUUAAAUAUUGUAUGAAAAAAUCGCAGACAAUCAUUUUAUAGAGGUUAAGCAUUCAAAUACUAAAAUUUACAUAUGAAUGAAGGAACAUGACCUUUUACAAAGUCAUUUUAAUACCUUCAUCUUUAAACAGCUCCAAAAACAAUAAAAGUCCACUUCUAAUGUCAUUACAGUGGGUUGAACUCUUUGUUGCAAUAGGCCAACUUUGAAUUAAUCUCUAAAAGAUACAAACAAAGAAUUUGAUAUCGUCCAAGUGCCUGCUGCAUACCAACUCACCAGUACAUGUUGAACAUGAACUUACCAAGAUGGAGAUGAGAGUUUGGAUGACACUACUAUAUCUACAAUCAACAUGCUCGUAUUUAGAAUAUGCAUGCUUAGAUUAAUCAAAAAACACAUUUACUUGUUCAAAACAGGUCCACUUCUACUAAAGCAGUUACCAUUAGCCAAGAUGCAAAACCAAAAAUGUAGAGUACCUAUUCUAAUAUUUCCAUGAUCUUGUAAAUCUUGAACACAAUGAGCAUCAAAUAUCAAAACCAACAUGGUGUCAUAAGCACAUGUGACUAAUUUAACCCUCGGCAAAGAAUUCAAUCUUCCACUAUACCCCAUUAAUCCAUAUUUUGUUAUCCAAAUUAAAUAUAUAAAAAAACACACCCACACUAUAAUACCCUACAGGGUUGUACUUGGAUGUAUAUAUGAGAUCUAUAAGUAAGAUCACUCUAUAUCAUGUUCAUUUGAUGUAGGUCAGUUAAAGAGUAUAUUUUGUGAUGUAGCAUGGUGAAUAAAGAAACUAACAAAAAGGAGUGUGCAUCCCGCAAGGGGAAAGGGGGAAGUGAGGGCCGGGGAGGGGUGCGUUUGCAGUAAACAAGGCCAAGCAAUUGCUUGUCAAAACUUUAUUGGUGUUCCCAAAAAAUUAUUGUUACAAUAACUACACCUCCAUUUAUGAAUUCAGCAACCAUGCCUGGCAAGAAUAUGCAGCUAACUGAAGUGAAAUGGGCUCACCAAAAAUUUCUUGUACAAGGCUACAAAAUUCAAAUCCUCAUAGAGACAAGCAUGGAAAAGCUACACAAAGUUACUCAAUAACAACUUUGAUAGCUCUAGGAUCCACUUUGACUCAUCUGAUUACUAAAUUGGGAAUGUUUAACAACAUACCAAACCAAAAUAAGAUAAGAUACGUCAUCAUCAAGCAAACCCAAACACUUGUUACAAUAAUGAGCCUCUAAUCAUAAUUACACUAACCAAUUCACAUAUUUAUAGAACUCUUUCCUAGCGACCGAGAAAAGCUGAACAAGUAACAGAGUUCUGUGAGCUAAAUACAGGCAACAAACUGUGAUUGAGAAAUUAGAAAUGCAGUACACCUGGACCACACAUGAAUCCCUAAAUGCAGGAAAAAAAGGCAGAUUUUCUAUAUAUUCAAUAGGAUAAUGUGGGUUUCAACAAGCUUAUUGGGGCACCAGAUGGUAGCAUAUUAGUUAUUGUUGUAUCGCUUCACAAAUGCAAUGCAGUAGGCCCUGGCCCUGAACAUGAAUGACUACAUGCAAAACAACGAAUCUUUUUCUUAUUAGUGUGGUAUAUUCACACGUGCAAGGCUCAUUCAUAAAACAAUUAGAACACUCAGACCUUCCAACAAUUAUGCACCCCACCACCUCAAAAAGAAAAAAGAAAGAAAAAAGACAAGCAAAACCCAUAACAUUAUAGACAAGGAAAGCACAAAAAAACAAAUUUAAGAGAAUGAAGAAUAGGAAAGGUUGAGAUGGGCUUUAAAGACCCAACUGAAGAUUCAAAGAGGGAGAGACCUUAUUUCAAAUUAAAGUGGACUGGGUAGUCAACUACGCUUGGUGCCUAGAAGAAGCCAUAAGGUCUCUCAUGAUGUACGAAUUUAAAGAAAAAAAGAGGAGUAAGAAAACAACCCAAAAGCCUGUAAAACAAUUGUUCUAGCAGCCUAAUUAGGGUUUCAAAUCUCCUUUAUUUGUUGAGGUAGAUUGGAGGGCAGAUCUUGGCUUCCUAGAUAAGAAUUUCAAAAGGCAAAUUCCUAUGUGUUUGCCACCAGCCACUUGCAAGUAGAUAUAAAAACUUAGAAAUCAGGAUGGUCAAAUGGGCCAGAAGGUACACUAUAAUGGUCAUCACAAUGCUAAGAUGCAAUCCAAUGCAUAGUGACUCAUCUCCAAUAAUGGGCCUCUUAAAUUCAUUCGCAAGCCCCUCGCAUAUUUGAAAAAAAAAACAAAACACAAGUUUUGACGGUACAAACUUUGAGAUUGUGUUGCAAUCAAUAAUUAAUAAUUAGGGAAUCGCCAAAGAUACAUGGGUUGAACAGACCCAUUUUAACCUAUGUUACUAUGAAUUGGGUGCAUGCAUAGAAGUAGCAAAACUAUUAUGUGUACAAACUCAUAAAAUCAAUGAAAAAAAGAAUGAAUGAAUAAAGAAUACAUAAUGGAUGGAAUAAUAGAAUACCCCUCCAUGAUACAUGGACAUUUUAGUUAUUAAACUGUAUACUGUAACCCCAACAUCUGCGAUUAAAUAGGCAGGCCUAACUAUCAUUAAAAAAUUGAGAAAUUUAUGCUACCAACUACGAACUUAAAUUCAUAUUAACAGAAAGGGAACAAUUAGGCAAAGAUGCAAAGUGAAACUAUAAAUUUUAUAACAAAAAAAGGACAGUGUAUGAAUUUUAUACGAGUUAAUGGGAACGUAGCACAGACCACUAAAAUAUCUAGCAUAAAAAUAAUUUUUGAUGAUUGAACUAGAAAAAUUCAAGAAAUUGCCUUCCAACAGUUCCAACCUACAGAAUCCAAAUUCUUAAAAAACCUUUCCAUGUGCUAAGCAUCAUUUUCAGGUCCCAACCACCAAAACAAAUAUCUAUCCGCUCAAAACAUACAACAAAAUCAUGAAAAUUAAUCAUUAAAAAUACACAAUAAUGUCACCAAGCAGCAAAAGAUGUCAAAAAUAUCAGUCAUUAGGUGUUCCAAUCUCAAGUGUGGAACACUGGCCACACAUAAGAAAAACUAGCAGGCCACUGUAACUGAAACAGUGUACCUCUUUUGCCUAAAUAGAUUUAAUUCAACUGAAUUCUACUUUUUUCGGCAAGAACAAUGCUAUUUUAGUUGCGUAGCAAAUGAAAUUUGCAUCACUGAUUUGCAAUUGUAUAAAAUAAGGCAUGAGCAGGGGCAAAGCCAGAAGUCCAGAAGACACUACUCUUUGGUUAGGGAGGGGGAGGCGCAAUUACUAACUAAAGUUUAUUUCUACAAACAAAAAAAUAUCAUGUUUUAAUUAUUAUUUGCUUUCAGAUAUUAUUUUGAGGGAAGAAAGAAAAGAAGCUCAAAGUUAUACCUUUUGCAUCUAUCUUUGAUUGUUUUCGCAAGCAUAUUAGCAAGUGACAAAUAUUUCAUUCUAAAUAUACAUAUAGAGUUAAACCACAGAUAAAAAGUCACUAACCUUUUGAUAAUGUUUUCUUAAGAAAAUGACAAAGAUGAUUUGUUGGCAAGAAAAUCACCUUGAUUACAUGGUAGAACUUGUGGAGGAGAGGAGGGGGAGAGAGAGAGAGAGAGAGAGAGAGAGAGAGAGAGAGAGAGAGAGGAGGAGGNNNNNNNNNNNNNNNNNNNNGAGAGAGAGAGAGGAGGGGGGAGUAAGCUGAAAGGGUAAGAGAUGGUCGUGGUUCCCAUAUCUCACAUAUGAAUAAUCUUUUCAGCAAACUCUCACAUAAGGAUUAUAAAUUCCUACUUAAAAUAACAAUUUUCCCAUCAAUGUUUCAGCAUUCCAAUCAUAUGGAGAUAUAGCAAUCAUUACAGCCCAGUUAAAGGAAGAGUAAAGGGGUCUUGAGAUCUAAGAUCUUGGGUGCCAUCAAUGGCCCCACCAAAAAGCCCCACCAAAGUCUGCCCCUGGACAUGAACAAAGAGAACACAUACUUAUAUAAUAACAGAGGGGCUCAGCUGCACUAGCAGUUUAUUGUUUUUUGAGAACUAGGACAGGUGGAGGCCCAGCCACUUAUCAGAGAGAGAGAGAGGGAGGGAGGGGAUAGAACCCAGGUCUCUUGUAUCAAGACAAGAGACUUUGCCAACUCAGCCAGUUGGCACCCUCCAGCUGCAUUAAUUAUUAACAAUAGAGAAUGACAACUGAAGAAUUACUAUGCCUCAUAACAAACCUUUAAUAGAGAAAAUCAACCCAAACGAAAGAAAGAGGGAAAUGGGAAAAGUACCAACCGAGAUGUUACUUGGCGUCCAACUUCACAGUUUCAACUUGCGAUGUCGUCGUACAAGAAACUGCUGUUGUUUGCACGUUAGAGCCAGUUUGAUUCCCCUUGCCAUUGCCAAGAGCAGCAACCCCACGAAAAUUGCCACCAGCCAUACCUGUGUAGCCGCCAAAGUCGCCAUUGAUGUAACUAGGAUACGUAAAAGAAUUGCCAUAUGGCACCAGACCGUGCCUUGAGGCCACCCAUCCCUGGACGUUCCAAGGGCCCCUUGGACCUGGAACUGGACCUCCAUAACCAAUCCCACCAUAGCCUCCAACAGUAUAUCCUCCAUAACCACCAGCACCAUAAGCAUACAAAGGUGGCGACGCAUAACCAUGAAAAUACCCGUACCUAGGAGUGUAAGGUGAGUAAAUCCCACCUGGGUAAUUACAAAAAGCAGCUCCUCUACCACCAAUGGUUCGUGAGUUAUAAUUGUUAUUAUCAUGAUUACCAUUAUUGCUAUGAUUAUUCCCAUCCUUUGGCACUGCUAUCUUAACCUCUACAUAUUUACCAUUCAACUCAUGGAAACUUUUCUGCAUUACUUUCUCAACAGCCUCUUCAGAAUCAAAGGUGAUGAAGCCAAAGCCUCUUGGUCGGUGGGUUGCACUAUCAUACAUCACAACCACGUCUGUUAUUGUACCAAACUCCUUAAAAUAAUUCUUGAACUCAUCUUCCGUGAUAUUAUCAGACAAACCACCUACAAAAAUCUUCUUCGACUUAAAGUGACUCCCAUUGCUGCUGUUAUUGUUAGUACUGCUCCUACUCGACCCUCUACUAUCUCUACUAUGAUGGGGGCUCUGAUUUGGGUAUCGGUGGUGAGGGGAUUGGUGACUUUGAUGUUGUUCACCUCUGGGUAUGGCUUUCUUCACUUCUACCUAAAAAGCACAAUCAAGUGGAAAAAAACACCACAUAAGCCACAAAUUAAUGCACAGAACCAAUUCAUGACAGACAAGGAAAAACAAGAAUUUGAAAAGGAUAUAACAAUAUUACUAUUUCCAUAAUUCAUUAUCUCAAUCAUUGGAAACAAAACUAUCGAAAAAUCACGAUUACUUAUAUAACUAAUUUUAUUGACCAAUUAUGUUUUUUUUCAAACUACAGCAAUUCUCUAUAAAACAAAAUAGAAGCCCCUAAAGUGUGAAAAUUUUGUUAUGUAAACUAACAAUUUGUAAGCAGGUAAAUCUUCCCUUACUGUCCGAAAACCUUUUUUUCUUUGAGAGAGAAAAAUUCAAUAAAGCAAACAAAAAGCAGAUUUCAUAAUAAUCAUAACAGAGACAAAACCAACCAGCAUUACGACUUCAAUUUUCUCCUAUAAUCGUUUACAUAAUAGAACGAUUUACAGAAGAACAGCCGCAAACAAAAUAUUUCGCGGAAAGAUAAACAUAACUAGAAGCACGAAUUUAUGCAUAAGCAAAAAAAAAAAUACACCUAAAAUAUCAAAAUAAAGCAAAAAAAGGGGAAAAAAUCACCAACAAACACAGAAAAAUCGUUUUUUUUUCACUUCUUUUCUCCACUAAGAGGAAGCGGUGAGAGACGAAAGGGCAAAAAGAGAACUAACCGUUCUCCCAUGAAUGACGUGCUUCUCCUUUUCCUGAAGAGCCCUCUCCGCCGUCUCCGGCUCCAAAAACUGGACGAACCCGAAGCCCCGGCCGUUCCCUGUGGUCCUGUCCCUCAUGACCACCACCUCCUUCACCUCCCCGUACUUCUUAAAGUGCUCCGCGAGCGCCUCCUCCCUCGUCUCCGACGAGAUCCCUCCGACGAAGAGCUUCCCCUGCUCCGACGCCCGCGACGGCGCCGAGGACGAAGACGAAGACGAAGACGACGACGACGGCUCCAUCUACCCGCCUCACCGGAGCCCUACAGGACGCCCAACACCCUAGAGAUCAAGAAAAGGGAAGCUAGGGUUGGGAGAAAACCUAGAGGCGGGAGCUGGGCGGCGGGGGCGAGAAGGAUGGGAGCAGGCGGCGCGAGGGUUUUAGAGUUCGGGCGGGGGAGUUAGAGAGGAGGGAGAGAGCUCAAGGGUUUCUCUCUUGGAGGGAAUAGACGGUGGAUCGACGAUCUUGGGAUGGAGAAAGAUGGACCGUCGGAUCUGGCACCAACUCUUGCCCGCAUUCAUUAAAUAGGUCCGUUUUGGUGCUACGGGUUGACGGCUAUCUCCAAACUAAAAAGGUCUUGGGAUAAACGUUACGGAAAGAUACGGCAGUUGUUAUCAAAUUAGGGUUUUCUGGGUAUUAAGAUAUAUUUUCAAAUAAGCCCUCAAAGUUUAAGAGUAUUCGGCUGCUUGUCCAAGCUGUGUUGCGGUCUGAAGAUAUUGGUUGUGCUGCUACCCGUGUAAUUUUCAAAAAAACCCCUGAAUUUUAUUAUAUGUGGGCCCAAUACUUGAUUUGUGGUAGCAUUCUCAUAUUAUAAGAAUCUUGCCAAAAUGUAACCAUAUAGUUACAACAAGAGUGCUCGUGUGGCAUAACAGAUAUGUAGUGUAAUAAUGGACUGGUAAAUCUAAAUUUGUUAGUUAAGAGAAUUGCCCUAAUCAUCAGCUCUACUAAUAGAUAUGCACAAGAGAAUAUAGAAAAAUGUGGAUUUCACAAGUGAUACGGUAUUGCCCAUCCAUAAACAUAUGUAGUAAGGCAAUUAUUGUGAGAUCCUAUGCGCACGUGUGUUUAAUUCCAUAUUAAUUAUACACUGGACAGAUCUUGGAUAUUUAUACAAAGUCAAAAAAUCCAAAUAAUACUUUUCGGCUUUUUUUUAAAUAAGAUUCUUAUCGUUACAAAUGGCAUCAAAGCGAACUCAGUCCAUAGCUUACAUAGACUAGAUGAUGCUACAAUACGAAUUCAUUGGGUUGAUUAUGGGAUAGUCAUGGUGUUUCUAAUUAGAUUUGUAGUAUUUAUAAUUGGAUUCGAAUCCUUAGAGCGGCAAGAAUAUCAAUUUUUAAACAAAAUAAGUAUGUCGGAAUUUAUGCAAGCAUAUCUUUAGUUCUAUAUUAAGUAGAUUUUUGGUACUUAUACAAGAUCAAAAAAUUGAAGUAAUAUUUUUAACUAGUAUUUUUUUAUUGGGUUCUUCUAAUUAUCCUGUUACAUUUUUUUUAAUAAAAUAUCUAUGCUCACAAACUUUCAAAUCAUGAUUCUAUUAAUUCCUUACGCUCAAACAAUGUGCUAACUAACCUAAAAAAAAUACAAAAGUACUUUAACAUAUAUAUAUAUAUAUAUAUAUUAUAAUGAUCCAUGUGAGAGCAAAGACAGCAGAGCCGGGAGCAAGGAGUAGAAAAAGGUGCGUUCAUGAUGACAUCAAUGAGGCUGUGGUGACAAAACAAAGUGGUAAAGGUCAAGGCGGAGGUCACACUAAAGUCGUGCCAACGGAUUGGCAUGAUGAUACACCAGAGCUGGAAACCAGAAGCAAAGGACGAGGUGAUGAUGGGUGGAUAGACUUGUAAAAGUAACAAGCUGUAGGGAAGCACUUGAUAGUGAAAGUGGAAGCGAGACUUUCUAUAUGCGAUGUAGAAUUAAGCUAUAUACAAAAUGAAAGAUUGUAGCUUUCUUGGCAGGUGAAGAAGGCAAUUGAUUACCCCUAUGCCUUUUAUCAUUUUUUAAAAUAUGUCCUAAUGUACCCGCCCGGCUUCUUUUUUUUUUUGUUCCAUAAAUUUUGCCAAACUUUGCAUAUGUCAUCAAAUCUCUUUAGAUAUCGUCAAUCUAGUUGGCGAUGUUCAAGGAGUCGAUCCAAGGGAGCCUUCUCUAAAUCUCGCCGAUCUGUUCAUCAUCAAGUUCAAGGAGUCAAACUAGAAGUCAAUUUGGUCGGUGAUAGAGCAAAGUGAGGAGCUCUUUCUCUUUCAAGAGCCAUUGCUAUUAUUUUGUGUUUGUUGUUGAUGAUGUCAACGGUCUAGAAGCUGUCGUUGAGGUCCUUGAUGUCGAGGGCGAUGACCUUGAGCUCUUGGAGUCAGCCAUGAUGAUAGAAAUAAGGACCUCAGAGCCUCCCACACUGCUCUUAGACUCCUUCCAUCUCAACCACCUACGCUGAGACCUCCUCCUCCUCCUCCCCCCAGUGGUGACCUCCAUGCCCCAUCCUCCAACCAUCGCUUCCUCGAGCUCUCCUUCUACUAUUCCUACCACAACACCAUUCACAACCACUACAUCCCCCAUGCCAUCGUGGGAAGCCGCCCAACUCUGAAACAAUGUGUCACGCCCUCGACCCGAGAUCGCGAGUUGAGGAUCGCAGCAACCACAACAUAUUUAUAGGAAACUCUUUCACAAGCAUGUAAGGCUUUUUAUCAUAAUAUCAUAAACAAGCAAUAGAAUAAAUUUAAAUAAUUAGCAUUCAAAUUCUAAUUUAAAUAAUAAAAUUAAAAGUCCUACAAAACAAAUAAUAUUUCAAAAUUUUGCAUCAACUCUACAAUAGAAUCUAGCCUAAAUAAAGAUGUCAAAUCUUGUCUCUAAUUGCUCUCCAUGAUAAAUCUCUGAGUUAAGCUAAUUCUUUGGAUUUGUAAAAAUAAUAAGAAAUCAUAUGAGCUAGAUAGCCCGGUAAACAAUGAACACUUUAACUUGAUAAAUCAAACAAUAAAUUAAAAUAAUAUUUAUAGAAAAUAAGCAUAUAGAAUUUAUCAAUUUAAAACUAAAUGUAAAUAUGCAGUAUUAUCGAAAUAUUAGGCAUAUCAAAUUUAAUUUUUCUCAAAAUCCAAAUGUUGUUCAUAAAUAAAUUUCUUUUAAAUCAUCGAAUUCAACUCGACAUCCAAGAAUUAUGACUAUAUCAAAGUGCCACCGUAGAGCCUCCAAUAGUAGGGUAUCAAAGUUCCAAUGUAUAACUCCCACUAAUAAGGUAUCGAAAUUUCAAUAUACAAUCCCCACUGGUAGGGUAUCAAAGUGCCAACUAAAACACCCACUGGAAAUAUAUCGAAGUGCCAACGUACAACCUUCACUAGCAAGAUGUCGAAAUGCCAACAUACAUCCUUUACUAGCAGGGUAUCAAAACAUAGUCCGAUUGCGAGUCCAAAUUUGUUUCAAAUCAAAACUCUUUUUCUCAAAAGUAUGUUCAAUGUUCCAGAUUGUAAGAUAGUUAAAUUGAUAAGACAUCAAAAUCAAUUGAGCAUAAUCCAUAUCAAAACCAACAUGGUCACUUAAGAAUUAACAAAUAUUCUAAAAAAGGCAUAUAUAAUAAUAAAACACCAUGCAUCAAGUAUAUAAAUCAAGAAUAAUUUGAUUUGAAAAAUAUUUAUAAUUUGUUGAUAAAUCUCGAAAAAAAGUUAUAUUACUUACCUUAGGGGCAAAACCAAAUUAUAGGUCCAAAUAAUUUCGAAAAUUACUUCCAGAACCUCAUAAUUCAACAAGUGCUCAACUAAAACUUCUGUGAGCCAAGAUGCGAAGGAGAAGGAAUAAAUGAUGGUCUAGUUGUAGUAAUCGGUAAAAUCUGUCGGUGAUGAGAUGAAAGGGAGUGCGGGAUCUUUAAAUAGUCAUUGGAGGCUAGGUUUCCUAGUUUCCAUAGAAAAUCGGGAUGAAGGAGGAGUCCAUCUUCUACUCCAAGUCGAACAUGACUUUAUUUUUUUCAUCUCCUACGUCACGGAAUAGGACUCUAUUCUCUUUUUUUCGUUUCCUACUCCAAGUCAAAUAGGGUUAUUUUCUCUCUUUUUUUUCUCUCUUAUUCCAACUCUUACAUUUAGUCCAAUUAAGUGAACCAAACACAAUUCCUUAUUUGACCAACUGUGCCAACCCCCUUCACUUGAUGCAACGACUAUGUCUAUGUCGACCAUGCUUGGAAGCAUCAAUAUCUCAAUGCUCUGCCAUGGACAACCUUCUUGAGUUCUCUCGUAAAACCGGCAUCACCAGGGUCUGUGGGUUCUUGACAGGCAGCGGCAUCACAAAGAGGAACCUCGAUGAAGAAGGAGAUUUACCAUCAAAGAGGAAAGGUAAAAACAUCUUGCGGACUCCUAGUUUAGAGUACCUAGGGGCAAGAUAGUUGUUNNNNNNNNNNNNNNNNNNNNGAAGGGCCGGCGCCGGGGAGCCCGGCCACCGGUUUUCUUUGCAGGACUUGCACACCCCCCCGCAGCGGAGGACGCAGCCAGCCGGCGCACCGCCGUCCGCCCCCUGCAGCAGCGGAGCUCCUCCUUCUCCGGCUUCACGGCGGCCCCCGGGUCCAAUUUCCAGCAACAAUAGUUAUUUUUUAUUCCUAACUAACUUAACUGACAUAGUUUGGGCAAUGGAAAACAACAGAAGGGCCAUCUUGAAAAUAAAAAUAAGUUAAUAUGAUUCAUGUUAUAUGCAAUAUUGACAAAAUUUUGGUUGUAAAAUACAAAAAAAUUAAGAUAUUUAUUGCAGCAUCAAAUUAGCAUUCGGUAACUAACAAAACUAAACCAAUAACUAAGGCAACGGUUCGACCUGCACGCACUAUAGUUUUUUUUUUUUUGAUUUGAAUAGUUGUAUGCAUUUAAGGGGACCUCGGCCUUUUUAUAUUUCUUUAUUGAAAAUAAAACUAUAGUUUUUUUUGGAAAAAAAAAUGAGGAACUACAAGACUGGGUAUUUUGGAGGAAGCUUAGUAUGCACGGUUAAGUUGGAUUUGCCCCUAUUUGGCGAUGCUUUUCGACAAGCUGGACAAGCAUGUACUUAAUAUAAUAUUUUAUUAUAUCACAUCACAUAAUAUUUCAUUAUAUUAUAUUAUAUCAUAAUAAUAUUAUAUUAUACUAUACCAUAUUACAAUAAUAUAUUAUGUAAUAUUAUAUUAUAAUAAUAUUAUAUUAUACAAAUGCACAUUAGUACAUAUAAUGUCAUAUUAUGCUUAUUAUUAUUAUACUAUAAUAUACAAUAUUAUAUUAUAAUAUAUUAUCAUAAUUUAUAUUAUAUUCUAAAAAUAUAUUACAUAUUAUAAAAUAAUAUUUUUAUAUAUAAUAAUAUAUUAUAUUAUAUUAUAUUAUACUAUAUUAUAUUGUGCAAUGUUUUUUAUUACUCUUUUAUCGUACCAAACGUGGGGCGUAGGUUUCUGGCUUGGAAAUCGGGCUACGGCGCUUGCGUUGCAGUUAUUAGCCGAAAAGGGCCUUUAACAUUUAUGAUCAAACGGUCCACGUACCAUCGGUGGAUGUAUCCAUAAUGAGUCCAGGAUGUGGACAUCUCUCUCAUAAAUGACCUUUCUCAAAAAUAAAAGAAAAAAGUACGGCUAUGUUUGAUGUACCUGUGUGAAUUAUUUGAUUUCCAAUAUAUUACCAGCACUGUAAAAAAAUCAAGAUUAACUUUCACAUUGAAACACCAGGAUCAUGUUGAUGAGGGAAAUAGUUCUAGAGGAUCAGCUGAUCUGCCAUGCAGCAUACACUGUAAAGAGAAGACAAGGUGGAAACUGGGAUCAGUUGCAUUUAUAUGAAAAAUGGAACAAACUCAAGCAGUAGACUUGUGCUUCUUGGGUUGGUUUUAGAGGGGUUCUUUAGCUUCAUUGGAUUACCUUCAGUGCUGUUGUCUGUACCGGAUACUUCUGAAUUUUAGUAAUGAUCUUUGCUCAUGUACACAGUUUUGCAUGGACUUUGCAAGACUAAAACUGAAUCCAUUCUCCAGGCAGCAAAAUCUGAGAAUUGUUGUUGUUCCUGCAUCUGCCUUGAAUCCUCUGAGAUGGNNNNNNNNNNNNNNNNNNNNNNNNNNNNNNNNNNNNNNNNNNNNAAAAAAUUCCCUCCAUCUCUCAAGAAUACUAAAAGAAAGUCUAAAAACAAAACAUCCCGGAGCUCCCGGGGCAGCUCUCCGUCCCUUACCCAUAGGGUACUACUGGCAUGGUUAGCCACAUACGUGGUCACCCAAUCCGCAGCCCCGUUAGCUUCUCGAAACACAUGCUUCGUCUGGACCAUCCCUCCGUCCCUCAUCAUCAACCAGAUAUCGCGGAUCAAGGGAUGGUCGGCAGCACCGGCCCUCUGACCCCCUGGAUCCAACUAAUGACCGUAGCCGAGUCACCCUCCAAGAUGACUGAUCUAGCUGAGAGCACACGCUGAGCGUGUCGAAGACCCGCCCAGGCAGCUUUCAGUUCCGCUCCAGGAACCGUGCAGUCAAAUAACUGACAGCCUCCUGCCGCCACUACCCUAGAAGUCGGGUCCCGAAAAACGAAACCCGCUCCACCUAUCGUGCCACCAUCCAGCACUGACCCAUCAAAAUUAACUUUGAGGAAGCUUGGGGGUGGGGGUUCCCAGGUGAAAAACACCGUGUAAGAAGCUGCCGAGGCAGGAGGGGAACCCUAGAUAUCCCGAACUAUCAAAAGUCUAUCUAAGAAGGAAGCAUGACUAAUCUCUGCCGCCUGCGCCCGGGCGCUCUCCGCCACGAGCCUUGGCGACUUGCUCUGCUCACCAAAGGUUCGAGCAUUCCUUGCCAGCCAUAUAUGGUAUGCUGUGCAGGUCGCUCUAACCGCCUCUUGGCGUGUCAAUAGGUUACCCGACCACAAACGGAUAGUUCGUAAGAACUGGUCCCCUCGGGUCCAACCCUCCCAUAGCAGCCCCGCCGCACACCACGCCGCCCUCGCCCAUGUGCACUGAAAUAGUACAUGGUCCACCGACUCAUCGGCUCCGCAUGCCCCGCACUCAGGAGGUAUCUUCAAGCCCCGUUCGCUCAGUACUGCUCUUGUCGGAAGCCGAACGCAGACGACUUUCCAUAAGAACAGUGCGACCUCGGAUGGAGGCCUAGGCGCCAGACCCAGGCAUACUCCGGUCCUGGCUCAUGCUCUGGCCGGAGCACACGGGAGAGAUCCCCCACCCUCACUCCGGUCCUGCACGACAUGCUCCACACCCGGGUAUCCGGACCCGCAUACCCCGGAAUCGGAAGGGACCGAACCCUCUCGGCCAAGUUUGCCCCAAAUAUGUGACCCAACCUAGCCUCAUCCCAGGCAGCCCCGCCCGGGACAAGGAGGUCACAGACCCGCAGUCCCUCCACUGCCUCAAUAUCAACCAUAGUCGACCAGAGUCUCAAGGGUAGGGCACCCACCCAUGGGUCACCAACCACAUUAAUACUCUGCCCAUCGCCUAUCAACCAUCUAGUAUUCUCCUCGACCGUGGGAAGAUAUUUAGCGAUCUCUCGCCACAUGAAUGAACAGCGACGCCCACUGCGAAUCGCCCCUGCAGUGCCGGUAUGGCCAUAUCUGGUAGCCAUGGUCUGACUCCAGAAACCCUGUGGCUCCAGCGUGAAUCGAGCUGCAUGUCGGGCAAUCAGCGCCUCACAUCGCUCCACAAGAGACAAAACUCCGAGGCCACCCUCACUCACUGGUAGGCAGAUACUCUCCCAUGCUACUAAAGGUAUCCCGUGACCCCCUCCAUACGACCCCCACAGGAAGCUUCGAAGUAGCCUCUCAAUCCUCAUUAGCAAGGAGCUCUCACACAAACACACAAAAACACGAGGGAAUGCCUACCUACCCCUUGUGAUUCCCGGCUUUGACAGACAAGCAAAACUUGCUGCCCACUUCACCUGUCACAACAGCCAGAAAGAGAAUGCACUGUUUUCGGAACCACUGUGUUGGCCAUGAAGUGGACCGGCAUGGAAGCUAGCACUGACCUAAUCAGCGUCAAUCUACCCAUCAUAGAGAGUGAAGAUGCCCUCCAGCCCUCCAGUCUGCUCUAAAUCCUCUGUACCAGACCAGAACACUCUGCCACCCGUAACCGCCUACCCGUAAUGGAUACUCCCAGAUAACUCCAGGUCCCAUCCUGAUCCGGUAGCCCAAGUAACCUCUGAAUCUCCUGUGUGACCCUAUGCUCAGUGCUAGGGCUGAAGAAAAUUGUUGACUUCUGAAGGUUUACCUUAUGUCCCGAUAUUACACAAUACUCCGCUAAUACUCUCCUGAGUACUCGUGCAUCCUCUACCCGCGCCCUAGCCAGGAGUAGACAAUCGUCCGCGAAUAGUAGAUGCGAUAUAGACCGAGACCCUAGGGCGGGAACAAACGCCUCCAGCUCCCGGUUAGCACAAACACCUCGCAGAGCCCGAGACAUGACAUCUGAACAGAUGAUGAACAAAUAUGAGGAUAAAGGACAUCCUUGUCUAAGCCCCAUAGUGGACCUAAAGAAGGAGGAGGGUGUACCGUUGAUCAAGAUGGAGAACCUCGAUCCUCGGAUGCACCCCAACACCCACUCAAUCCAGGUCUCAUGAAAACCGAAGUACUCCAAAGCGCGUCGCAAGAAACUCCACCGAAUUCUGUCAUAAGCCCGUUCCAUGUCUAGCUUGACAGCCAUCAUGCUUCGUCGCUUAGAGGCCCAUUGAAGAUCCCACAUUAUUUCUUGGGCCAACAUGACGUUAUCAGAGAUAUUCCUACCCCCUACGAAAGCACCUUGCUCCUGGCAAAUGAGGCCUGGCAGCAGAUGCUUCAUCCUACCCACCAUUAUCCUUGCCACCACCUUAUAAAGGGUUGUGUACAAGCUGAUGGGCCUGAAAUGGCCUGGAAAGUCUUCUUCUCAUGGAAUAAUUUAUCCACAUGUAUGGAUUGUCUGUUGAGUUGUCCUAUCCCUUACUCCACUCUUAUUUUGAUAAAGAUUUUGAUGCAAGAAGAUUGUUACCUUGAGUCAUGGAAUCCAUAGUAGUUUGCCACACUUGAAGAUCCACGCAAAAAGUGAGUCUGUCAUGCUUCAAGAUUCGUGUAAGAGGAGAGUGUGAUUGACAAAGGUUUUUUUGGUAGAGAGAGAGAGAGAACCCUGUAUGCAUGUAUUGGAGAAGGGGUCCUCACAAGCUAUUUAUAACUUUCUCCAGAGACUAAUUGCCACGGUGGUUACACCCGUGAAAAGUCACCCCUAUCAAGAUGACUUUUCACCAUUGUGAAAUUUCGUUUAUGCCCUCGUGAUUAUCAGAAUUUACAAAAUUCAAGAGACACUUGUCAAUGUGGGCUUUAACUAAACGAGAUCUAACAUUCUCUCACUUAGACGAUAUUGACACUACUUGUCAAUGUGGGCCACAACUUGUUAAAGUUGCCUCAUGAUUUCACCUGGGGAGUUGGAAAGGACUUAUUUAUGGAACUUAGUAACUUGUUAAAGGUUAAUACGUUGGGUGUUUUGUGUGGGAGUUUUAAUUUAAUAAAAAGAUUAAAAUUUUAAAAAAUAAAUAAACUAGCCUUAUUCUCUAAAUUUUAAAUACUUAUUUUUUUCUUCAAACGUUUUUUCAGAAGAAUUGCGAUUCUUCAAAAAAGAUCGCUGGUUUUCGAAUGGGAUGCGAUGUUUUCAAAACAUCGCAUACCUCGCAAAUGAUGCACCCUAUCAAUUACUAGAUAAAGUCUAUAAAUAGGCUAUGGGUUUAGCAUAUUGGAUAACUCAAUUCACAUUACUACUUCUCUCCUUCCAGAGACAAGAUAGAGAAUUCUUCUCUCUAUUUUUUUUGUCUUAUUCCAAGCUUCUUUUAAGUUUUCUUUUUCAUCUAGACAUCUGAUAUCUGAAGGAGUCGAUUGGGCAAGCCUCCCUAGUGAUCGUACUUGUUAGAGUAGGAUCGGACUGAGUUGGGUUGUUAUACCUUGGGAACAAGACUACCAUAAACCUCACGUAGGAGGUGAAUCACAUUCUUAGAUCAGUGUAUAUCAUACGCCUCAACCUAGCAAGCUUUUUCCAAUCUUCUAAUUUUAUUCCAGUAGAUUAUUCAUUUAUAAUACUUUUAUAAAAUAAAGAUAUAACAAUUUUUAGGUAAACUAUUUCCAACAGUCUAAGAACGUGAUAUUGAUUGUACUAGAAAUUGAUAUAUAUAUAUAUAUAUAUAUAUACACAUACACACACACACAUGUGUGUGUGUGUUUAUUAAAAUUUAAUUUAAUAGCAUAGAAUUAGAUUUAGUCUAAUUGUAUAGUAAUUUGAAAGCCUUAACUUCAUUCAAAAAGUUGUUUUCUUCAUUAAAAAUCAAUUUUUAAGAAAGUCAUAUUACUCUAAAAAUUGUGCAAACAGAUUUCUGCAAUUUUAAAAACCAUAUAGAAAAUUUUUUGCAUAUUUAAAAUCUUUGUAGAAUUUUCUGCAACUUUAAAAAUAAUGCAAUUUUUUUUUUUGCAAAUUAAAAAUUUGUGUAGAAAAUAACUGUAUGUUUAAAAUCCAUAAAGAUUUUCUACAGCUUUAAAUUUUGUGCAACUAUUUUCUGCAAUCUUUAAUUUCUUUGUAGAAUUUUCUACAUCUUUAAAAUUGUGCAGAAUUUUUUUGUAUCUUUUAAAAAAUUGUACAUAAAUUACUAUUGCUUUAGAAACCGUGCAUAUUAUUAGUUGUUUUUUUAAAAUUUCAAUUGUUGCUGCUUUGAAAAAUAUGCAGAAAUUACAGAGUUACUUUACUUACUAUAUUUCUUAGUGUAGUAAUUUAAUUUUAUUAUUAUUAUGGUUCUUUAUUGCAAUUAUUUCAAAAUCUAGAAUUAUAUUCUUGAAACCUAUUAAUUAACUAUUCAAACCAUAGGGCUAAACUCCUUGAAAUUGGUGAUUGCAGAACAAACUAAGCAAACAAAACUUUAUAAAUGGCUUCUCUUGAUGAUCAUAGUUCAAUCAAACCCAAACAAUUUAGUGGUUCUUCUUUUAGAAGGUGGCAAAGCUAAGUAAAAUAUUGGCUCACCAUAUUAGGGUUGAUAUCUGCCAUAAAAUAUUUUGAUCCUAAACCAUCUUCUAGAUCAAUCUCUCAACUAACUCUCUCAUAAUUCUCAAGAUUUUGGAUCCUCUAGCCCUCACUCCAAAACUCCUGAAGAAAUUGACUUCCGUUGCCACCAUAGGAUCCUUAAUGCCUUUAUUGAUUCUUUAUAUGAUGUGUACCUUUCCACUAAAAUAGCUAAAGAAUAUUGGGAUGCUUUUGAAGCAGAAUAUGGAUUAGAUGGUGCCUGACUUGAUUAGUUCUCUGUAUCCAAGUUUCGUAAAUAUGUCAUGAUGGAUUCUAAAUCUAUCAAUGUCUAAAUUCAUAAAUUUUAAGAUAUUAUAAAGGUUGAAUUGACAGGUUGCGAAUUCUCUAAACAUUAUAGAGUCCAAGCCUUGGUUGAUUCUCUCCCUCCAUCUUGGUUGAGUUUUUCUCUUGAGUUAAGUUAUAAGCAAGCUAAUUUAACCCUAUCAGAGAUUAUAAACUCUAUCUGGAUUGAAGAAGAGCAUCGACUUGAACAUAAGCAUAAACCUAAUUUUGGACCCAAGAUCAAUAUGAUCGAAUCAAGUCAAACCUAUUUCAACCCCCAUAGAAAAUUCUUUAAAAGGAAAAAAAAUCUCCAAAUCCUUCAAACCUUGUCUCUUCCUCCAAACCUCCUAAAAGCCAUAACUGUCUAGAUCAGAAGCCAAAAAGAAAAGAGAUCUUCUGCUUCGUGUGCGGAUGGCCAAAUCAUAUAAUGAAGGAUUGAUACCAUAAUAAGACGAAACCUUGGAAGAAAGGAUCACCUAAACCCCAAGUGAAUAUGAUUGAAGAUGGUUCUGGAUCUUUCUUCAGGUUAGAAAGUCAAAACCCUUUGGUUUUCUUUGUCCAUUCUUCUUGUGAUUAGUGGCUUGAUUCCAGGACUAGUUCCAUGUUUGUUUUGAACACUCCCAGUUCUCCACCUUUCAGAAAUCAAGUGGAGGAGAUGUAAUGCUUGGGAAUGACCCCUCAGCACAAGAGUUAGAAAAAGGAUGAGUGGACUUGAAGAUGACAUCGAGAAAAACUCUAAUCCCUCAUAAAGUGUUAGUCAUCCCCAAUGUUAGGAGGAAUCUCAUCGGUGAAUCUCUUUUUGUAUCUAAAGGUUAUAAGAUGGUAUAAGAAUCUAAUAAGUCUGUAAUCACUCGUAAUAAUAGGUUUGUUGGAAAAGGCUUGUAUCUGAAGGCCUAUUCAAAUUGAGUGUAAUUCUUAAAAAUUCUAAUAAAAAUCAUUAUUUUGUUCUAAAUCUUGAAUCUUCUAAUAUUUGGCAUGGUAGGCAUGGAAAAAGGCUCUUUUAGUAGCAUGUUCCAUCCUAAAUAGAAUACCUUUUAAAGAUAGUAAUAAGACACUUUUUGAACUCUAGAAGGGUAAAACUCCUAGAUUAGAUUACCUUAAAGUGUGGGGGGUGCCUAGCUAAAGUAACUAUAUCUGAACCUAAGAAAAGAAAAAUUGGUCCUAAAACCAUAGAUGCAAUCUUUGUAAGAUAUUUCUUAGAUAGUAGCACAAAUCGAUUCUUUGUAAUUAAUUCUAAGAUAAGUGACAUCUCUAAUAACACUCUCACCGAGGUUGGAGAUGCUACUUACUUUAAAAAUAUUUUUUCUUUUAAAAACUAAAUACCUAAUCAAAUUCAAUAUGAUCUAUCAUCUAACCCUGGCCUUGUUGAAUCAGAGGUUCUUUGUGAUUCUAGAAAGAGGAAGAUGUCUAUGAUCAUGGACCUUCUGAACCUAGAAGGAGCACAAGGACUAGAAAGAAAAAGGACCUUGGUGAAGGUUUCUUUACUUUUCUAGUUGAAGGUAAACCUUUGACAUUUGCAAAAGCAAUGUCUUCAUCAGAUGUUCCUUUUUGGAAGGAAGCUAGUCCUUCUGAAUUCAACUCAAUUAACCAAAAUUAGACUUGGAUCCUAACUGAUCUUCCUCCAUGUAGUAAACCAUUAGGUUGUAAGUGGGUAUUAUGUAGGAAACUUAGACCCGAUGAGUCAAUAGAAAAAUAAAAAGCUAGAUUAGGAGCUAAGGGUAUAACCAAAAAAAGAGUUUAGAUUAUUUUGAUACCUAUUCUCCUGUAGCUAGAAUCUUUACCCUUAGAACUCUCAUUGCCAUUGCUUCUAUCUAUAAGUUGAUCAUUUAUCAAAUAGAUGUGAAGAAUGCAUUUCUAAAUGGAGAUCUAAAUGAAGAGAUCUACAUGGAACAACCAAAGAAUUUAUUGUAAAAGGGGCAAGAGAACAAAGUUUACAAACUUGUUAAGUCCUUAUACGGUCUCAAAUAGGCACCUAAAUAAUGGUAUAAAAAUUUUGAUAGAACCAUCUCUUUCCUUUGGUUUCUCCAUCAAUGAUCAUGACGAGUAUGUCUAUUUCAAAAUCACUAAUAAUGAUUGUGUGAUCCUUGAUUUAUAUAUUAAUGAUUUAGGUGAAGAUCUUUGAAACUUCUCUUAAAAUUAUAUCUAAAAUCAAACAAUUCUCUUCAAGUUACUUUGAUAUAAAAGAUCUAGGUGAAGCUGAUAUCAUCCUAGGGAUGAAGCUGAUUAGAUCCCUUGAAGGGAUAGCUCUCUCCCUGGCUCAUUCCAUCAAGAAAAUGAUUCAAAAAUUUGGUUACGCUGAUCAAAAAUCUAUGUCUACUCCUUAUGAACUAAGUAUUCAUUUUAAAAAAAUUAGAUAAAUCAGUUGAUCAAAUCAAAUAUUUUCAAAUCAUAGGUUCUCUCCUAUAUAUGGCAGACAAGACAAGACCUGAUAUUGCCUAUGCUGUAGGGAGACUAAGUAGAUAUACUCAAAAUUCAAAUCAAUUUUAUUGGUUGGCCGCUAAAAGGGUAUUUCAAUAUCAUAAGCAAACCCUAGAUCUAUCUCUUUUUUAUACUGGAUACCAUGGGGUGAUUGAGGGUUACAGUGAUGCAAAUUGAAUACUGAUUCUCUUGAUCUUAAAUCAAUCAUUAGAUAUCUCUUUAUUCUUGGUGGUGCUGCUAUUACUUGGGGAUCAUCCAGGCAAACUAUUCUAUUUUGGAGCACUAUGGAGGCCGAGUUGAUUGCUCUAGAUAAUACCUAUACUGAGGUAGAGUGGAUUAAAAAUUUUAUCUCAGAGCUACCUUUAGUAUUUAAGCCAGUUCCAACCAUCUCAAUCUAUUAUGAUAAUAAAGCCAUGAUAGAACUGACAAAUCAAAAGGGUACUAAUGAAAAGAUGAACCGACGUAUCCAUAUUCGUCAUAAAUUUGUGAAAUAACUCAAAAAGAGUAAUGUCAUUUCUUUAGAAUUUGUCAAGUCUAAAAAAAACCUAGCAAAUCAAUCAACCAAGAGUUUGUCUAGGAGUGAAGUUCUAGAAUCAUCGAGGAGAAUAGGGCUUAAGCCCACUAUUUGGUCACCGAUAGUAGAAACACAACCUCUGUGAUUGGAGAUUCCAUGAAGGAAGUUCAAUAUGGUAAAAAUGAAACUAAUUGAGUGAUUGUGUCUAGGCAUAUUUUUUGAAGCAUAUCUUCUUCCAUCCUUAUAAUGAAUGCUUUUAUCAGUAACAAAAAAUUAUAUUGGAAAGAUUGAGUUAUACCCUUAAUGAGUCCACGAUAGAAAUUAUGUAGGGUAUUAAGUCAUAAAUAGCUUUGGAGAACUUAUCUAUGUGAGAAUUGUCAUAUAGGCCAUGACUAUGUAUUUGAUUUAAUCCUAACAAAAUUCUCAUAAAAAAUCAAGAUAUUAAGCGCAAGGCCUUUACAUGACGCUAACCGCAUAAAGAUAUAAUUAAUUCAUAAUAUGUGUGAUAAGUAGAAGUUUGAGUCAAAGAAUAUAGUUAAAGGUCUAAUCCACUAUUGUUCUUUCAGAUAGAUACUAUCAACACUAAGUGAGAUUCAAGUCCAUGGGACACCUCACCUAUUGCAGAGUAUAAGUUGCCCAGAUGUUCUUCUUUAACUUUAAAUCUUUUGUGGAAGAUUGUUGGAAUUUUAAAUUUAUAAAAAAAUAAAUAUAAAAAAUAAAUAAACCAGCCUUAUCUCCACAAUUUUAGAUAGUUUAAUAGUUUAAAUACUUUAAAAUACUUAUCUUUUUCUUCAUACACUUUUUUCAGAAGAGUUGCGAUUCUUUGGAAAAGAAAAUUGGUUUCCGAAUGGGAUGCGAUGUUUUCGAAAUAUCGCGUACCUCAGAAAUGCCGCACCAUAUCGGUCACUAGACAGAGGCUAUAAAUAGGUUCUGAGUCCAGUGUAUUGGAUAAUUCAAUCCACAUUACUAUUUCUCUACCUCAUGAGACGAGAUAGAGAAUUCUUCUUUCUUUUUUCCUUUUCUUUUCUUCUAAACUCUUUUCAAGUUUUUUUUUCAUUUGGGCAUCCAAAGGAGUCAGUCAGAUCAAACCUCUCCAGUAAUCGUGCUCAUUCGAGGCAUGUGAUAUAUCUCCAACAUUUUGUUUAUAAAGAAGUCUCAAGCUCCUUUGUUUAUCAAGUGUGUAUAUAUAUAUAUAUAUAUAUAAAGAAUUAAUCUAAAAAAAUAUAAGGAAAAGAAUUUAAAUAGAUUCAGAACAAAUUGCCAUUGGGACCUAUCCUUGAGUUCCCAGGGUUAUAAAAUUUUGUUAAUUUUGAAAAGGAAAAGGAACGUGUCUGCUGGGAACCAGCCUUUGAUGGGUCCUAACGGUCAAAUGGCUGUUUUGUUGUAAAUUAAAAAUACUUUAACAAAUUGACGUUCUAAUAGGCCAGGAUUUUGCACCCAUUCAGAAGGGGAUCAUCAGAGAGAUCCUGGCCCAAAGAACUAUUAUGUCAUUGUGGCCGUGGGCUGGCCUACCCCAAGUAUACUGUGUGACUUAUACAUUCAGAAAAAACAAACUCUGAAUCCCAUGUUAAUUGGAGUUCAAGAAAAUGGAAUUACAAAUGUUUAAUUGAAUUCGAUAUUUCACCAGAAAAAAGAGUGUAUAGUCUGCAAAUUUGGUGUAUUUCAUUUUGUUAUUGUUCACAUAUCUAAGAAGAAUUUGAUGAAGCAAUUCAUUGUUAAAUCAGAAUAUUGGUGAUAAAUAUGGUGACAAUGUUUAAGGACUCAUUAUAAUUAUUUUACUCAGGCAUAUCUUUAUAUGUCCACCAAUGGAGGGGGGCAGGAGUAGCAUUGCACCCAUAUGCAUUGUGAGGCAUUGGCGUGCUUCACUGCUUCAUUUAAAAAUGAACAUAUUCCACCAUUACAUGUGAGCUAAUGCUUGCAUAAGAUCUUGCUUAAUGGGAAAUAUAAAAGAAUUAUGGUGUUCGUGAUAUAGACUAAUAGCACAGAAUAUUGUGGGUUAUAAUCUUUGGCUUACGAUGCCAUUUGUGUGGGUUGCAUCUUGAUGUCUUUCUUCUAUAGAUUUGACUAAACCAAUCAAGCUUUAGAUUCCUCUAAUCUCACUGCCAAGACAGCUAUCUUGUUUCUUCUUGCAAACUUAUAACAGAAAUUACCUACAGUCUAUGCCGAAUCGAUAUUUUCAUACACCAAUCCAUUUGCUUGACAUAAAGUGCAGAAAUAAUGUUACUGCAAAGGAAGCAAUCUGGUUUUAUGAGCAACCACUUCAUAUCAAGCAAUUAUUUCUUUUUAUUAGUUACUAUUUUGGUCUAGUUUGAAUAUGUACUAUUUUUUUUUCUUUUCUUUUUUUCUUUUUUAAAGAUACAGGAGUGAAACAAUCAACCUAUUUAUAUUGGUAGACCAAAAAGAGAUAUUAUAUUUUAUAGGAUUAACGGAAUAUUAUAGAACAUUGUAGGAUUAACUGUAGGUAAGGGAAUAGCCCUUUUAACUUUCUCAUUGGUCAUAUACUUUCUGUUGGAUAAGAAAUUGUAACAAAACUAAAUUGCUCUGUCUCAUAUUUGAACAAUCACACUUUCACCCAUGUAAAUCUUAUACCUAGAGAUGAAAGAAAGUUUUCUCUUUUUAGAAAAUAAGUAAUAUAGGCACCGUCUCUAUGAGUUUGAAAUCCAGAUCUCUCUUGCUGCACCGAGAAGAGAGGUUGUCACUAAUGAAAUCAAAAACAGUGGCACUUCUAUUAGUCAACCUUGUCUUUCCAAUUGCACUAACAACAAUAACAAUUUGCUCUUUUUCUUGAUAUUUCUUAAUUAUGCCAAACAAGUAUUUUACAGUCCAUUUUGGUUCCAAGUAGUUGUGAUUACAUGUAACUAGAACAACAUGUAAGCAUGUAACGCUAAUUGUGGCAAUUUUAGUUAUCUAAAUACGUUUGGUUGUUUAUAUAACACUAUUUUCAAUAUUUGGGUUGAUGUAACUUUCUUGUAUCUAAGUGGUCUCAAAAGGAGACCGAUCACUUGGAAUUAGUGUUAAAAGUUAAGGUAAAGCACGGAAGUGCAUAGUUACUGUUGCCGCUGAGAACUAACUGGCCCUAGGCACCGCAGCGAGAAGUGCGACAAUGCUAGAGAGCUCGAUGGUCGGUUGCUUUGGUCAGAAUUGGACAAGGUGAGCGGCAUUCGGUCAUUGCAACCGAGAUCCUCACCGGAUGGUGGCCGUCCGACCCGAAACAGCAUAGAGCAAGAAGUUCUCUUUCUAAAACGUAUCCAACGAGGGGCCCUCCAGUGCCUAAGUCAAUGUCGUAAUUAGGAAAUAGGAGGAGAUUAUUUUUCAGUCUGUUAGGGUAUGCUUCCUUUCUUACCUCCUCUACCCUUCUUUUUUUGUAUAUAUUCGGUAGGAGCCUACCUACCAUAAGAGAAUUAAGGCAUGUGGGUCAACCAUAAGUGACUGGCUUGAGUACGGCCUAAACAUCAAACGAGAAUGCUCCGCACAUAGACAACGUCUUCCCUAUCACAUCGGUGGGAUCUUGAUGAUCAUUGGAUCCUUCUGUUAAGAAGUGGUCAACUAUAGGGAGCUCCUGAUAUGCAAGCUUGGCGGUAUGGUGCCGGGCUAGGCAGUAUGGCGCUGGGCCCGCCUAGUGACCGUUCCCGAUCUACCACGUGUCGACAUUGUGGCGUGUGUUAAUUGGUUGGACCUUCUAGUGAGCUUUAGCCGGUUUGGAGGUGUAUCAUUUGCACCCUAUUUACGCAACAGAGCCGGGCUAUCUUGCUCGGGUUGCGAAAUUAGUUUUUCUAGAAGAGCUGCUUUAAUGAAGAUCGCCGAGGAGGAUGCAUGGUGCCUUGUCAUUGAAAAAAUAAAGAAUUUUCAAAUUCUAUAUUUUUGAAGGGCGUGGCCCUAUUGUCCUUGCCGAAGUGCCAUAAUCAUGGGUGAGGCGUCCAUGAGUUUAAUAGGCGUCUGGGUCUCGGCAGCGAUCCGAAUGAAUCGUCUUGGGAAAAAUGGCUAAGAAACACCGAUCUAAGUCUAGGUAAAGCAUUGCCACGAAAGGGGUUGCUUAAAUCCUCGAUAAAUAGAAAAGGCUGCACUUGUAGCCCAUUCACCUCAUUCUUUUACUUCUCUAAAACAAUAGAGAGAGAGAGAGGAGUGUGAAGUCGUAGGGCCUGACUUGUGCACUCCUGUUGCAAGGUUCUCCUUUCUUAUGCCGACCAGAAUCUUGUCUUUGCUUUCCGGUGGGUUGUUCUUCUUUUCUCCCCUUGUUGUCUUCUUCUCCUCAUCUUCUUUUUCUUUAUUUAGAGAAUAUUCAUGGACCCAUCUGCUGGAGGUCAGUAUCCCGACGAUGAGAUAAUGGGUCAGGGUUCUCCUGACUAGGUCUUUGUGGCCUCGAGGGUAGUUCUUCUUGAGGUAUCUUUAGGUUCGGAUACUAAGAUAAGGCUUGUAGGGGAGUCCGACUUUGAUCGGAUCAUAAUGGCAUUUUUCAUUUUUGAGAACUUUAUCCUUGGCCCCCCUAGUCCUUCAGAUCAGGUGACUUCGCCCGGGGAGAGCCGGAUAGCCUUGUAUCAGGAGUCCCUGAAAGCAGGGAUAAGGCUCCCAAUUCCAUCGGUUAUCAUCAUUGGCCAAGUACCAAUCAUCUUCGUACAGCUCAUCCCCAAUGCUUGGAGGAUGAUUGUGGAUUUUCUUUGCUUUUUUCGGCUUCAAAGGAUCAUCCUAGUGUUGGAGAUGUUUCAGGCCUUCAUUCAAGUGAAGGCCCAUCCUCAAAAUAAGAGGUGGUGGUACCUUUCUUAUAGGAAGGGUUUUAACGUCCUUCCUUCUUGCCCUUCGUCCUUCCACGAAUGGAAGGGUUAGUAUUUUUGUGUCUUCGACAAUUCCUUCGCAUUUUCCGGCCCUAUGGAGGACACCCGAGAGGCAGUCCUUGAGCCUCUUUCCCUUUUUGUCAAAUGAAGAGUAUGAGUCUAUUAAUCUGCUUCGUCUGAUGAGGACUUCAUCUUUGGCCGGCUACUUCGGUAGUCUACCUUGGUCAAUGCCGGCUUGAGUUCUGCCUCUUCUGUCGGUAUAUUUUCUCAUCAUAUCAUGCUUCUCUUUUGUCGAUUUGAAUCUAUGACUAACCCAUUCCUCUCCCAUUCUUCAAACCAGGAAGUUUGAGGUGGAAGAACUCUUCCGCUUCUCGAGGAAGAGAAAAUCCGGUGAGGGCAGUUCUUCCUUGGGUAAGAGGAGUGUACUCGUGGGACUAGUCAUCAGAAUUGAAAACAAGCCUGCCGGCGGAGGAUCAUCGGAGGUGGAGAUGCUUACUGUCCUCCCUGUUAGUGUACCAUCAUCUGCUCCGGUGGCCACUUCAAUUUUUGGGAUGGCCUUUACGGCCAUUCCGGUUUCGCCAGCUGCGCUAGAGGUUGCAUGUCCUUCUUUGGCCCCGAUAGAGGGGUUGCAUUCUUCCAUCCUUGCACCACCACCGGACUACAUGCUAAGGUGUCUGGGCCAGCCUUCAACCCUCCCGUUGGGGGUACACAGAAAUUGAUGUCUUCACUCUAGCCAGUUCCACAUAGCACGAAGUCAGAGACCUUUGUACUGAUUAGUGAGGGUCUCUAACUUGGUACAGUGCCCGGGCGAUCCCCAGGUGAUGUGGGCGAUGGUCUAGGGAUUCAUGCUCCCUGGUGACGAGGAGGAACUACGGCAGAGACUACUGGAGAGUGUGAUCAACUUGUCCUGCUACAACACUAUUGUGGUAAUUAGACUGGCUCUUUCAUCUAUUUGUUGUUUUUGAAUAAUCAAUCUUUUCCUUAUUUUUGUAGGAAGUGUACGCUGCCCGCAUACUUAUUGAGGUCAUAUGCUCCCAUCAGUGAAAGUUGGAGGUCUCAGACCGCCUCCUCCAAAAGGCAAAGAGCAGCAGGGCCCGUGCCGAGGCAUAACGACGGAGAUUGAGAAGAAAAGAGAGGAGGUCGAGGCAUAUACUCGCUUCUUCAGCUCCAAAGCUGAGAGUUCCCAGACAUAGCUAGGAUAGAUGGUUGCUUGGCUGCGGGAGAUGCAGCAACCAUCAGUGAGGAAGGGGCCUGCACGAGGAAGGAGACCGAUGUGGAGAUUGCCCGCCAGUAGAACGCGGUAACUGCAACCGAGCUUCGGGCCUCCCGGGCUGAGCAGAGGUUUACUUGGGCAAAGGAUAGAGCUGCCUAGUCCGAGGAGAGGGCCGACCUCGCCACCAAAGAGGUCAUCCGGGGAAAGGAGAAGGCCUGCCAAGCCGAAGAGAGGGCCCGACAUGUUGUUGUAGAUUACAAGGUUUAUAUAGAGUUCCGCAACAAGAUGCUCAAGGCCGCUAGGGACUCCUUCAAGAAGGGGUUAACCAUUUGUCGGGAAGAAUCCAUAAGGUGGAUCCUAAGCUCGACCUCAGCUUGGUCACCAAGUGCUCGGAUGAGGAGGCCUUUCUUCAUGGAUCAAGGAGCAAGGUUGAAGAAGAAGAAGAGGAAUAGGAGGAAGAACAAAAAGAAAAGGAGAGGAGAGAUGAAUGAUUGUAUAUGCCAUUGCUGGUCUCUCAUUUUCUUCUCUUUUUUUUGUGUGUUAGCUCGGCUGUGAGCCGUUGUUUUAUACUAUCUCUUUUUUUUCUAGAUGAAUGAAAUGAAAGUCUGCUCAUCUUUUUAUUUACUUGAUAGCACGAUUUGAACUGGUGUUGUAAUAACUUGGCCCAAUUUUUUUGGGCUUAUGGGCCGGCCAAAAGAGGCCAGGCCCAAUUGACGCGAGCCCUAUUGCUCGCGAUGGAUGAAGGAGAAGACUCCCAAUCAGAGUCUUCUUCCUCCUCCGAUUCUAGUGAAAAUCAGACCUAUCUAGGACAAUCUGACUCAAACUCUAAGAACUUGGCUAUUAAAUUCUCCUCCUCCUCCUUAGAUUUUUUCUACUGGAAUUGUCAAGAAUAGCCAUCGAUUUCAAGCCCUCUUCCUCAAAACCUCGCUGAAAGCUUCGCCGCACCGAGGUAAGAGUUUCUCGUCUUCUCCUCCUUCCUUUCUUGGUAUUUUAGCCUUGAUUUGCCCUGAUUUGGGUUAGUAAAUUGCCGGAAUUUGAUCUGAAACAAGGGUGCCCUAUUUUGGCUUCUUCCUUUUGUGCUCACCGCCAUAAGUCGCCUGAAAAAAGGCCAAGCCUUGCCGCCCCUAGGGAGCCCUAAGAUUCAUAUGGUGGUGGGUUAGGGAAUUAGCCAUGGUUCAAGCUAAGUUGCCAUGGAUCAUCCUCCAUCUUUUUGGGGAUCUUUUUUCCUUCUCUCUUGUGCCGACUGGCCACCAUCACCAACGAGGCAGCGGCCGACGGGCCUCCCGUGGCCACCGUCCUCGGGGUUGGCCACCAUGGCUACCGCCCCCUUGAUCUUCUUUCUCUCUCCUCUCUCCUCUCUUUACUUUCUAUAUAGAAGAUCCAAGGAACCCAGAAUCGGGUCAUGUUGACCUGAUCUACGAAUCUGAGUUGAUCCCUGAAAAGAAGUCCUAAACUGUCCUAGUGCCAGAGUCGCCUACUGGACUAAUCACCCGGCCUUGUCAAGUGUCCAUGGAACCCACUGAUAAUGAACUAUGUUAAACGACCUUGACCCUAAUCGAGUCCAUGCUUCAUGAUUAUUGAUCGAAUCACUUUGGCUUGACCCACUCGAAAUCAUCAAGUGCUCAUCCCUAUUUCUUAUUAUUUUAAUUUGAUUAAAAUCGUCAAACAUAAAUUAAUUUCACCUUUAAUAUUUUUAUAGGGUUAACUAAGUUGCCUAGUGAAGAAUGAUGGUCUAAGAUGAAAGAGUAAGUAGAUCUUGCACUCAUUGUUUUUUAGAUGAUCAUAUUUUCCAUGCAUAAAUUUGUGUGUGAAAAUAUCAUACUUUUUAUAAAAUUAUGUAUCAACAUAUGUAUUAUGAAAAUCAUGCUUUAUUAUGAGAAAUAGUUUCAUGAAUAUUUUGAUGAAUAUAGUUUUGUUAUGAAAUACGAAUCUAAUCAUGCCAUUUAAUGUUUUUAUCUAUUUAUAUGUAUCUUUUACAAAAAAGAUAUAAGUUUUUAAAGGUUCUCAGAUUGCUAUGACCACCCUUAGAAAUGGGGGUCAAUCGAUAUCUUGGAGCUAACAUCCAACAAAAAUGACCCUCUGCCAAUGGGUUAAAGUGGGUAACGAAUACGAACUAUGAUAUCUUAUUAAUUACACAAAUGGCUUUGUCAUGGGUUAUAGGGAUCAGAGCAAUGUUUUGAUCCAUAAUAGGAUUAAAGGACAUGAUGAACGAUUUAUGAAUUUAUUUGUAAUAUGAACUUAGUACUAUGUUUAUAAAAUAUGAAUGGUUUGUUCAUGUAUGAUUUACUUUAGGACUUAUUUUAAUAUAUUGUACUAUGAAAUGCUUAUUUUAGAAUAUUUGUUACUUUUCUUAAAUGAUGCAUUGACAUAGAAAAACUUAUGCUUGAUCCGGUAAGGUAGUAAAAUGUUUACUUACUGAGCUAUGUUGCUCAUAUAUCUCUAUUUUUUCUUUCUCUCUCAGACAAAUAGGAUCGAUAGAAAUGAAGGAUAGUCCAGGCUUGGAGUUAGUACUAGCAAGCUUGGCGAUUUAUACUAGAGCAGAACUUUAGUUCUUCAGUAGAUUAUGAAUUUGUAGUUAGUGAUUUCCGAAUAGUAAAGAUUUUGGGUUUGGUACUUAUGUUUGGCUUUAGAUCUAUUGAAGAAGUAUUUGAAAUUGUUUAGAGGUCACCACCGGAACUUUCUAUUGCUUUAGUAGGGGUGGAGCCUUUGUGGGCUCUAUAAGAGCCGCCGAACUCCUCCCGCAUGUUCGGCUGGGGAUUAGAAGGUACUAGCUACGCCCUUUGAGACUCCAUAGUGACAAGAGACAAAACCUCCUAGGGUGGUCUAGGCCCUUCCUCUAGUGCCAAUCUAUUGCCGCUGAGAACUAAAUGGCCUUAGGCACCGUGGUGAAAAGUGCAAUAAUGCUAGAGAGCUCGAUGGUCGGCUGCCCUAAUCAGAAUUGGAGAAGUCGAGAGGCGCUCAGUCGCUACAGUCAAGAUCCUCAUCGGAUGGCAGCCCUCUGACUUGAAACAACAUAGAGUAAAGAAGUCUUUUGGCCAGAACUUAUUCAGCGGGAGACCCUCCAAUACCUAAAUCAGUGUGGUAAUCAGGGAACAGAAGGAGGUUGUUUUUCGGUUUGUUAAGAUGUUCUUCCUUUCUUACUUCCUCUGCCCUCCCUUUUUGUGUAUAUCCAGUGGAGAAGCCUAUCUGCCACCAAAAAAUUAGAACAUAUGGGUCGACUAGAAGUCACUGGUUUGAGUAAAUUCUGAACAUCAGGUGUGAAUGCUUCGCACGUGGGCGACAUCCUGCCUAUCAUAUCGAUAGGAUCUUGAUGAUUACUCAAUCUCCCAGUUAGGAUGGGGUCAAUUGUGGGGAGCUCCUGAUAUGCAAGCUCGACGGUAUGGCUUGGGCCUGCCUAGUGACUGGUCCUAAUCCACUAUCUGUUGGCACCGUGGUGUGUUUUAAUUGAUUGGACCUUCUCGUAGCUAUAGCUGGUUUGGAGGUGUAUCAGUUACAAUUAUAAGCUUGUUGUAAGAACCCACGAUCUCACCCAAAAAAGCUAGCCGAAAGGUAUUAUUGGAUUUUUUAGUCCUGUAUAAGUAUCCAAAAUUUUUUAGUAAAUAAUUGAUGUGGGACUAAACAUACGCUCGUACAAGUUCUCACACUUGCAGACCUACUAAAUCAGAUGCUAGAAAAAGUGGUAGAUGCUGCUCUCAAAGGUCUUUUUUCUUGGCAGACAUGUAUUUUAACAACAUCCUAAACAAAGACACAGCUCUCAAUAUCAAACAUGUGCCUUGGGGAUUGUGGGUUGACCAUUUUUUUUCGUUGGUAGAACAUAGGCAAAUCUCAGUAGAUUUUAUUAAUUAACAUUAUAGUACAUACAAACUAAGAUUCUAUAGUCUACACAAACAACUGCACAUACUCGGCAUGCAACCAAAAGGGCAACAUUGUGGGUGUAGCCUCUCAACUAGCUGAGGACAAAAAGGAACAAUUAACAGAACGUUGCUAUGCAUCCAAACUAAGGAUCUAUGGCAUGGCCAGCACAAGGAUGAAAACACCAGUAGAACAAACUCGUGCAUGGCUUCACCAUGCAGACUAGAUAGGUCCGUGGAUGGGGACGACUUAGAUGAUGGCAUUUUUUUUUUGUUAAGUCGAGCAAUUCACACUAUUCUAGUAUAAANNNNNNNNNNNNNNNNNNNNNNNNNNNNNNNNNNNNNNNNNNNNNNNNNNNNNNNNNNNNNNNNNNNNNNNNNNNNNNNNNNNNNNNNNNNNNNNNNNNNNNNNNNNNNNNNNNNNNNNNNNNNNNNNNNNNNNNNNNNNNNNNNNNNNNNNNNNNNNNNNNNNNNNNNNNNNNNNNNNNNNNNNNNNNNNNNNNNNNNNNNNNNNNNNNNNNNNNNNNNNNNNNNNNNNNNNNNNNNNNNNNNNNNNNNNNNNNNNNNNNNNNNNNNNNNNNNNNNNNNNNNNNNNNNNNNNNNNNNNNNNNNNNNNNNNNNNNNNNNNNNNNNNNNNNNNNNNNNNNNNNNNNNNNNNNNNNNNNNNNNNNNNNNNNNNNNNNNNNNNNNNNNNNNNNNNNNNNNNNNNNNNNNNNNNNNNNNNNNNNNNNNNNNNNNNNNNNNNNNNNNNNNNNNNNNNNNNNNNNNNNNNNNNNNNNNNNNNNNNNNNNNNNNNNNNNNNNNNNNNNNNNNNNNNNNNNNNNNNNNNNNNNNNNNNNNNNNNNNNNNNNNNNNNNNNNNNNNNNNNNNNNNNNNNNNNNNNNNNNNNNNNNNNNNNNNNNNNNNNNNNNNNNNNNNNNNNNNNNNNNNNNNNNNNNNNNNNNNNNNNNNNNNNNNNNNNNNNNNNNNNNNNNNNNNNNNNNNNNNNNNNNNNNNNNNNNNNNNNNNNNNNNNNNNNNNNNNNNNNNNNNNNNNNNNNNNNNNNNNNNNNNNNNNNNNNNNNNNNNNNNNNNNNNNNNNNNNNNNNNNNNNNNNNNNNNNNNNNNNNNNNNNNNNNNNNNNNNNNNNNNNNNNNNNNNNNNNNNNNNNNNNNNNNNNNNNNNNNNNNNNNNNNNNNNNNNNNNNNNNNNNNNNNNNNNNNNNNNNNNNNNNNNNNNNNNNNNNNNNNNNNNNNNNNNNNNNNNNNNNNNNNNNNNNNNNNNNNNNNNNNNNNNNNNNNNNNNNNNNNNNNNNNNNNNNNNNNNNNNNNNNNNNNNNNNNNNNNNNNNNNNNNNNNNNNNNNNNNNNNNNNNNNNNNNNNNNNNNNNNNNNNNNNNNNNNNNNNNNNNNNNNNNNNNNNNNNNNNNNNNNNNNNNNNNNNNNNNNNNNNNNNNNNNNNNNNNNNNNNNNNNNNNNNNNNNNNNNNNNNNNNNNNNNNNNNNNNNNNNNNNNNNNNNNNNNNNNNNNNNNNNNNNNNNNNNNNNNNNNNNNNNNNNNNNNNNNNNNNNNNNNNNNNNNNNNNNNNNNNNNNNNNNNNNNNNNNNNNNNNNNNNNNNNNNNNNNNNNNNNNNNNNNNNNNNNNNNNNNNNNNNNNNNNNNNNNNNNNNNNNNNNNNNNNNNNNNNNNNNNNNNNNNNNNNNNNNNNNNNNNNNNNNNNNNNNNNNNNNNNNNNNNNNNNNNNNNNNNNNNNNNNNNNNNNNNNNNNNNNNNNNNNNNNNNNNNNNNNNNNNNNNNNNNNNNNNNNNNNNNNNNNNNNNNNNNNNNNNNNNNNNNNNNNNNNNNNNNNNNNNNNNNNNNNNNNNNNNNNNNNNNNNNNNNNNNNNNNNNNNNNNNNNNNNNNNNNNNNNNNNNNNNNNNNNNNNNNNNNNNNNNNNNNNNNNNNNNNNNNNNNNNNNNNNNNNNNNNNNNNNNNNNNNNNNNNNNNNNNNNNNNNNNNNNNNNNNNNNNNNNNNNNNNNNNNNNNNNNNNNNNNNNNNNNNNNNNNNNNNNNNNNNNNNNNNNNNNNNNNNNNNNNNNNNNNNNNNNNNNNNNNNNNNNNNNNNNNNNNNNNNNNNNNNNNNNNNNNNNNNNNNNNNNNNNNNNNNNNNNNNNNNNNNNNNNNNNNNNNNNNNNNNNNNNNNNNNNNNNNNNNNNNNNNNNNNNNNNNNNNNNNNNNNNNNNNNNNNNNNNNNNNNNNNNNNNNNNNNNNNNNNNNNNNNNNNNNNNNNNNNNNNNNNNNNNNNNNNNNNNNNNNNNNNNNNNNNNNNNNNNNNNNNNNNNNNNNNNNNNNNNNNNNNNNNNNNNNNNNNNNNNNNNNNNNNNNNNNNNNNNNNNNNNNNNNNNNNNNNNNNNNNNNNNNNNNNNNNNNNNNNNNNNNNNNNNNNNNNNNNNNNNNNNNNNNNNNNNNNNNNNNNNNNNNNNNNNNNNNNGGUCAUGCCGAGCUUAGCCUUUAGGUUAAGCAGGCCAUGCCAGGCACGACCUGUUUGGUUUGUGGCGCGGUGGGCUUGGGCCGGGCCCGGCACGGCCCGAUGCCCAUCUCUACUCUAUAGAGAAGUGCAGGAGUUGUUGCUAUUAACAGUUUACUAUGAUGUUCGGACAGCUAACCCUAAUGUCCAGCAGUCAAUAUAUUUGCAUGAGUCUCGAACAAUGGAAGAUUUGAUCAAGCAGCCACACAUUUAACUAGAGGUGUAGUCGAGCCAAGCUUGAUCUAGCCUAGAUUUGAUGCUUAAUUCAAAUCUAAAUAAUAUUUAAUGGGUUCAAAAUUUAAAUUGAAAUUCAAGUUCAAAAUACUUCUGAACCUAGGAUCCAAUGAUCAUUUUGAUGAUAUAUAUAUAUAUAUAUAUGUGUGUGUGUGUGUGUGUGUGUGUGUGUGUGUGUGUGUGUAUGUAUAAUAUAUAAUUUUGAGUCUAAUUGAAAUGAGCCACUAUCUAAAUCGAUAAUAUAUGUUAUGUAUAAUAUAUAUUUUUGAGACUAGUCAAACUUAGUCCGAUCAAGCUAGGUAUAUUCUAGCUAUGCUCGAAAUUGAUUUCGAGCAUAUAUUACUGAUUCAAGCUUGAUUCUUUUAGCUUCGAAUGAAACUUGAAUUGAGCUUUUUUUCAAGCUGAGCUCGAACCAAGCUUGAGACAUUCAAAUGGUUUAACACCCCUAACUAUAUAUGUAUUUUAACUAUUCACUUUUAAUAUGACCUAAUUAUGUCACAGAUUUAGAUGUACGCAAGCUUAUCCCAUGCAUGAUGGCUAUUCUUUUGUUUUGAAUUAGUGACCUUUACAUCAUAAUAGAGUAGAUUUACUAAUAUACCAAAAGCUCAAUCUAACCUAUUUGCAUGCAAAACUGUAGGAAACAUUUUAUGCUUAUCAUUACAACAAAUGACUAUCAAGAAUGAUAUGAACCUCAACUUUCACUAGCCAACGGUCGUUUAAACAAUUAUAUACCAUAUAUGUUAAUUUUUUUUUCUUAAACAAAUCACCUUGGGGUUCAUUUGGUUGGGGAUAAUCUGGUAUAAAAAAAUAAAUUUCAUAUCAGAAUACCAUAUUUGGUUAAAAAAGAAGAUAAAAAAAAAUGAUAAGUCCCACGCUUAUUUUUACUAAGAGAGAAGGUAAAAUAAAUAUUACCAAAAAGGUAGUAUUUUUUUUGCCAUACAAGAGUUACAAGUAAAGGUAAUCUAAAAUUAUCAUUGCUUGACAAAAACUAAUAUAUUAAUUAUAUAUAUUAUUAUUAUAUUUAAUAUAUUUACAAGUUAUUUAUUAUAAUUAAUAUAAUAAAUUAAUUUAUUAUAUUAAAAUAUUAAGAAUAUUAUUUAUGAAUAAUAAUAUAAUUAUGAAUAAAUAAAGACUAAGGUAAAUAUAUAUUAGUUAUUAAUAAAUCUAACAUGGGUAUUAUUAAUAAUUAUAUUUAUUAAUACACAAAAUUUAUUUAUAUUAAGGAAUAUAUUUUUUUAAUAUAUAAUUAUUUUAAAAAUAUUUAUUAACUCUUCUAAAUAUAUUUUAGUAUUCAAAAUGGCCUUUGUUGAUAGUCUUUAUGUAAGGCUAUAAAUGGCCAACAAAUGGAAUGAACAAAAGAUGUCAUCAUUUGAAUUAUUUACUCAAGGACAUUAUUAAAAAUUUUGGUAAUAUUUUUUUAUAAAAUUACCUCUAACUAAAUAUAGUAAUCUUUUUUUGGUACUAUUUUUCAAAAUAAAUGUGGCAAAAUUUAUUUUCUCUUGCAAUUAUUUUUUUAGGUAAAUGAUUUUAUAGGAAUCAUCAAAUUACUCUAUAAUCUGAGAUGCAUCAAUAAAGCAAAUCUUUAAAGAAAAAACCCUCUACCUCCGGAACAAGUCCUAGGUGCUCAACCAAGCCAACCUAGAGUAGGUGGCUAUAAUAAUAAGGCCAAUUUGAUGCUUAUAUCGAUGAAAAUUUGUCCAUUGGAAUUAUUGUGAAGGUUGCUGUUGUCAAUUUAAAACAUUUGCCAUAUGUCCCAUAAUGCCAAUUUUAAAGAAGAAAUCUAAAAGUGGACUUCUCCUACUAAUAGAGCCAUCGAUCCUAUGAUUAAAAAAAAUAAAGAAAGAAAAUUGCACACAACAUUUUCUUUCUUCCUCAUCAAGCCUCUCCAUCCAUUCUCUUUCUUGUCAAGUCAUCUCUUUCGUCCAUAAGGUCUUCCUUCUCCUUUUCGAGUCCCUUUCUCCUCCAAAUUUCUCUCUCUUUUCCAUAAAUUUAGGCUUAAGAGUUCAUAGAAUCUAAGAAAUGAUACACACACACAUAUAUAUAAUUAAACAAAGUUAAAAAAAUUGUGUGCUAUGUAUCAGUACUCAUGAUUUGAAAAUUGUGUAUCGACUUAUCUAGAUAUAUAUAUUGGCUUGCUAGAUGACUAAUUUACUUGGUGUACAUUUCUAGCUAUAUAGUAUAUACUGAUAAAAGGUAUGUUGUAGAAACUAUAUAUCGAUUUAUUUGGAGGUAUGUAUGGGAUCACUAUUAGAUGUAUAUCAUAGAAGCUUGCAGUAUGUAACAAAAAAUUGACAAGUGUAUUUCAUUUGACCAUGUAAUAUGUACUGGUGAAUAUGAUGUUAUAGAAAUUAUAUAUCAAUUUACUUCCAGGUAUAUAUUGGAUUGUUAGAUGACUAAUUUAUUAAGUAUGUAUUAUCUAGCCGUGUACUGUGUACUAGUGAAUUUUAUACUCUCAAAACUAUAUAUUGAUUUACCUAAAGGUAUGUAUUGGCUUGUUAGAUGAUUAAUUUACUUAUUGUGUAUCGUCUAUUCAUGUAAUAUACCGAUAAAAAUAUAUUAUGAAAGUAAAAAAAAAAAGAUACCGUGCAUGAUUUUUUUUAUUUUUUUUAAUUAUGAGACUGAUGAUUCCAUUAGUAGUUCUUGUGUUUUAGGUUUUUUUCUUUAAUACAGCCCUCAUUAGAGAACACGUGGCAAGAUAAGGAGUGUGCCUUUUUUUUCCCCCCCCUGGUGCUCGCCCCUUGUCACUUUUGUCUGUCUCACUCCUUAAUUAGAAAUAGGAAACAUCAACAGACGCGAUAAAUCCACACGCCAACACACCCACUCUCCAAAAUGUGGAGCCUAGUUGAGUGGGUGCUGUCACCAAGAAAAGUAGGGACGUUUACAGCAGUCAAAAACUACAUGCACUAGACAUGGGACCCAAUCGCCUAUUUUGUUCUUGAAAAAAUAGGGAAGGGGGAAAGAAGCGACAAGCCCACCUUCACGUAGCAGCCUCCACUGGGCCCCCAUCCCAUCAGAAGAAUGUUCAAUGCGGACAGAAAUGACCGUGUAUUGGGCACCCCAGCCGGUUUUACUCAUACUCUUUCCAUCCGUGGGCCCAGCUCGGUUAUCUUUUCGAGCUCCGGCACGAAUACCACGUAUGAGUACGUGAAAUCUGGUACCACAGAGACUACCAAUAGAGUGAUACGUCCUUCCAGACCUCUUGUCCGAGCAGAAAGCAUCCGGUCUCCAUAAUUUAAUUAACGUCCGUAUGUUUCGAACUUGGAACCAUUUGGUUGAAAAUAAGACCACGCUAUUAUUGGACUACCACCUCAAUGGCACCCGAUCGAUUUCCUCCGGGUGCCCCAUCAGGAAGAUAAGCGAAACGAGGCGGGUCAUCCGGUUGCAGCACCAAAAUUGCCUCUGCGUUAUGCGGACUCGGAUCUUCCAACCAAAAACACUUAAGCACAUGAAAUCCCAUAGGCCCCACUAAAUUUGUGGUACGGAACAUGACAGGUCAUACUACAUGGAUUUAAACUCAGUCGCUUUAUCCAGUUGAGAGCAAACUGGGACCAGUUUUCUCCUCGAGACCACGUGGUGGGGUCACGUGGGACACGCUUUUGAUGACACAUCGCUAUCAAUCCUCGUGUCUGAUCCCUGCCGUGUUCCUCCUCCCGAUCCGCUAGGAGGAUAAUACCGUUUCUUUUUUACGGACUUCGUCAUACAAAAUCUAUACGAUCACUCAUCUACACCGUCCGAUCUCGCUCGCAUAGGGAUUUUUAACCUACCGCAUAGAAACAUUAACGUACAAGGAAAAUACUAUGGAGACGGUUCUAGAGUUUUGGAGAUCAACAGCCGCAUGAUUGAUGGACAAUUGUUGGGACCGAGGGCACGGGAAUCGGGCAAUGGUAGCCGUCGCUUUCCUUCGCGAUUCCAGCCGAAUACGCACCGCUUUUCCGCCCGCCUUUUUCUCGAGAAAAGUGGGGACCGAAGAGUCGCUGCUCUCACCCAAAUACGUUUAACCGCAAAAUUUUGAUGAAAUUCGAUACAUUAGUACUGAUAUGGUUGCAUAUGCCUGUCUAAAAUAUAGUCUGUAUUAAAACCAUUACUUGUCUCAAAAAUUUAUUAUAAUAUCAUGUUAAAAUUAUCACUAAUCUCAAAAAUUUAAAUUGAUAGAGUGAAGUAGAUUUAUUUAUAUAUUUUAUAUUUUCUUACAAUUCGUUGAAAAAAACGGACAUCACAUAUUGCCAUCCACAGCAUGGUCCGUUGGUGCACCCAAAAAUUAGGGUGCGGAGAUGGCCAAGCCCCAGCGCCAGCUACUUUACCAUGGCGGGUAGAAUUAUUUUGCGUCCCCACGAAGGCUAGGUGUAUGGUUAGAGUCCGGCAUGAAGACUCAUAAAAGGUUAAGGUGGUGGAUGAGUGCCGGUGGGUAGCACAAAUUUUCCCACUUGAUCUAUGGGGACAACUCUGUUGAUCCAUUUAAGCAAUUAAAAAAAAUGAUGUAAAAAGGAUUGGGCAUGGACUUAUAUAUAUAUAGAAACUGAUGGUGUUAUUGGUGCUCCCUAAGUAAGUACCUUAUCAAUGAGUUUGAUUUAAGAGGAUGUAGAUAAAGGUGUGUGAACGAGCAUUAGAUGACAUGUUGGAAUUUGUUUAUGUGAUAAAAUGGUUUACCUUUCUCAAGAUUUUAGCAUACUCUAAGACAAGGGAAAUAUUAUUUACAUCCACCGAAAGUUCUAAAACAGGAUUGGAAAUGAUUUGAGAGUUGCUCAUGAUCGAGUAGCUUGGUAUUAAUUUGUUUGAAGCAUAGUUGGGGCUUCGCUCAAUUAGAAAAGCUGAACUCAAAUAGUACAUGUAGAGCUCAGUUCAAAAAGGAGCCAAGCUUGAAUGGUGGUGGAUUAAUAUGAGCCGCACUUGAACAAGAUAUGUUAAACUUAGGCUCAAGCUUGAGCAACUCCUUUUUAAACAAGUCGAGUCCGACUUGAUACUCAAACCCAACUUGUUUGCACCUCUACCCUCAAAAGCUUUGGAAUUCAUAUACAUGCCCUUCCAGAAUAUAAAAUAAACAUAGAUAAUUUCUGGAGCUUGGUUCAAAUGGAAGCCAAGCUCGAUCAACAGUGAAUUACAUAAUUAAAGGAAAGCUAGGCUUCAGGAAUUGAAAGCUUGAUUUAAAGCUUAUAUGAGCCAAGCUUGAACAAGACAGGGCAAGCUCGGCUUGAGCUUGAGUGGCUCCCUUUCAAACAAGCCAAGCUCGAGCUGGUACUUGAACUCAGCUCGUUUGCACCUCUACUUUUGAAAGAUUUGGAAGUUGCAUAUAUGCCUUUUGUGAAUAUUGAUUACAAUGCAUGGAUAGUUUCUCGAGCUCCAAUAGCUGCUAAAGUUCGACUUAAAAAAGAACUAAGCUUGAAUAAUGUGGUAGACCACAUAAUUAAAAAAAGCUAGGUUGGCUUAGUAAAAGCUUGAUUUAGAACUUACAUGAGCUGAGCUUAAACAAAAUGUAUCAAGCUUGGUUCUGCUUGAGCAGCUCCUUUUUAAACACGCCAAGUUCAAGCUCAUACUCGAACUCGGCCAAAUAUGAAGAAAUCCAGGAUAUAUAUAAAGACAUUGCUCAAAGAUGUCUAUACAAAUGCCUUACGUAUUCAUGGAUUUGUAGUAAGAAUGUCUGUUGACUGGCGACGUUAUAUUUCAAACAUGUACGUUAAAUUCUCCAUUCAGGUCUCUAUCAGCUUUGCUCUCUCAAGCACAUUUGAUCCCCCCAUUUAUGGUGCCAGAACUGCACAUAAAUUCAUCUUUGCAUAGAAAUAUCCAUGCUCAUUUAUGAAGAUACCACUCUCCCUCGUAACACAUUUGAUCCCCCAACCACAACUGUACAUCACCUGCAUUAUGCUUAGAAAUAUCCAUGCUCAUUUAUGAAGAUGCCACUGCCCGAAAACACCCUACCGUGGCGUCUUUCACACUACAAAUUAAAGGAACAUUCAAUCUAUCGUACCCCACUGCCAUCACCUGCACAUCUCUCUCGCCCUCCGAUGCAAGAGAGCAGGAAGAGAAAGAAAGUGAGAAAAGGAAGAGAGAGGAAAUAGAGAAAAAAUAAGAGAAGAAACGAUGAAGAAAAAGAACCAUGCUUCGCAGGUAGUCCCGCUCAAAGUUUCACAUACUUGAAGUAAGAGAAUCAGUUUUUUAUUUUAUUCAUAAUAUAACUCUAAACAAGUAUAUAUAUAUAUAUAGUUAAGAAAUACUAAAAAGACCCCUAUAUGGCACUGGUAUCUGCACCACUCUCUUAUGUCCUCGACCACAGGAUGGAGAAUGAAUGAAGUCACUAAUGAGAAUGCAUGCGAGGGACGGGAGGUUGUUUCUAUGUGCAGUUAUUCCAACAUUCUUAAAGAUGCAUCCAUGGCUCCCACCUUACCACCCAGUACGUCAUUUAUGACCUCAAUCUGGCCUUCGGCACCGGUCUCUGGCUUCCCUCUGAUCCCGUAAAUCAUAUGGCGACGAAGACUAGCCGGCACGCAAACCCAGUCCAUCGGAAAUACUUUCUCCGCAAGUAAAAGCCCAUUCAUUCAUGCCCAAAGAAUUUAUCUGUCCUGAAAUACUUGUACCACCUUCUCAUUUAUGAGUUGCCGCUAGCUUUUCUGAUGCAUUACAUGGCAUUAUAUUGCCUGAAUCCAGUUUCUUAAUGGUAUUAGAAACCGAGCAUUACAUUGUUCUUUUGUUUGAAGAAAAAGAGAGUAGAUGAAAUUGUUACAAGAUAAGAAAGAAAAAGAAGAAUACAAGAGAAGAGGGGAGAGAUUGAGGUACAGGAUGGGGGAUAUAAAGGUGGCUUCCUUUCUUUCAAGAUGACAUGUCCACCUUCUUAGUCUUCUUGUUGUGAGGUUGAUGGCUUGAUUGGGGUUAUCGCUGAUGAAUGAUGAUGUCCAAAGCAAACAUUACGUUGAAGUACCAAGCCUCCACAUGCAGAUUUUCUUGAGAUCUAGACGAUAGUGCACAUAAGGUUUUUUCUAUAAUUCUAUUAAAUUAGCUUUUGGAUAUAUAUAUAUAUAUAAUUAAUUUUAAUUUAUUUAAUUAGUGAUUUUACUUUUGGCUCUUGUUCUCCUACUUACUAAGAUUUUAGUACAUGCUUCUUAGAUCCAACCUUGAAACAUUACAUUGGACUUUAUUCUCAUCCUCUGCAACCAAAACUAUCAUUCGAACAAAAUUAUUCCAAAUUUCAUAAUUGAUGCAAGCUACAUCAUUUACCUUGUAAUAUUUUAAUUUAAGAAAUUAUAAAAAGUAGCCUAAAAUUUAUUGUGUACAUUAGCCAAAUAAAAGACUUCCAAAUGAUGAAACUUAUGGAAGAAAUAAUCUAAGAUACUUGUCACAAUCAUAGGUGAGAUUGGGCAUUGUUGAUGCCCAAAAACGACCUAACAGAGUCUUGGUGAUUUGAUGAUUGGUCGGCUCGACUGAAGCUAGGCAAAGCAGACCGAGAUUCAACCUACAAACAGAAAGAAGCAACCAGGAGUUAUCAGUAUGUGUCUGGCGGAGGAUCCUCUAAUGUUUAAAUCGGACAAAGCUUUGGAAGGAAUAGUAGAGAUCUAAAAUAAAUAACGAGAUGAAAAAGUCUCUUAUCCAAGGUUCACUGGCCUGGUUUAUAUAGAAUGAAGGAUGAGAGUCUAUUGGGAUCUAGUCGUUUGAUCUUCAGACGAGCUGUCAGAAUCAUUAUUUGCCGCACUGGGCAGUUACACCUUUUCUUAUCCAGAGUUUCAAGAUUGUGUCAACCUAAAAACGUCCAAGCUAUUCGCUUGGUGGUUCGCUCUGCAGUUGAUUGCGCAUACCUCAUGUUUGCUCUACGGUUUUAAGGGUCGUCGAAUCUGGGCUGUAUCAAGCAUCACACUCAUAUGGCUGAAAUUGUGUAUUGUAUUCCAUAAUAGAUUGGAGUGGUUAUUUUCUUAUAAUCAUCGAAGUAAUUACUUUGCAUUGGCUUGUAGGUAUGUUUUAUACUGAGUUGUCAAUGAUAUAAACUAUUUCUUAGAAAAUCAUUAUCAAAGUUGGAGAUAUCGAUCUUGUAUGCACAACAUGUAGGUAGUCUCUUGACCCAAGGGCACGAGUACCCACUGUGUGUUUAGUUUAAUAAAUUUAGAGCCAAACCCAUAUACUUAUAAUGAUAUCCUGGAUUUUCCUUAAUUGGGAGUUCACUAGUUUACUGUACCUAAUGACGAGUGGAGGAAAAUAUUGUUCCAACAAGGAUGCCAUAUACUGCACUUUAUCCAUAUUAGAAUAGAGACACAUCAGACAUAAGAGUUCCGGUAGUAGACAAAAUUUUAACUGAAUUGAUUUUUCAAUUCUAAUUGUUAUUUUUUUGAAUAUAAUAAAUUACUCAAAAUUGAUUUUAUGCAAGCAUCAAUUUUUCAUAGCACCCGUUACGCGUGCUUGUUGAACAAUUGAGAUUUUAUCAUGCCUUAUCACUAACGUAUAUCUUUUGCUUACUGCAAUCAUUUUAGGCCUACCUUCCCUACCUAACAUUAUCACGAGAAAGUCCAUUUCAUUAUUUUCCGUGCAGCAAGCUGCUUGCUUUUCAUAUAGCAAGGUGUUCCUUGAGACAAAGUACAAAGUGGAUUUAAAAUCUAUAAGUAUGUGGAAACAAAUUAGCUAGGGAAUGGCCAGAAAACCACAAGGAUAAUAAGAAUAUCGGAUAACAUUCAAAAUUCAAAACUCUCAUCCGCUAUUCCUGCAUGUGAUUAGUUAUUCUUAACUAUAGUUAGCUCAUGUAUAUCUACGAGGGAUGUGAUUAGGCGUACAAUACUUAGAUCACUCCCAUUUUGUUGUUUGGUUAACGAACCUAUAACCUAUAUGUACAUGUCUCAUCAAUGAAAAUGUAUCGAGAUUUUAUCAUCUUUAUGGUAUCAGAGCAGCUCUUUCCUCCAACGAGAAGAAAUCGAUCCUCUCUCAUGGCUUUUAGCGAUUCCUCUAAUGCCACUCUUUGCUGUUGUCAACAGUCCCACCACUACCACUCCNNNNNNNNNNNNNNNNNNNNNNNNNNNNNNNNNNNNNNNNNNNNNNNNNUCGUCCAACUUUACCUCCUGGUGUACACAAUAUGUCUCCCUUUUUAUUGGCUAUGACCUAAUGGGUUAUGUUGGCGGCACAACUCCGUGCUUGCCGAAGGGAGAUGCGUCCUCAUCAUCCUCCUCAACACCGACGUCUCCAUCCCCUGCGUAUUUUCUCUGGUUUCGGCAGGACAAGCUCCUGCUUCAUGCAAUCUUGGCAUCAGUUUUAGAAGUUGUUAUUCCAUUGAUUGCUACAUCGGAGACCUCCCAUGCAGCCUGGUCGAAGCUCACUCGGCUCCAUGCCAACCACUCUCAUACCAGAGUCAUGCAGUUAAAAGAGAAUCUUACCCACAUCCAACGUAGUUCACAUUCUGUAACAGACUUCUUGCAUGCUGUGAAAGUUAUUGCUGUGAAACAUGACUCUGCAUACAAUUGUUGAGCACUUCAACUUACCAGCAAAUGAUCCUUAUUUGUGAUGAUAAUUAGGGCAUUGUAGUUGUUUUUCACUUUCUUUCUUUCUUCCUUUUCUUUUUAACAAAAAAGAAGGGCAUAGCAGUUGUUGAUAGCUCACAUGAGGGGUUAGAAUGAGCAGUAACUAGGUGCUGUUUUUCUCCUGUUUAUGCACAGGAAGUUUGACUUGAAAGUGAUUCAACCACAGUGUUGUUUUGGAUUAACAAAAUCGCUUUAUGCAGGAUGAAGAACAGCACAUUGUUGCAGGAUACUACGGCGUGGGAAGCAGUCAGCCACAACAUUCGUGGCUACUCACAUACCUUGUGAAGGAAAUCAAGCUACUGAUUGGCUUGCAGGCAAUGCUGCUCAAGACGGCUUUACUCCUUAAAUACUGCGAUAGAGUGCACCCAUUACUUGCCCGAAAUUGCUGCUGGUAUGUCUAGAGUUGUUUCUCUUUAUAGUUUGUGUGAGAAUACAUACGGACAUCUAUUUAGUCUCAUAUUGAUUAUUCACUGGAUAGAUCUUUAAUAUUUACAUAAAAUUAUUAAAUUUAAAUAAUUGUUAUAAAUAGUAUUAGAAUGGAUCCGAUCUAUAAUCUAUAUAGACUAGAAAAUACUGUAGCACGGAUCUAUUAGGGUUGACUACAGACAAUCUAAAUAAUAUUUCCAACUAGCUAUUUUAAGUUAGAAAUUAAAGAAUCUAAAUGAUAUUUUUUUGACAAAGUAUUUUAGGUCAGAAUAUUGGCCAGCUUUUUUGAGUAAAAAAUCAGUUUCUCAAAUUUUAUAAAUAGAGCCUUUAAUUUCACGUCCAAAGGCCAACCAACUGGAAACAAGCCUCUCUCUCUCUCUCUCUCUCUCACUCUCCUCCUCCUUCCUUCCCUACCUNNNNNNNNNNNNNNNNNNNNNNNNNNNNNNNNNNNNNNNNNNNNNNNNNNNNNNNNNNNNNNAACCCGAACCACCAAACCUAACUACCCUCCUCUCUCUCUCUCUCACACACACACACACACACACACACACACACACUCACCCACCCCUUAAAAAUGCUACCCCUUUUUUUCUACUCUUCAGACCCUCCUUCAACGCAUGAGACCAUCUCUGCAUUCUUUCCUUGUCUGUUCCUCCUGUAGUACUCUACAGUGUUGGUGGCUGAAAUGGACCUUGGUGGGGUGGUGGGCAUGGAUGGGUUGGUGGGUGCCUCUUUUCUCUGUGGUGGUGUCUUCUUCUCUCCCCGGGCUUCUUCGGACCCUGAAUCCAAUAAGCAAAAUGGGUUCUUGAGGUCUGGUCUUGUGAAAGAGGGGAGGCCUUGUGGACCAGAGGAGCAUGAUUGGAGAUGCCUCAAGGUGGCCAGGACUGAGGCCCCUUCCCUGUUCCCUGAUGCACAGCAAAUGCUCAGCUUCUCCUCAUCCAAGCCGGAUGCUUUUUUAUUCAGCAGCGAACCACUGUCAUCAGUCCCUCUAGCGUCCUCCUAUGUUGGGAAUGCAGGUAAAGCGUAAUAAAAAUGCUUGUUUGAAGACUUUGGGCUAACAUGGGACCGGUGGGAUUUGGUGAAACGGAUCAUGCUGCUCGUUUUUUUGGGUCGGUGUGAGGCCUCUAUGCUCGAAGGGUUUGGUCUUCUUGUGGUAUAAUAUUGAUUCUGGUGUUGAUUGGUAGGGAUCUUUUUCAUGGCAUUCUAUUGAGCCAUCUUUAGUUUGAAUCUUGUCGAGAAGAAAGUUGAGUCCUUUCUUUUCCCUGUCUUUAUAGUUGUAGUUUAUGGAAAUCAGUCCACUUUCUUCGCAACAAAGAACAGAUAAAUGGGACAAAAAGAUAGACAGAGAGAAGGAAGAAUAAUAAAUUUUAUUUUUUUGGGUUGGUUAUACUUAUGCAACUUAAUGAGCUCUUAUUAAUGUCAUCCUGACCAGUCUCCUAGCCAGGCCCCUUUCAAGGCUCUGUUAUUUGUUAUUGUUACAUGUUAUUUUCCUCCUAUCUCGAUCUCUGUUUGCUUCUGCUUGUGUUCCAUAAUAUGAUGUGGGGUUUAGCCUUAUCCUGUUGCUUCAUUACUUCCUAAUCUUUUGUUUUUUCUCUUCUUAGGCUUGGUUUCGGGAAGUCUUGAUGUGAAAAUGCAUGGGGUUUUGGCAGGGGUUAAGGGGCCCUUCACUCCCUUGCAGUGGAUGGAGCUAGAACAGCAGGCCUUGAUCUACAAAUAUAUGAAUGCAAAUGCUCCUAUACCAACCAGUCUGCUAAUCUCAAUCAGGAGAAGUCUAAGCUCAUCUAGGUUCACAUCCUUCUCAGCUGGAUCUCUUGGACCCAAUACAUGUAAGCUGUCCUCACUCUAACUAGUAGUAACUGAUAACAAAAUCUCUACUGGGUAAUCCAAGAUGGAAAUAUGCCAACAUUUCUGUUCUAGCAAUAGGUUUAUGUACAAGUAGCCUACAUGUCUUUCUGAUUUCAGUCUCAAGGGAUUUUUUAGGAAUGGCAUUGUCCAAUUUUUUUUUAAAAAAAAUCUACAAGAGCCCUUUAAAUCCUGGAAUAUGUGUUACAUAAUGAUUACUAUAUAGGGGUGUGAUUUUUAUGAGAAGAAUUGAUUCAUAGUUUUUAGUUUCAUAUGACUUACAAGUUGUUUUCUAAUGUUUGGUAGAGUACACAUUAAGUUGUUUAUUAAAGUUGGUAGCAUUAUCCUAAUCCUUGCAUAAUUUUCUUUUAAUUGCUGCAGUUGGAUGGGGAUCUUUCCAUCUAGGUUUCUCUGGGAAUGCUGACCCAGAGCCUGGAAGAUGCCGUCGGACUGAUGGCAAGAAAUGGCGGUGCUCAAGAGAUGCAGUUGCCGAUCAAAAGUAUUGCGAGCGACACAUGAAUCGGGGCCGCCAUCGUUCAAGAAAGCCUGUGGAAGGCCAAACUGGCCGUGCCGCAAAGGUGAUGCCCAUCAACGCCACUACACCAGCAGCUCCAGCUGUUUCUGGCAGUGGAUCACCUAAUAAUUUCACAAUGGCUCAGCAGCAGAAGAAUAAUGUGAAGGCAAACAUCACUUAUUCUUCCCCCACACAGUUUGACAGGUAUACAUGAAAUCCGUAUGCUGUAUUUUUUUUGGUACGAAAAUCCAUAUGUUGUAUUUCAUUUCAAGUUCCAUUGCUUUUAUUAUGAAUUAUAGCAGUGAGACUGGUAUUGAUGCAUACUUCUUUCCUUCUGUAUAUUCCUGAAGUUGGUUUUUGUUUGCUUCCUCAAGAACUAGAUUUCAUGGUUCAAAUGAUUAUGUUUUUUAACCAGUAAAAACUGUUAUGACCAUUUGACAUUUCGUUUGAAUCUUUUGAAGAUUCAAAGACAUUAUUCUUGAUCACUAACUAGUAUGACACAUUUCCAUGAGUUCCUCCAAACAUGCUGAGUCAGCAUGUCGAUGCAUCCUGUUGGUUGAUUGGCAUUCACUCUUGGAAAUAUAUUAUUAUCAAGCUAGUACUGAUAUGAAAUAUCAAGCAAAGGUCGUGCUUAAAAACCUUUAAAAUAACUAAAAGAGAAUAGUUGGAUGUAUAUGUUAAAUGGUACAUUUCACAUAAUAGAGCAACUAUAUAAAAGUUUCCAGGAACUUUAUUAGUUCUUACCCAUUAUCAAGUAUGGAGGACCCUUUAUAUGUUACAUAGUUUGAGCUCAUUCAACCAUUAAGCAACACUCCAGGGUUUCAUGGACUUGAAGUGUGUCAUAAUGAAAAUAAAAAUACAAUGUAUGUUUUGAUAAAGGGAAUUACAUUUGACUUUUAAGGAUUUUCAUAAUGUCAAGCACAAGUAGAACUGAUUUUCAUGCGACAUUUCUUAAAGCAUUUAUAUAUUACAACAUAAUUGUGUAACAAUAUUCACUGGAGUGGUCCAAUUUCUUUCUUUAUAUUGGACUGGAUGGUUAUCAUGUAAGAAAAUAUAUUAUUUCUUUCUUUACAUUUCUUAUGAGAUGAUGCUUCUUUUAAGGUCUCAUUUGAGGUAAUGUCAGAGUUGUGAUAGUUAUUUCCUAGACACUAUAGCAAAAAAGGACUGAUAGAUACGAUUUGAAUGGAUAAAAUGUUUGUACCUCUCAAUUCCCUUUUGAAGAAGAAGAUUCAGUUUUCUCGUCACCCAUGUCGGGCUUGUAUUUUUCCUCUCUUUAAUUAAAUUGAUCCGCAGCCAUGAUAGCUUACAUAUUUCCUCUUUCUUUACUUUAAGGUGUAGUUGUCUCUUCAUAUCUUUGUAAUGAUGUAAGCAUUAGCCAUUUAGGGUUAUUAAUCUAAACUGAUUCUUUGAAGAAUAUCAGAUUUCCUAGUGGUCUCCGGUCAAACCUAGCAGACCUUAAUCAGCUAAUUGAAAUUUGUUUGUGGAAUGCUGUGAUUUCAAAUAACUACUUAGAAGUUGUAUUUUUGUUCAGCUGUAUCAUACUGAAACAAGAUCGUAGGUGAAUACUGUAAAUCUUCUUCAGAGCAUAUAAAACUUCCCUCUUUCAUAUUUGUAACUUUGUCUAUGUUCCUCUGCAGGGUUUUGGCUAACAAUGAGUUGAAUAACUCACAUGACCUCUCCAUGUUAAACUCAGUGAACUCAGAGCCCACAGAGACUUUAUUCCCCAUUGCAGAUCAGCAUAACCCUUUCGCAGAAUUGCCUUCACGAGCAAACUAUGGACUUAUCUCAGACUCACCAUUUAAGCUCCCAAGUAACUCCUACUUAGGGAAUGAUAACUUAGUCUCCUCUGUAGAAUUCAAUGAUCAAGAUUCCCCAGCCAAUACCUUUAGACACUUCAUUGAUGACUGGCACAAAAAGCACUCCGAUAGCUCAACCAUCAUCCGGACUGAAAGUGAAAUGCAGUCUGACAAAACUCAACUCUCUAUUUCAAUCCCUGUGGCUUCUUCUGACUUUUCAUCAUCCUCUUCUUCUCCAACACAUGAAAAGCAUACACCUUCAUCACUCAAGUUGUCUCUGGAUUUUGAUCCUGAUAAUACUCAUGUAGGUGUAGGAGGCCACCCAAAUGAUGGGAACCAACGGCAGGCAAGUUGGCUACCGACCUCUUGGGGGUCUUCCAUGGGUGGCCCUCUUGGAGAGGCCUUGGCCAACACCUGCCUGGACCAUAAUAAGAACUUCUCAUCCUUAAAGCUCGUGACAAAUGGUUGGGACUCGAGCCCCCAGUUAAAGUCAUCCCAAACUGGUGUCCUGCAGAAAUUUAGCUUUGGCUCACUGUGUAGUACCACUAGGAGUAGUCCAGUUGCUGAGAAACACAAUCUCCAGGACAGAAUCGGUAGCUCAAACCUUGUAAAUCCAUCGACCAUUACCUCAUCAUAAUCGUUUUAGUUAGUGAAGCAGCAACAAGAAAAGCUACAGCAGGAAGAACUUUGAGAGAGGUUUCCCAAGAUCGUGUGAUUGUAUUAAGUGUUGCAUCAGUUUCUUCGUUCUUUUAUUUGUUUCUUGUCAUUUUCUAUGUUGAUUUGUGGAGCAUUGGCAUGCCUGCCAGUGUCUUGGUGUGAGUAUACUGUUGUUUUGGCUUGGGUUUGAUCUGUGGCUGUCAACUAGUUGCUUUAUUUCGUUGGUAUUUUGAAAAAGAAGGGGGGUUGAUCAGGAUAUACUGUUUAAUUAUUUCUCCAGCUCCUGCAUUUCUUUGUAUACUCUGAUAUAGCAAAGAUUUUGAAGAGAAAAGCCUUGUUUGCCAAAAUUAUACUUCUGUGCUUUUAUCUCCACUAUGGUUUAAAAAUUCAAAAACCCAACUCAACUUGAACGCGAUCCAAGUUGAGUCGACUCAUAGACUCUAUCCAGCAUUCAGUACCCAAUGAGUCUCGAACAUCAAGACUUGCAGAUACAUACAUAUAUACGAUACACACAUACAUAUAUACAUGCAUCCAUAUAUACAUACACACAUACGUAUUUAAUGUUAUAUAUAUAUAUGUUAUCGAAUAUUGAUUUUUAAGAAUAUAAAUAAGAUAUUUAUAUACAUGAAAACAACGAACCCUAAAUUUUUAGUCCAUAGACAGCAUAUAAUUUGUCAACUUAAUAAUUAAAAUAAAAAUUAAAGUAUAUCAAUGGCUAUUUGACAUGCCAUCAAAUUCUAUUUGAAUGUCAGUGUCAAAUUGCUAGGAGGGGGCAGCCAUUAGAACCCGGCAGUGCAUGAUAAAAUUAUGAUUUAUGGGGGGGAUUUCAGGCAGGGCAGGCAACGCGCAAAAAUCCCGAUCUUUCACAUUCUAUUUAUAUUAUUAUAACUUUAUACUAAAUAUGCUUACCAAAAGGUGCCCCGAUUAUUUGCUUUGGUUGAAAAUCUUAAAAAAAAAAUUGUAUUGCAAAAAAUAAUACCUACUGUUUAAGACUCAACAGGAUAAUGAGUUUUGGGUAACUCGAUGAGUCAGUUGGGUUGGCUCGAAACUUGCCGAGUCAAAGUAACUCGGCCGAAGUUUGAGUUGGCUCGACGGGUUUUAACUUUGAUAUCCACUGCAGGUUGGUAAGAGUGUUGCUUAUGUCUGCCAAAAUAAAAUCCUCUGGUUAUAUGUAUGUUUCUGCACAAAGCUUCCAUUGCAUGGAUUUUUUCUCAAAUAAAUUGAAACAUCUAGGCUGUAGCUGAUUGAUGGGUUGUCUAGUAUCAUAAGAACUUGAUUGGUGAAGUACGUACUUACUAAAAGAUGCAGAUGGUUAUGAUAAUUCCCAAGCGGAUGGAACCGUCCGUGGCACAAUGAAUGCAGUCAUUCCGUUGUAGCUAUUGCACCAGUUUCAUCCCCUCAUAGGCGAAUCCAAAGAUGCUCCUGCUUUAACUACUUUAGAAGUUUUAUAACUAUUUUCGAGCAUCGGUCAAAUGGCUCAAGUUCGGUAGCUUGGUUUUCAAAUGUUAAAAAGAAGAGCUUGAAAGAGGUACAUUGCAGCAUAAAGCAAUGAAAUCAUCACAAACUGCGACUGCCAAAGGCUAUGAUAUCCUUCCAUUUCUACAGUUUUGAACCUGCAAGAGAGUUUCAGUACGUUCUUUGCAAAUUCUUCUACUUUGCAGGGUCAUUCUGCCGACCUCCACAGAGCUUCGUGAUCAUUACUUCCGCAGAAGUUUCAGCGAGUUGUUGAAGCGUGCGCUGGUAACUGUACGCUUCAGUGCUGAGAUCAUAUCGAGUGUGGUUAUUACCAAGGAAUUGCAGGCGAUCUCUUCACUUUCUGCAUGUCUUGUGGUUUUAUUUUUAUCAGUGGCCAUGGCCAUUUUUCUGGAAGAGUAUACACGGCUCCAUCUGGGACAAGACUCAUGGACUAUGAUGCAAGAGAGUGCAUUAGUUUUGACAUGUUAUAAGCAGUGGAUGCCUCUAGUGUUCUGGUCCUCUGUUGCAGGGUUAGCUUCAAAUAAUCCUGCAUUUGUUGCACUAAGCUAGCAAAACAAAGGGAAGUAGGGCACCCACAACAAUUGAUUUAGCGCCAUCAUUUUUUAUUUCUUUUAUUUCUCUAAAUAAGAUUAUAAAUUUAAGACAAAAAUGUAUUUGAUACAAUUAUAUAUAUAUAUAUAUAUAUAUUAAAAAAUAUUAUUUGUAGAAAAAAUGUAAGUAGGAAAUUUUUACUUUUACUCUUUUCAAAAAUAAAUACCACCGAACACCUACUACCUCCACCAUUGCCGCCAUCACUAAUAUUGUUUGUCUCCCCCACCAUUACUACAAUGGCCACCACUAUCGUCUUGUCGUCACCUUUGCUACCCCCAUCUCAAAUGUCACAAUUCUAUUCACCACUGUGAUAUCUAUCACACCACCAACACCAUAAUCGUUGCCAUAACUAUAUUGUUAAUGUCUCCAUCACCACCACUAUAUUGCUACUAUUUUCAAUCCUAUCGUAGACGCUGCAACUACCACAAUAAUUUUCACCAUUUCCACCACUAUUAUUAUAGUUAUUUUUUAAAAAAUGACUAACUAUACCAAUAUGUUUAUAUAUUUAAAAUUUAAAAUAAAAUUGAAACAAAUUAUUUAUUUAUUUUAAAAUAAAAAUGAAUGUGAUACCAAAUGAUCCCUCAUUCUAUUAAGUAGAAUUUAACUAAUUAAGAGUAAUCUUUCAUACUUUUCCAUCUCCAAUGACACAAAUUUUAUGCGGUGGAGAGGCACCGUCCAUGGAAGAAAAAUUAAAUAUUGCAAACUCUUAUUCUCGGACCUCAAGGGAUAUGAAAUGUCCUCACUCAAAAUACUACCUAAAUACAAAGUGCAAGUUAAUCAGGCAUAGGGGUUGCAAUUUACGACCCAACCAACAAACCAGAUCCACAACCGAUCUGCUUUAAGUAUGUUCAAAUCUGACUAAGUGAAUCUAGAUCUUUAAUGGGUCAACCCACGUCCCUAACCCAUUUUAACCCAUUUACUUAACAGAUUGAAUCCAAUCCAUUUAAAAUUCAAUAAACCCUGUUUGAAACCAAAUUACUUAACCUGCUUAACUUGAUUUGCCCAUAAUCAGGUUGGGUCAGUCCACUCAUCUAACUCAAGAGUGGGGUUUGAAUCAGGAUAUUUUACUUAUUUAAUAAAUAGUUUAGGUUGGUAGACCUUUUGAUCCGACUUGCAACCCGAUUGCAGCUCCUAUUUAAUGAUAGUCAACUGAAAAGAGAAAACAAUAAUUUGCUACACGCCUUUAAAAUAAACCUUUAAAAUAAAUCUUGGUCAACUCGAUAAUUCGCUUCAUUAGGAUAGAAUGAAUAAUGAUAAUUUGACAAAAGGCUGUUUUUGCCAUAUAAUAAUAUGAAUUCCUUUGCACAAUCCUGUACAACUACUAGUUUAAAACCUCCUACUAGCACUGCAUCAAAGUAUGUUCCAAGGCAAUGAAUUUAUUUGACAUCAAGAGGAGUAUCAAAACCACAGGCAACUCCAAUUGAUGAAGACUAACUCAGCCUGACAGAAUCAAGAUUCGCACUCAAUAAACAUAAUAUAGCUAAGUAGAACAUAUACAAAGAUUUAAUAGGAUAUACUUUUACAAACUUCAGCGCUCAUAUUAUACCUUGAAUACAUGUGAACUUUUCAAAAUGAUCCAGCUAUCAGAGGGACCAGCAAGAUGCACUACCCUCCUGAUAAGCCAUACACUGCAAGCUAAAGAAAAAAAUCUUGUUUGCUUAAGAAGCCCAGGGCGUCCGGCAAAACAGACAACUCUAAUGACUCACUGAAAAUAAUAAUAAUAAAAAAUUCGAUACUAUUUCGAUUCAAUGUAAUCAGAUUAUCUUUAAAGUUUAAAAAGGGACCAAAAAUUACAGCCCAAAGCAAUGAACAAAGUUGACAUCCUGUUCCUGCUGUCAGAGAGGAAACAAAAUCAUGUACAAUGUAAAUAAUGCUAGAACGUAAAGUUAACAUGGUCAAAUAUGCAAGCCUGAUAACUAUCUCACCUAAACUACAAAAGAAAUAUGCUUCAACGAGGUUAGCAAAGUGUGAGGGUGAAUGGUGAAGAAAAAUGUGAUUACAGAACAAACUCGAUCUUUCAAUCAAUCAUGUUUCAAUGAUAUGGAAUAUGUAAGCUAUUUUAUAACCAAAAUGCAACGAUAUAAGCUAUCAUAUUACAUCAAACUAAAAUAUGUAAAUGUCUAUUUCCACUAGGGAAGGGAUUGAACCUUUGAUCUCUUUGACCUUGUGGUUAACAGCAACUGAACUACUCUAGCUUAUUUUACAUAAAUUAUCCAAAAAAAAGAACAAAAAAAAACAUACUAGAAAAGGACAAGACACCAUGCAUAUAAAAACUGUAACCUGCAUUCAAGGACUGAACUUGUAGGCCACUUGCUCAUGUCUAGAGUCUGUCCCUACCAAAAAAAAAAAGAAAGAAGUAUAUUAAAAACCUGUUGCAAUAAUUCCCUCCAAAUUUCUUUUAGCUCCCAAUCCUCUUCUUAUCUCUUUAACCUGUAUAUCCACAAGACUGAAAUUUUUCUCCUAUUGGUACCCCAAGAAGCAGAUUCAUAUCCAGCCCAACCUCACCCCCAACUGACCCAAAGAAGGAAUCUAAUAGGUUUCCAAGUUCCAACUUCCAAAACUUGACAAUCACAUGGAAUACAUUUAAACUAACUUCUGCAUUUUUAAGGAACAAAAGACUCACAUACCCAACACAGAUUCAUUGUGGUUCCUUUUGGGGCCUUAUAGACGACGAAAGGAAUGAGCAAUGUAGUGGAUUCUAGCUAGCAAGAGAGGAGGCAGUUUUCCAUUGAUAUUUAAAAACUGAGGGGGCUAGGAAGAACUUAUAGAAACUGAUGCUAAGUGCUACAAAAGAACAGUAUAUGCUUGUAUCUUGGUUAACUAUAAGAAAUUAAAGAAAAUGCACUUCCAUGAUUCAGUGAAAAACCAAAUGGUCAUCUUCAAUAAAAAGGGCACUCCACUCUGGGUUCAGUGAAGCUUAGCUGAAUGUAAAAACAAAAUAAUAGGAGAUACUUGAUUCAGGAGGGUUAUGACGAGACAAAGUUAGGGGGGGGGGGGGGGGGGGGUGCGCGCAACAGCAACAAUAUUAGCAAGAUGCAAAACUGGCUAUCUACACCUGAUUCUGUUGCUGCACCUGAUAGCAGCUUAACCCUGAAUAUGUCUAACUCUCAUUUCUUCCAUCUCUCUCUCAAAUCCUAAACCCCUUCCCUCCCUGCCACUAAAACCCUGGAAACCAUUGCAACAAGCUUGCACAGUCUACCAACACCACUAUCAAGAACGAUGACCAAUACAAAGUCAGGAACUGCAUCGCCAUCACCAUAGUCUUCUAAAUUAGGAGUUCUCAGACUAACAACUGGAAGGCCAUCAGUGACCAUUUUGUUGAGUAAAUUGCAUCUGUGAAUAGUAUCAUCUAUGUUACUCUCCUAAUCUUCAACCCAAUUUAGCCACUUCAUUCUACUAUCACACCCUACUGUUGUUGAAAGGGUCUAUAACGAAGACCAGAAAACAAAUUAUAAUUGGUAUUGAUCAAAAUGCAUCAUCAGUUCUCUAAUAAAAUAUAUUCAAAAAAAGCCAAUAAUACUUUCUAAUCAACUGAGUCUAAAUUUAAUCCAACCUAAAUUUCACCAAUGCCACCAACUUUCAUGCCUUCUGGUCUUUUGCAGACCCAAAUUAGAGAAUUCAGAUACUUAAGCAAGAUGCAGAUGCUAUGUAGAACAUUUCAAUGUAAAUUAAUAAUAAAACACUCAAGUGACUAACCUUCAGCUUUACCAUCCUCACAAAACCUAAUAAAAGUUAGAAAAAAUUGUUUGUCCAAAUAAUCCUCCUUGAAGAUCUGAAUGUCAAAACUACAAUGCAACCAAUUCCCAUUUUAAAUCCUCUAGUAGAUUCCAACACAAGUUGCUAGCACUUGGAUUAGCCACUUUGAAAAACUCAAAAAAAAAUUAAAUAAAAAUGUUAUUUUCAAAUAACUAGCAAUAUACUGCAGCUUCUUAACCACCUACUCAACUAAUUUCCAGUACCCAUUCUCUCCAUCAUUUACUAGGGACACUCAUCCCUUCGACAUAUAGUUUUUUUAAUGUUGGUUUAUAUAAAAGCUGCAUAGUCUCCUCCAAUUGUAUGUAAAUACAAAAUCAUAAAUAAGUUGAAAAACUGCCUAUGCUAAAGAAACCUUUAGGAAAGAAUCCCACUAUCUCGAAAUAAAAGAUUCCAAAUUCCUAUACCUUUCUGCCAAACAGGUCCUUUAGCCAUGAUAAGAACGGAGUGUGGGUAUGAUAAAGAGUCACCACACAUGUACAGGGUUUAGAGUUGCAAACUUUGAUGAAACACAUCUAUUCACUUAUAAUUCUUCAUAGGCCCAUGCAGACUUCAGUCACAAGUCCAGAGCCAGCCUUUCAAGCUAACAGUUGCCUAAAUUCUCACUCUCAUAUGAACUCUCUCCUACAUUACUUAGAACUUGUGCUCCCUUCCAGUCUUCUUUUAAAAUUGGAUAAUAAUUUGAUAAAAUUUUCAACAGUUUUUACAUGUAUUAAAACCAGUUCUAUUGGUUUUAUUGUUGAAUUUUUAAUAUAAAUAUUUAUUAUUAUGUUUUAUCUAUUUUGGUGUUGCAUUGCAAAUUCAUGAACCACUGCUUUUCUUGGUUACAUGUGCAUAAGCACGUGCAAUAUAACUAGUCAACACAAUAUUCAUGGUAACAUCCAAUUACCAACCAUUUUGAAUUAAUGAUAUCCUCAUCUUAAGCCAUCCCAUCAAGGCAUAAAGGUGUACAAUGUACAUAGCAUACCAUUCUGUUUUGCACUUGUUCAGCCACAGCUUGCCUUGUUCACUAUAGAAUCAUCUAUGGUUUAUAUAUUCACUUUUUUGCAUUUAGAAUCCUAUCAGAUAUAUGUUAUUGCAUUGCAAUUUACAUAAACUAGAGAACAAUGAAUUAAUUACAAAAGUAGGAAAGUUUUAAAAUAGUCACAAGCAUCUACUCCCAUUAAAAUCAAACAAGUAUGUAAAACCAAUACCUACAAAAUGAAAACAAGAUUUCUAGUAAUCAUAACACAUCAAAAAUUCCGAAGGACUGCACUCUUAAAGAUAACAGUAAUCUUCAAACAAACACAAUAGACAGAUUCCUCUUCUUCUUCUUCUUCCCAUUCGUCUUCUUCUUCUUCUUCAAAAUAUUAGGCAUCGUUUAACCCAAUUCAACAAUCAACUUCUAAAUAAAAAAA
RNAcentral lists this long non-coding RNA (88817 nucleotides) under Phoenix dactylifera (date palm). RNAcentral describes it as "long non-coding RNA (PDAC_LNC003272)". Lineage: Eukaryota; Viridiplantae; Streptophyta; Magnoliopsida; Arecales; Arecaceae. The record is from RNAcentral.